This 98898-nucleotide long non-coding RNA is filed under the name Malus domestica (apple). RNAcentral's name for it is "long non-coding RNA (MDOM_LNC008886)". The record is from RNAcentral. Lineage: Eukaryota; Viridiplantae; Streptophyta; Magnoliopsida; Rosales; Rosaceae.
AAUGGUGCCUUCACAAGUGACCUCUCUUGUGGUCACUCUCCUAGUGGCAAUAGUCUCUCUCACAUUGCCUUCAGAAACUUCAGCUAACUACCCUUACACCUCUCCACCACCACCGGCCUCUCCUCCCUACCAUUACAAGUCACCACCGCCUCCUUCUCCUUCUCCUCCAGUGCACUACUCACCACCUAAGCAUCCCUACCACCCUAAGUCACCACCACCUCCUGUGUACGCACCACCUAAGCAUCCCUACCACCCUAAGUCACCACCACCUCCUGUGUACCCACCACCUAAGCAUCCCUACCACCCCAAGUCACCACCACCAUCACCAAAGCCUUACCACUACAAAUCCCCACCACCACCUCCUGCUCCAGUGCACUCACCACCCCCACCUAAGGAGCCAUACCACUACAAGUCCCCACCACCACCACCCAAGAAGCCCUACCACUACAAAUCUCCCCCACCACCUCCUCCUCCAGUUCACUCACCACCACCACCCAAGGAGCCUUACCACUACAAAUCUCCACCACCACCACCCAAGAAACCUUACUAUUACAAGUCUCCUCCACCACCACCAAAGAAGCCUUACCACUACAUGUCUCCUCCCCCACCGGUGUACUCACCACCUCCACCAGUGCACUCACACCCACCACCAAAAAAGCCUUACCAUUACAAAUCUCCUCCCCCGCCAGAAUAUUCACCAGCUCCACCAGUGCACUCAACCCCACCACCAAAGAAGCCCUACCAUUACAAAUCCCCACCACCACCACCACCACACAAGAAGCCUUAUUACCCUGUUCACUCACCACCUCCACCUAAGAAGCCUUACCACUACAAAUCCCCACCACCACCUUCUCCUACUCCUCCUAAAUACUCACCACCUAAGCACCCCUACCACUACAAGUCUCCACCACCACCACCAAAGAAGCCUUACCAUUACAAGUCCCCACCACCUCCUUCUCCUACUCCCCCUAAAUACUCACCACCUAAGCACCCCUACCACUACAAGUCACCACCACCACCACCCCAAGAAGCCUUACCACUACAAGUCUCCACCACCACCACCUCCUCCAGUUCCCACACCAUCUCCACCCAAGAAACCUUACCACUACAAGUCUCCCCCACCACCCCCUCCAGUCUACAAGUCUCCUCCACCACCAGUUUACUCACCACCACCACCACCUAAGAAACCUUACAAGCCACCAACUCCUCCAGCAGUUCACCCACCACACGGUUACAUCUAUUCCUCACCCCCACCUCCUCACCACUACUAGAUAUUGAAAGUUUAAUUGCAUCAAGCUGGUAAGCUUCUCCAUUCUAUGCUAUUAUUCAUUAAUUAGUUAGUACUACUGUUGUCAAUUUGGAAAUCACCAUACAACCAAAUGCACACUCUGACGAAAUAACAUAUAAAUUCUAAUUGAAUAGUCUUUAUUUCCAUUUUUGGCUAAUAAUCCUUAUUAGCAUAUGGAUAAUGUAUUUCCAACAUAUCGUUAUUAACUUAUUACUCAAUUAAUAUUUCUUUUUCUUUAAAUUCAGUAGCCGUGUGUAACAAAUAGACCAAUGGCAGAGACCCAACAAAUAACAAUAAUAUGUCUUUGCAGGUAAGGGAAGAAGAAAGGUCAGAAUAAAGAGGGGCUGUUGAAGUCGAACAGCGCGCCUUAUUACCACACAAAGAAGAAGAGAGAGAAAAAAACGAGUCUCCACGCAGCUGCUGAUGUGACGUGUUUUAUGUAUGCGAUAUUCGAUAGAGGUUCAUAUUUUCCUUGGAAUAUUAGACAGUUGUAGGGCACUCAUGUUCCAUGUAUUUUAUUUCCUGUUUCUCAAAAGAGAUGGUAUAUGUAUGUUGUUUGUUUCAACCUUCUAAUGGAGAGGUGAUCAUCAUAAUAAUAAAAUAAAUACAUUCCCCAAAUUUUACUUAAUUUCUCAUAUAUCUGAUAUGUUUUACUCUCUUAAUUAAAGUUUCCUAAUAAUGUUAUAAAAACCACGUAUAUCACAUUGGUGUACCAUUUAUUCUCACAAGUAAUGUCACGUCAAUUAAUGAGUUUAUCUCAUUGAAUAGUAAUUGACUUGCUUACAUUAUAUGGUAAUAAUGUGGUGUAAAUAUGUCGCAUCGUCCUUAACAUCACUCUAAAUUUCUUGGUAAUAAUAUAUGCGAGCAGUGUUAACAAAUCAAAGGAUGAGAAAGAAGAAAAACUAUUUGCAAAUUCUUAUUCUUAAUAUUUCAUAAACACAAAAUAAAGAAGACUAUGAAUUGUUCAAAUGCAUACUAAGUGAUCUAUUUUGGCAAAUCAUCUUAGUAUUGUAUUAUUUUCUUCAAUUAAGUGAUCUAUUUUUUUUCAAUUUGUUUUCCAUAUUUCAUGGCUUAAAUUUGUGAUUACUUUUUCAACAUAAAUGUCAAAUACUUUUUCUAAAAGUUAAUGUUGUCUAUUAUUUAUCCGUUGCUGGGAAAAAAAGUUAAAGUGGUAAUCUUAUUGAUAAAACUUAGUUCACUACACUAUAUAUACAAUUGUCUUCCGGUAGACCAUCAUGGAUAAAAAAUCAAAAGGAUUAUCGAAACCCCAAAAAAUUCUCACUAGUAGAAAGAUUGUUCAAAUUCUACAAUGAACCACAAGAAGUCUAACUCACUUGGUCAUUGCUGAUUGACUAUCAUUACUAGGUUAAAGCAACAUUUUAAGUUUUAACCUAAAUAGGAUCUCAACAAGCUAGGGUUUGAGAUUAGUGUUUUAGGUGACGACAGAGCUCUUUCCUUUCUUUAUGUUAUCCAAACUCUUUUUCUUUUUUCAUUUUUAUCAAGAAACUGUAGGUCUCAAUCAAAUUUAUGGAUUAUGGAUUUUAGUUAUGUAUUCUUAGUGUGGAAAUUUGACUAUAAAAUACGUUGACACUUGUCCUUUAAACUAAUGCAACCGAACAAACUUGUAGUUAACAAUUUUAUUAAGAGAGAUUAUAUUCACACACUUCAAAUUACUUAUGUCACACCUUUCUAAUUUUUUAAUAUUUUCUACACACCACUAACACUUGAAAGAAAAAAUAUUAAAAAAAUUAAAAGAGUGUGGGGCAAGUAAUUUGGGGUGUGUGAAUAUAAUCUCUCUUUCAUUAAAUCAUAACAUGGUGGAGUGAGUAAGUGAUGAGGAAAGACAAUUACGUCGCUCAUAUGCAAAUGAGUGGACAAACCUUCCAAUGGAUGCAACGGUGGUCAUGAAUUAUGAUUGUGUGUAGGGUUUCGAGUUACCGACGUUGACUGUCAUGCAAAUUGAGUACGUAGCCACUUACACUUAAUGGCAGAGGUCGAUGAUUUGCGCUACGGAAAAUGGUUUGAUUUGCUUAUACCAAUUACCAAACAAAGCAAAUAUAUUCGUCCUUUUGGUUUGGUUGUCAACUGUCAAGUAUGCGUUAGAAUUUUUUAAUUUGGGUUAAAUAAAAUAAAAAAACAAUACUCAAAACUUUUUGGGGAUGAGAUCUGAGAAAUUUAAUUUUUUCCCUUCAUAUAUUAGGGAUGAAAGUUGACUUAAUCACACACAAUGGAUCAUACCAACAAUAAUUUAGUAUCGAAUUCAUCAUUCAUGAAAAUCAUAUUUGAGCCUAAAUAAAAAUAAGCAUGUUAUGGGGUCAAUCUACUUUUAUUUACAGAAAGUUGCACGACUCAGGCCCACCAACUUCAAAGCCUAAUUCAAGAUCAUAUCACAAAGCUUGGGCGACCUUUUUGUCCCCCUCCUAGCUAUUCGAGGGCUUGGGUAGAUCUCUCUAUGAAGUGCGUCCACCACGCAGAUGACCAGACCCGGGAAUAUCUCGCCUCCUUAAAUGUUGAUGUACGCAUCAUCUAACAUGCUAAUGUCACCAUUGCAAUUAUGAAAACGGCCAUGAAAUACAGUUUAAGGCCACCAACCAGAAAUUAUAGUCAAUGUCAACUCACCGAUCUACCCAUGCUCCAUCUUAGCCAUGAGAUCGAGGUUGCUCUUGCUUCAUUGCCUAUAAAUAGAGUGGGAAACCUUCAAACUUAGGACCUUCGUCUGAUCCAAUCUCUACAAUUAUAUAAAACCUCGAUUGAUUCUUCAAUCAACCCAACUUCUUUCAAAGUACAAUCCAAUUGCUCUUCAACUACAAUCACAAAGCCUUCGUUAAAAGCAAACAUUGCCUAUGUCCCUGAGAUCUUAAACUUUUACAGCUUUUCCAACCCGUGGUAUGAUUCGGUUGAUGUGUCAAUCCAACCACCCUGAUUUCCUCUUAGAGGCACAUGUUUUGGACUAAGUCCAAUUUGAUACCAGAGACCUCAGUGGACUCCUCUAGCAUUAUCUAUCCCUUCAUGGCCUAAAUCUUGUAAGAGUUUUUACAGCUUUCUUUACAAUUUUACUCAAUUUUCAUUUCAAGUCAUGUAGCUCGGCCCAUCGGCCAAGAUUUUACUUUUAUAUAAUGCUUGUAAUGUUGACUUCAUUAUGAAAUAAUUACAUUUUGUUCAUCACAUUAUUUUCCAUUUUCCUUUUUCAUGUUUUAGGCAAAAACACAAAAAAGUUACAUUGAAUUUUAAGUCCUCAUUCACUCAAGGCAUAGAAAAAAACUUAAACGAACUAGCGUCUCAUUCAAUGCACAACAAUUGGUUAAGAAGUCAGAUCUUUGCGCAACUUUCACACACAUCCAAAUACAAAGAUUGUCUGUUGACAGCCUCCAACAAUAGCACACCCAUUCUCUCAUUUUCUCGAGCCACCUCGUGACAUUGAUAUAAAAAAUAACACUCGGGGAAAAUAAAAGUUACAGUAGUAGUGAAAGAAAUUUAGUUGUUGUAAUAACUGAAUUUUGAAGGGCAUAUUAAGUAAUAAAAAUUAUGAGCAGAUAGUAUUUGCCCCAUUUGGCCUAGUGUCGACCAAAAAUGUACCUUCACCUAGAAAAGGAUUGUAGAAAGUGAAGUUAGUUCAAUAAUUGUCCUCUUUUUUGUUUUCUUUUUCGAUAUUUUAAGUGCUAUAUUGAGACUUUGGGGGCUUUUUUUUCCCAAAGCUCUGGCCUAUUCCGCGAAGAACUGAGAUUGAAUGGAGACUUUAUCAUUCUCACUAAUAUUAUAAGAAAAAUUGCACAAUACCAUUGUAUUAUUAAUUUGAGACAAUGGUAUUAAUUAUAGACAUUACAAUAGUGUCAAGAAUAAUGCAAAUAACUCAUUCUCCUUUGUUUAUUAGGUCGAAUUUCACUAGCUACAAAUAAGUUUAGCGGGGUGUAAGGAUGGAGACUUUAUCAUUCUCACUUAUAAAUCAUCAUAUAUUUAGGUGUGGGGUAAGGGGUUGGGGUAGAUUAGGUCCCAGGUUCGAGGCCUGGUGGGGUGGGGUGGGGUUGAAAAAAAAAAUCAUAUAUUUAGGUGUGGGUUUGGAAGGUAGACUUGAUUCCGCGGUGUUUUGAGGAGGAGGAGGGCAAUCUUAUUCUUGGUUUACCAAUAAGUUUAGCAGGGUGUAAGGAUAGAGUCAUAUGGCACUAUUCAAGAAAAGUUGCAAAACCACUAAAACUUUAUUUUAAGAGUCAAAUCUACUAAAUUCUUCUCCAAGAGACUUGAUAAAGGACUCUAUAUAAUAGCAAGUUGCUCUUUAAAUUUAUAAGUAAUGCCUAAUGGGGCUUUUAAGAAAAUAUUAAUAUUUAAAAAAAAAGUAUUAAUUUUUGUUUUAGACAUUGUAUAAGGAAAAUGAUAAGCAUACAUCCUUUUUAGCCUCGAUCAACACUUAUAUUUAAUCUUGUUCAUUAUUUUUGUUUGAUUUAUACAAUGCGAUGGUCAAAAAAAUAAAUAAAAAAUAUGUUUGAGAAGUUAAAAAUGAUGUGUGAAAAUCACCUGCCAAUAAACAAAUCUAUUAUUAAAACUAAUACAAACUUUAAAACUAAAACUCAUGAUCAAUUAAGAAACGCUCAAGUCAAAUUCAUAAUAGCCAUAAAACAUAAAACACCUAAAUUUACUAUGCCAAUUCAAUCAACAAUCGUAUUAUAAAUAUGUUAAAUCCUUACAUGAAUGGAAUUGUUAGCCCAUCAAUCCAAGUAAUUGAAUGAUCUUUGGAGAUUUACUUAAGAGCAGUAUUAAUAUGAAUUAUGAACUUAUGAGAGAGAAAUAAUCUAUUAUUCUUUUCUCUAUUAGGCUAUAUUAUAUUUAUUUUGUUAUUGAAGAAAUUAUAUAUUGUAUAAUAUUUCCAUGGGGUGCAAAAACAUCGGGGCGCCUUUUUUUAGUUGGGGACCUUGUGCAAUGUCUUAUAUUCCUCCCCUUCAAUCCGGCACUGACAGGAAGGGAGAGAACGAUUUAAAAAAUGAACGGGUUGAAUUUGAAUUGAUAAUAAUUAGUAAAUUAUUUAAACUUUGUUAAAUAGAAAAUAUUGUUGAAAAUGAAAAGUUAAACUGAGUAAUUAAAAUAGUUUUUUUGACACUUUUCACUUGCUUGUUUAACAAAAAUUUAGAGCUUGUCUUUGAGAUACUCUUACUCCUUUAUUUAAAGGACUCGGCUUUUCUAUUAUAGCUGUCGUAUUCAAUAUUGUUGCAAUUAAUGAACUUAAAUCAUUUCGUUAUGACCAAAUUAAGAUAAUCAUGGACAUGUAGAUUAGGUAGCUAAUUCUGAUUUUGACUCGAUCACAUCAAGGUUAUCGUAAUUAAUGUCGGUUAAUUUAAUAUGCGUCUCUGAUCUGAUUACAUUACCAUGGUACGUAAACAUGUGUAUCCAUCUGCAAGACUCAAGAUUUAUAAUUUUGUUUUGUUUACUGUUUUUACGAAGAUAUUUAUGAUUUGAUUUUAUAAUAAAUUUUUUUUUAAAAAAAAAAUCAGAGCAAAACUGCAUCAUGGCCAACAAUCCAGCCAGAUUCAGUUCAACUAUAAUUUUGGCCAAUUUUUCAAAGCUGAUGGAUGUUAGUAGAUUUGUGUGGGGAACACUGAAAAGGCUAGAUUAUGAAAUACCAGAAAAGUAUUGACAUUUCAAUUGCUUAAACCAACCAUGAUGAAGAGUUCUAUGAAUUAUUUUUCAAAAUUUGAUUAAAUUGUGUCAUCCAGAUUAACGAACAUUGUUUCAUUGAAAUUAGUUCAUCAAGAUUGCGUAACUGGGAUAGCUUUCACACUGUAUUAACAUACAAAGAGGCUCUACUUCGUUAGAGUGUUCAAACUGUACACGUAAUUUGACUGCCGUACACAUUUUUCUUAUAUCUCUCCAAUCAACUUUAUUUUUCCUUUUGAAUAAAUUAAAGAUAAAGAAAGAAAACCAUUUUGCCUUAAAUGGCAAGAGAUUGAUGAAAAUCUACUCUAAAGAAGGGACAGGAUAUAUAUAAAUUAAAAUUCAUCAUGUACAAAGUAAGCGUAGGACAUUUUCAUCAUUUUACUUUGUCGUGCCCAUAAUUCUUUGCUCUAUAUAUUUUAUCUUUGUUGGUGGUCGAUGCUUUGGUUGGCUGUCAAUUGCGACGGACUGUCGUAAAAAUUGUCGGCAACCAACCAUGUGUUCUUGCAUGCCCGAUGUUCUCGCCACCUCACGUGGAAAUUUCCAAUGGAAUGGAGGGCCAAAUUUCAGUUUUUAUAUCAAUUUGUUUAUGUUAAAAUUUUCUUGUAAUAUAAGUCAAUGGUUGAAUUUGCAGUAGAAACAAACAAAAUAUGUGGACGAAUUUGAUAAAGUACAAGAAAAAAAAAACUGCAACUUAAGUAGAUGACGUGAUUCUUCACCCGGACAACAAGGAAGAAGACAUGAAAUCGGGAACACUGGAUGACGAAGUACACAAAUUAAACUUAUCUAAUCCAUUUUAAUAAAUUGUUACAGGGUGGCCAGUGGUCGGGAAUAAAUCACAGACUCGCAUUUCAGAUACCUCACGAACUUGAUUUUUGUUACUAACAAAUCACAUGAAGGUGACCAAGAGAAGGUUGAAAUGUCAUUGUGAGACGUCUUUCUUACCCUCGAAAGAUGAACUACCGUAAUGAAGCCACCAACUCAUCUUUUUAAAGGAAAGAAAAUCUAAGCCGUCCUAAUACAUGUUGUCACUCAUGGGAAUUAGAGAAGAAAUAUUCGUUAGCCACUUACAGUUGGAUGCUUAUUAUAUUAACUAGUUACAAAGUCAAAGGUUUUUCAUUGAAUGGAAUCAUAAGAUGUAAACAUCUAGGAUUAAUAUUUGGAAAAUAAUUAAACUCAAUCCCACCGCGUAGUUCUGUAACAAGUUUAUAUGUCUAAUAGAGUUUAUAGAUCUAAUAGUUAGUUAAGAGUAUUCAUUCUUACUCUUGAAGUUUUUUUGUUGACACUCUCUCUUUUAACCAUUUCUUGUAAUCAUUACAAGAAUUUGGAUUCUUUUAAUCCUAGGAGUGCAAUACUAAUUCUUAAUCUUUGUGUUAACCAUAAUAUCAUGACACAUAUCACCAAGUAUGAUCAGCAACUAGGAGAACGAGAGAAGAUGCGUGACUUAAGAAAAUUGAUGUGAUUUUGGAUUUUUUUUUACUUUAUGCACGCCCGCUCUUUAAAAAAAAAGAAAAAAGAUAUGUGAAAGGUGAAAAACAGUUGUUUCCGACAAACAUAAUUCACUUUCUAUAUGUGUACUUUGUAUUUUUUUUCAUCAAGUAAGGAAAUGGUGAAAAGAAAAAUGUACAUUAAUCGUAUCAUAUGAUAUAUUGUUCUUCUCAAGACAACUAAGAAGCUAAACUUAAUGUCAGAGAUUAAGACGUUUUGUUGGCUUGUCAUUCAAGGAAAGCUUAAUACAUAUAAUAUAGAGUUGGGAAGGUUAAUUUGUCCGUAUCUUGUGUAAAACAUGAUCUGGAUUUCAAACCCCCUAGACUUUUUGUUGUCCUACUCACGCAGCCCAUUCCCAAGUUCCAACCCUCCCAACAACCCUAUCCAGGAAGGCCAGCGCAGAUGUUAAGGCUGUGACCAGGGUUGUAAUACCAUCUCCAAUGGAUAAGUCAAAUCAUAAGUGGAAUGUCGCAUAAUUAAAUUUAAAAGUAAAAAAGAAGUUCCAACCGAUAGUUUUUCCGGAUCCUGAAAGAGUGGAUAACCGUGACUUAUCACCACUUGUCUUAUUUUUCGAAGAAAAAAAAAUGUCAAUCCUAUGUGAAUUAACAUGAGUUUUUGGUAUCAAAAUUGACAUGAAAAAUGUGUUGGCAAUUAAUUCUUUAGUGAUUUUAUUGUGCGGGUUUUAUUAAUGGACCAAUUCUAAAGCUUAAAAAUUAUUUUAAUUGAUUUCUUUUUCAUAAUGAACCUACGGAUAUUAAUUAUAAAUUUGACAUUACCACAUCAAUCGUUAAAAUUAACAUUUGACAUUCAUUUUUUGACUUUUCCAUUGAAGAUGUUCCAAUUAGCUUCAAAUGCCUUCGAGUUGAACUCAUGUUUGGGUCGUUUUAGGCAUGUUCAAUCUCUACUUGCAAGUAAAAGGAGUCGGGCACGAACAUAAUAUUCAGUUCGAUACAAAGAUGAGAUAGAAUUUUAGUAUGAUCAAAAGCUCGUAAAACUCUUAACAUCCCAUAUCAUUUUAUAUUGGACAUGCAAUCAUUUGAAAGUAUAGAGCUAUGCUUAAGCACAAAUUAUAUCAUUUGAACCAAGCACCUGGUACUUGGCGCGACUCAUCAACGCAGCUCUUGCAUUUUGUCCUUUGAUUUCUUCAAUAUAAAACCAUAAAUAAAUAGAAAUGUGCAAGAUAAGACGAGUCUGAUAAGAUUUCAAUAGAAGUGUUCCAUACGAACACUGUGCCAAGCACUUUUCAGCUGUUGGAUCGACGGAAUUUUACCACUGCUAGGCUAACAAUAUAAUUUCCGUUCGAUCUCUUUCAUAAACGAAACACUAAAACAUGAAUCGAUUUAUCAAUCACCCGAUUAACAUACUCCAAGAAACAGGAAAACAAUCAGUCACAAAUUACUCGCAAAUCGCAAUUAAAACGAAAGAAAUUGAGAAAUCCGGACUAGGCUACAAGCACGUCAAGUCAAGAUCGGCAAAACAUUUAAUAAAACACCAAAUCUGUCAUAUUUUCUGACCUUCCAAAUAUUCAAGUCCAUAACAGAAUGAACAAGCUGAAAACAGCAGAUGAAAUAUGCACAAAGGGAUACACCAAACGUACCUCCAUCGCGAGAAAGAUACACUGCGUUUUGUGAUCGCAUCUACACCAAGCGCUUCGUCCGACAAAACCAUCACUACACAUAUAGGUAUAGAAAAUAUCUAGCAUAGCGUCUUCAUCUCAUUUCUCAAACAGACAAUAUUAUACAAUGACAUUCAACUGGGUGUUUGCUUCGAUGAGUUCUACAACAGACAGGAAAUCAGAUCAUCAAGCACUAAUCACUAAUGACAUCGUCUCUUGAGCAAUCUCUCUAAUUUUCUCUUUCCUUGAGUGUACAGUAUAACCUCUAUAUUCAUAUGAGAAACAAACGAAAAAAACAAAGCCUCAUCCAUAUCCCAAACACCUAAAAAUGAGCCGGUCAGAAUGUUGCAAAAAGAGAAGUUUCGGGUAUUUCAGAAAUUUUCUGAGUCGUGUCAUAACUCUCAAGUGCCAUUGGAGGGUUCUGAAAUUUCCUGAGAUUUCAUGCAUUUAGUUCAGUGUGGGGCUGAGAGCCUGAUAGAACAAGGGAGAACCAAACAUCAAGAAAGACGAGAGAGAGUGUCCUACCUGGACUUCUUGGAGGAGAGAUUCAAGUUGAGCUGUUAUAUCGGAGAAGGAAGGCCGAUUGGAAGGAACUGAAUCCCAGCAACUCUGCAUUAAUUCCAAAACCUUGGGGUGUCCAUUAUUCGGAAUUUCCGGUCUCAGCCCCUGGGAAAUAGAAUGUCAAACAAAACAUAACUAUUUAGGCACAAAAGAAUUUGGAUAAAAUACUACGCUGAGUGAACAGCCAAACCAGUUGGUAUGUACCAUUGUACAUGAUUUCAGAGGCAUAAUUUAUACUUAUUUAUAUUAUAAGCAACAAAAAUGUCAUCAGAAGAUACAGAAAUUUGUUAUUCACUAAGUUUUACCCUUUUCUUGCGUUUAUAAAAUAUAUGCCUGCUUUGUAACAGCUUUUUUUAGUUUGAAUGGGAGGAUAUUCAGACCACAGGGUUACAAACAUAAACUCAGGCACGUCAUCAAUUCAAACUUUAAUUCGACAUGUAGAAUUGUCAACAUCUGUAAGAUACACACAUGGCAGGCAACAGGACGAAACACCAUAGAGGAAAAUUUAUAAUCAAGUUGCAUGAACUGUGGAUUAACAGGAUUUCUUAAGCAGCAAAUACAAUGCGGGCUAUAGAAAACACGUCUUCAUUCAUCAAUAUUCAAUACACAGACGAACAGAUAUAAAUAAUACAUAUGUAUUAUAAAUGGAUAUACGAAUAAACAAUAAACCUGUCUAACUCCCAAGGCAGCUUGCAAUGGAGUCAUGGUAUCAUAUGGAACCUGCAAUACAAAAUCAUACGAGUUUGAAAAUAAAUAAAUAAAAAAAUCUUAAGAAGUUUGAUAAUGUCCACAUCCAAAAUUCCCAAUACACAGAGGAAGCAUACUUUGGCUGUUACUAGCUCCCAAAGUACAAUUGCGAAACUGAACACAUCUGCUUUCUGAUCAUAUGGUUGAUGGUUGAUAACCUUGCAAAAUACAAGAAACCAAUAAGAUAUUGAAAUAAGAAUGUAAAUCAAUGUCGUCAAACUACGGUGCAUCUGCUAUGGUAAUGACGCAGUAACAAAACCAGAAUGUUGACAUCCAAAAUGCAAUUAACAAAACAGGAAAUUCAAUGAACCAUAGCCUGCUUGCCAAAACAAAGGGAUAUUGAUAAUUGUUUAUGAUAAACUAAUCAAUCCAUAGAUCACAACAAAGGACCAAUUUGUGAACCAAGUCCAACGGUUUAAGAGUUGACAAUAAUUUUCACGAAGAGACAAAGCAGGAAAAAAAAAGCAGAGGAAAAUAUUGAACCAGAAGAAUCGGACCUCAGGUGCCAUCCAUCGAUAGGUUCCAGUCUCUGCUGUCAUUACUCCCUCUUGAUUCUGAAACCGAGCAACACCAAAAUCUGCCACCUUUACAACCUGAAGGCAAACAAGAAAAUGAUUUUCAACUGUAAAAGAAAAGAAAAACCUAUUUGUUUUUCCUAAACAGAAAAAUAGAAUAGCCAGGAUGUGAGAGGAGAUUUCAACCAUUUAUACUUGGAAAUCUAACCAGGAAACAGUUUACCCAUUAUCAUAAACAAAUAAUGCUGUGUUUAGCUUUGAACUUUACUUAUAGUUAUUAAAAAAUAUAAAUAUACUUGUCGAAAGUAGAAUUGCAUUACCCCACAUCUUUAAACACAAAUCUAACUUCAUCAUUCAUGACAUCCUGAAAGUAUCAAAUUCACCAUCGACAAAAACUCAGAAGACAUCAAUUCCAGUAUGUCCAUGAGAAUUUUGGUCGAAUUGAACUUUUGACAUGCAGAUAUACUUCUCCCAUAAUCAAACUUCAUACCUCAAAGCACAACGCACAAUUACCCCAUACAAAACAAUAGACGGUUUGGUUACUCAAGUCCAAUAACUACAACUUAUAUCAACUAAAGCAGCAAUAGAUCCACUGAAGACAUUAGCCCUUUUAAAAAAAUUACAAACAAAUCUAUUGAACUUUAUCGUUUUCCUGUCGCCUAAGUUAAGCUGUAUAUGUACAAUGACAAAUUAAAUCAAUAGAGUUAUCAUGAAUAUGCGUAGGUUACAUUUUGCAGAAAGUGAAGCUGCCAAACAAGCAAACAAUAACCUUUAAUUCUUACAUUGUUAGUGUCCAUUAGCAGAUUUGCCGUCUUUAGAUCCCUAUGAAUUAUGUUAUUAUGAUGCAAAUACUCCAUUCCUUUACAGACAUCAAUUGCAAACUUUAGCAGUUCUGAAAGCUUCAAGAUGUUAUGAUUCUUAUGCAAAUAAUCGUAAAGACUUCCACCGGGCAUAUACUCUGCAAAAAAUAAAAAACAAAUGAAUUUUCAUAAUUAUGGUAAUAGUACAAUACAGCAACAAGUCGGCACUGGACUAAUUAUACUCAUCUCAAACUACAAACAGAUCUAAACAGUAAAGUUUUACAUAAAGAAAUCAAGAUGAAAUCAACAAUAAAGCUCUAACCAUAAAAAGAUACCCUGCCAAAUACUAUCCCAAAAUUCUCAAGAAACAACAUCCAAAGGUAAUCCCAAAACAAAAUCUAUCCCACGAAUGAUUACAUCCUUCAACUCCUAACCUACAUGAAGCUUCAUAAUACGCACCAAGUUGCCAAAGGCUGGCUGAUUGACAAAUUACAUAUAAUAGGGAAUUCCAAUAUGCACGACAUCCAAACAGCUUAGAGGAAUUUAAAAUAUAUAACACACAAGUAAAAUCUUCCUAAAUGCUGCAUACUCAGAGAAGAAGUACUAGCGCAUCCAAAACUUAAAAGAGUAUAAAUAAUGUGUAAGUAUGUUCCAACAACAACAACAAGGCAUUUUCCCACUAAGUAGGGUAGGCUAUAUGAAUCCUAGAACGCCAUUGCGCUCGGUUCUGUGUCACAUCUUCUGUUAGAUCCAAGUACUCUUAAGUCUUUUCUUAUAGUCUGUUCCAAAGCCUUCCUAGGUCUUACUCUACCCCUUCGGCCUUAAACCUCUGUCCUGUAAUCGCAUCUAGUGUAAGUAUGUUCCAAGAAAGAUAUUUUUAGUUCCAUUAAUACUUCUCCUGAUCCUAAUAAAAAUUUUCAAAAAGAUAGAAUGAAAACUUUGGUUGGCUACACCUAUAUUGGUGGAAACCAUCCGAUGUCAUUGAUUUUUUGUAGAAUGAUAUCCUUUGGUCCAUAAAAGAUAUUUUAUGAGAUCCGUUUUGGCGAAUGGUAAAAGGGGAUAGCUUUUAAGAAGGGAAAUGUGAGUGUGUUGGGGUGGAUUUUCUCCCUUUUUAUGUUCCUUGUAAAAGAAUAUACUAUGCUUCACUAACAAAAUUAAAAAGUAAAAAAGAAAACUUAUAAACAAUCUGAUGCUUAUUCUUACUUUUCUUAGUUGCACUGCUUCUAAAAACAUCUCCACAUGUAAGAUUCUGAUACAGAAUGAACAAAACCUCGAAAGAAGCUAACUUAACAAAUAUAGUAAAUGUUGGAGGCAACCAACAGGAGAGUUCCAUACCUGUCACUAUGCACAAAUGUGGAGACUUUGUACAUGCACCGAUAAAGCGCACAACAUUACUAUGAUGGACCUCUCUGCAAUCAUAAAACAAAUAUAAUAUAUAUCAGUAUUGCUUAAUAGCAAUACGCAUGCCAACAUAACCUAUAAAAUGGAACAACAGUUUUCUUUUCCCUUGAAUAAGAGACAAUUUAUUAGUAAAGAAUAAGAUACAGAGAAGACACUAUGAAAAACUAGAAACAGCAAAAGGUGGAACCUAGCCAUGAAUUUUAACUGCCUAGAUGUGUGAAAUGCAGCAUGGGCUAGCUGCAUUUUACUUAACUAUCAGAAAAUUCAUUCACUUUAUGGGUUUCAAGAAUAGUUACAGCUAAUAUACCACAAAAUGAAAGACUAGCUGCAUUAAAUGUGAUUUUUUAAAUGACACAAUAAGACAUGUUUCUUGGUUCCAUUUGUAAUUACAUUUGGCAUAUUCUUCCAAAGCCUCGUCGAAAUAAAGACCAGCAACCUGGAUAUUCAACCAGCAAUCCUGGAUAUUCAACCAGCAAAUCCAGAAAACGUGAAGCAUUCUCUUGUCAUUCCCAGAGAUUAUAGGAAUUGUUCUUGUACAGGCUAGUAUAGAAGUUCAUUAUGGAGGAUGUUGGAAAAUAAUGGAAAAAUCUUUAAAAGUUUACAAGUGGAGAAGAGCUCUCAAUAGAAAUGAUAAGAGUGAUUUCAUAUGAACUCCCCAGCAGGGACCAGCCUAGAUUAAAAGAAGAUAAAGAUAGAAAAUUAUUCACCUUAAAAUUGCCACUUCUUGAGCAAACUCAUCCUCUAGAGCAUCAUUCAAAUGUUCAGAUCUCAAAAUCUUAACAGCAACAUCUUGACCAAGAUAAAUUCCACGAUACCUGAGAAUGAACAGUAAUAUAAAGUUAAGCAGCAGAGAAGACUAUAAACGAAUAAAGGAAUGCCAAAAAUAAAACAUAUCUUACAAAUCUCCACAUGACCCAGAUGCAAUUCUGUCUCCGAUCAUUAAUAAUCUUCGGUCUAUUUCCCAGAGUCCUGUCUUUUCUUUCACCGAUAAUUCUUUCUCCACAGCCGAAUGAGAAUGUGAAGAUCUUGACCAUGACCCCUAAAUUACCAAACAACAGAUACGUAUUACUAUCUUAUAAUUCUUCGAUUAUUUUAGCAUUGUGACGCAAUAUACCUCACUUCUAGCAAUUGCCUUUUCCAUAGCUUCAUACAGACCAUCUGUAUCCUGACCACAACAUUGCAAAGUCAGCAACAUUUGAACUCAGCACAGUUGUCAUAAAAUUAAUAUAAUCACAAUUCCCCUUAAUGUAUUCUGAAGACAUUUUCUUGGAGGAACUGUAGCUUUUUCGACUUGUCCAAUUUGAUAAAACCCAAUAUUUAUAACAAACAUAUUGGGAUGCAUUAGAUCCAAUAAUUGUAGCAAUGCCAUAUUACAGCCCAGAGAUAAACACUGACUAAAAAGCGUUCAUCCAUGCAUAAAAAGAGAAAGCACAUAAACAGCUUGCAGUAUAGCAAAAUCCAUAGCCAACAAAAAUAAGCAUAUUGUAGUAGCAAUGUACCACAUAUUUUAAGAAAGGCCAUCCAACGUUUCGUGUAUUGGAAAUUACUCAUUUAUAAUAUAAUAACAUGCAAAAUUUCAAGAUUCAAAACUCUGACAGUAGAAAGUAAUCUGUGAAUGACGAUAAACACAUUAUAUAGUAAAAGAAAACUACCUCAACAGGCCAUCCAUCUACCACAAAUACAUCUAAAGAGUAGCCAUCGCUCGUCGAGAAGACAUGUGCUUCACGGAUGUUAAGUUCCAAAUCCGAAAGCAAGGAAGAAAGCUACAGAAUGAUGACAUAAGUUAGAAAGAUGCGACCACAGUAUGGUUACACUUCUGCAGUUAUCUUGGAUUCUACAACAUAAACAAUGCAUAUAAUAUGUAUCAAAUGUACUGAAUAGUCCAUUGCUACCUUUAAAUUCAUUUUCCAAUUGAAUUUGAAGGCUAUAGAUUUUCAACUUUAUAUUAAUGAAAGAAAUCAUAAUGAAAAAGAACUCUUCCAAUACAACGUCUUCUCACAAUUAUAUUUAAUACCCAAGCUUACUGCAUUGAGGUGCCAGCGUGUGAGGUCUAGACACUAGAGUUGACACAAAACAUCAGAUGGAGAACCAUAAAACAUGAAUGACGGACCAUCACAGUGUCACAUGAAAACAAAGAUAGUUGCUUGAGUUAUAAACAUUAGGUAUUGAACACACAUUCAUAUUAGUGAGUACCAAGAGAACUGCUUAAGUGGAGACAGAGUAUUACAGGAUAAUGAAGCUAUCAAAUGAUGUCAAAUUUCAAUACCCUUUAACAUUGAAGAAAUUAUGUACAUGUGGACACUAAAACUACAGAAAUACUAUCACUUGAUGCUAUUCAAUCAGAUGAUCCUUUUGAUUAUUAAUUGAAAAAAGGAAUGCUGAAUCCAACUUCAUGAUCCAGAAUGUAAGUGCAAUAUCAGAUAAGUUUGUCCACUAUCCUAUCAUACUAAUCUUAUAUGACCCCUUUGAGAUAUAACUCGUUGAACAGUUGAACUUAGUUUACCAAAUAGACCUUCAGCUUUAAUUUGCAAACACGUAAGGGAACAAUCAGCAGAUUUUCGGGCUUCAAACUCUGAUUUCUUUUCAGAUUCUAAGAAUAUUUUGAAACUGAGAUCGAGGUAAACUCCAGGUGGUAAUACCAAACUUGACAACAAACGAAUAAAUUAAACCUUCUCAGUCAUACCUGGCUAAGAAGCUUAGGCUUGUCAAUAGUUGAAAAUAUUACUUCAUGAAUGGGAACAUGUGGUAUAUCUUGCCUGCGUUAUACAGCCCAAUGGUCAAUAUCAUUUCUGCAUAAUUAUACAUGUUUUUUCUUUAAAUGAGAAACAAAGUUUUACUAAAGAUACUCAAAAACACAGUACAAGACUCUGAACAAACUGGUCCACCAACAAAAUGAUUCAACUAAUGAAAAACAAAUCUGAAUUACACCUAUGACAAUGUAAUGGAACUUUCAAAAUUACCCUAUAAGAGCUUCCCAAUCUAAUAAGAUGUUAGAAAUUGGUAGAUCCCUAAAGGGUGGAGAAAAACAAGCUGAUAAGCAUAAAUGUGAUCUCUCAAAUAUACGGGCACAGUUCAUAUAAAAACUGCACAAUUAAAAUAUAAAGUAUAUGAAAAAGACCCGGAUAAAGGAGGAGGGGGAGGGCGUCAGGUAGUCGACAGCCGGCACUCCAUGAUCACGUCGAAUCCUUAUGAAAAUGAAUCCAGAACAAAAUCGCGCUAAAGCUAGGGCGUCACCCGUAAGUGGCGCGCUGUGUGGCCUGAGCACAGUGAUAAGUGAGCAAGGGUCGCUGUAUCUCCAUCGGCACCCGGAUGCAGUGUUAAAUGAGCAAGGGGGCCAUAGAAACUUCUUUUCGAACGACUCCACUCAAAGUUGUUUGGGAGCAUAUGCUCCUAUCAACUUUACCCGGGACACACAAAAGAAGUACUUUGAUCCUAUUAGACGGGGGAGGGUGAAGAAGCUAGGACAGAAGGGUAGAGUUCAAGAGAGCAAAAUGCGUUUAGGAACGUGGAAUAUAGGAACCUUAACGGGAAAAUCUAUGGAAGUAGUGGAAGUUAUGGUGAGGAGAAGGAUAAAUAUUAUGUGCCUACAAGAAACUAAGUGGGUUGGUAGUAAGGCAAAGGAUCUAGAAAACUCAGGGUUUAAACUUUGGUAUUCGGCACAAAUAGAACGAGAAACGGUGUUGGCAUCAUCGUGGACAAGACCUUGGUACAAGAUGUUGUAGAUGUCAAGAGGGUAGGAGAUAGAAUCAUGGCAAUCAAGAUUGUAAUAGGACAAGAACUUAUCAAUGUGAUUAGUGCGUACGCACCUCAAGUAGGGUUGGAUACGAGUUCGAAGGAGAAAUUUUGGGAAGAUCUUGGAGACUUGGUGCAAGGAAUUGCUCAGACGGAGAAGUUAUUUAUAGGAGGAGAUUUAAAUGGACACGUGGGCAGGGAGACAGGCAACUAUGGAGGUUUUCAUGGUGGCCAUGGUUUUGGGGAGAGAAACGAGGAUGGGGAAGCUAUCUUGGAUUUUGCAAUGGCAUAUGAUCUCUUCUUAGCCAACACCUUCUUUAAGAAGAGAGAAGAACAUGUGAUCACCUACAAGAGUGGGUCGUCAAAAACACAAAUAGAUUUUCUUCUAAUGAGGAAAGGGGAUCGUAUAACUUGUAAGGAUUGCAAAGUUAUACCAGGAGAGAGCGUGGCUAAUCAACAUCGCUUGUUGGUGAUGGAUGUACAUAUCAAAAGAGUAAGACAAAAGAACAAGACUUGGAAGUGCCCAAGGACUAGAUGGUGGAAUCUAAAAGAAGAAAAACAAGCCAUUUUCAAAGAGAAGGUAAUCACCCAAUGUGUGUGGGAUAGAGAGGGGGAAGCUAGCCAAAUGUGGGAUUCCAUGGCUAGUUGUAUCCGAAAAGUAGCAAAAGAGGUAUUAGGAGAGUCCAAGGGCUUUGCCCCACACCAAAAGGAAUCUUGGUGGUGGAAUGAGGAGGUACAAACAAAGGUGAAGGCUAAGAAGGAAUGUUGUAAAGCCUUAUACAAGGAGAGGACUGAUGAAAAUGGUGAAAGGUAUAGAAAAGCGAAGCAAGAGGCGAAGAAAGCUGUCAGAGAAGCUAAGUUAGCGGCUUACGACGAUAUGUAUAAACGACUAGAUACCAAAGAAGGAGAGUUGGAUAUCUAUAAACUAUCUAGAGCAAGGGAAAAAAGAAGACAAGGGACCUAAACCAAGUGAGGUGCAUCAAGGAUGAGGAUGGAAAGGUUCUUGCUACAGAGAACGCGGUUAAAGACAGAUGGAGAGGUUAUUUUCAUAAUCUUUUCAAUGAAGGACAUGAAAUGAGUGCUUCUUUAGGGGAGUUGAGUAACUCAGAAGAGUGUAGAAACUACUCUUUUUAUCGUCGAAUCCGGAAGGAAGAAGUGGUUGUAGCUUUGAAGAAGAUGAAGCAUAAAAAAGCAAUAGGCCCAGACGAUAUACCAAUCGAAGUGUGGAAACUUUUGGGAGAGACAGGUAUAACAUGGCUCACUGACCUUUUCAAUAGGAUUUUGAAAACGAAGAAGAUGCCAAAUGAGUGGCGAAUGAGCACUUUGGUGCCUAUCUACAAGAAUAAGGGCGACGUACAAAAUUGCAUGAACUAUAGGGGUAUUAAGCUAAUGAGUCAUACAAUGAAGCUCUGGGAGAGAGUCAUUGAGCAUAGAUUGAGGCAAGAGACACGGGUUUCGGACAACCAAUUCGGGUUCAUGCCAGGGCGCUCAACCAUGGAGGCAAUCUAUCUCUUACGAAGAUUGAUGGAAAUAUAUAGAGAUGGGAAAAAGGAUUUACACAUGGUCUUUAUAGAUUUGGAAAAAAGCGUAUGAUAGGGUCCCAAGAGACAUUCUUUGGAGGAUUUUAGAGAAGAAAGGAGUAGUACGAGUAGCAUAUAUCCAAGCUAUAAAGGAUAUGUAUGAAGGAGCAAAGACUGCCGUAAGAACUCAUGAAGGACAAACCGAAAGCUUUCCCAUAACUGUAGGAUUACAUCAAGGCUCAUCCUUAAGUCCUUACCUUUUUGCGUUGGUAAUGGAUGAGUUAACACGACAUAUUCAAGAUGAUAUUCCUUGGUGUAUGCUUUUCGCAGACGAUAUAGUGUUGAUAGAUGAAACUCAGGAAGGGGUAAAUGCAAAGCUUAACCUUUGGAGAGAAGUGUUGGAAUCUAAAGGUCUUCGCCUAAGCCGAUCAAAGACAGAAUAUAUGGAGUGCAAGUUCAGUGCAAAUGGAGGCCAAAACGAGUUAGGGGUGAGGAUCGGAGAUCAAGAAAUACCAAAGAGCGACCGUUUUCGUUACCUAGGAUCUAUCUUUGCAAAAGAACGGAGAAUUAGAUGGAGAUCUCAACCAUAGAAUACAAGCUGGAUGGAUGAAGUGGAAGAGUGCAUCCGGCGUGUUGUGUGACCGCCGUAUGCCACUGAAGCUCAAGGGAAAAUUUUAUAGGACGGCAAUAAGGCCGGCGAUGCUGUAUGGCACAGAAUGUUGGGCGGUGAAACAUCAACACGUACACAAAAUGGGUGUAGCGGAGAUGAGGAUGCUUCGUUGGAUGUGUGGGCACACGAGAAAGGAUAAGAUUAGGAAUGAGGAUAUCCGGGGUAAAGUAGGAGUAGCCGAAAUUGAAGGAAAGAUGAGAGAAAAUCGGUUACGGUGGUUUGGACAUGUGCAAAGAAGGCCUACUGACGCUCCGAUUAGAAGAUGCGACUAUGGGACAGAGGUUCAGGGCCGAAGGGGUAGAGGAAGACCUAGGAAAACUUUGGAAGAGACUCUAAGAAAAGACUUAGAGUACUUGGAUCUAACGAAGGAGGACAUGACACAGGAUCGAGCACAAUGGCGUUCUAAGAUUCAUAUAGCCGAUCCCACUCAGUGACUUGGAUUUUCCAAGUCUCCAACCGAGAAGUUUUCCUCACUCGGGAAAUUAAGGGAACACUACCCCAACCUACAUGCUCCACUCAGAAAGCUUCAACAUACAAGCUUCAACAAAAGAAAAUUCAAAGAACUUAGCGAAGAAGGCUUUGGUGUAUUUAACACAAUACGUUGAAAUGAAGGAAAGCUUAUUUAUUGAUAUCCCCGAUAAGCUACAAAUAUGUACAUAUACAUGAGUCAAAAUAAACACAAGAGGGAGCCUUCACAAAGGUUGCUUAGGAGAAGUCUCAGCAGUCGGUAGAGCCCCAGAAAGAGAAGGCACCGGAGGGGGAUCAUUUGGAGCCUCAGUACUGGACAGAACCCUAGAAGGAGGAGGCAUCAGAGGUUGAUCAUUUGGAGCUUCAUUACGCGGUACAGCCCCAGAAGACGAAGGCAAUAAAUGCCUUUGGAACAAACCCACAAAUCUCUGAUGAUCAAGUAAAACCUGACCAUCAGUUUCCUUCAUCUGGUCAAGCUUCCUCUUCAUGUUUGUAGCAUAGUCAUGUGCGAGCCGGUGCAACUGUUUAUUCUCAUGCUUGAGCCCUCUAAUCUCCUGUUUGAGACUCAUCACUUCAGCCGCCAAUGAUUCAACUUGGCGGGUUCGAGCAAAUAGGCGUUGGGCCAUAUUAGACACAGAACCUGCACACUGAACACUGAGAGCCAGCGAAUCCUUAACAGCUAACUCAUCAGACCGUUUGGAAAGUAGUCUGUUAUCUUUGGGAGUGAGAAGGUUCCUGGCCACCACCGCAGCGGUCAUAUCAUUCUUCAUCACGGAAUCCCCAACGGUAAGAGGACCAGUAGGGGAGACGAAGGAUGGGCGCCAUAUGUUGUCUGGAGAAGGCGGGGCUGCCUCUUCAACAAGGUUCAAGUCAAAACGACGGUCGGAGGGGCCAGACAUUUUCAAAGGUGUUGAAGAGAGAAGAGGUCGGACAAAUCAAGAUCUUAGAAGUGCAAGAAUGAAGCUUCUACUGGUGGAGAUUCAAGUGUGCUUUGGAACUUAAUGCCAGCCCCUAUAUAAAAAUCUGCACUCGACGAAGCUUUAGAAAUCGAAGAGGCGCCUGCUCAGAAAUCGAAGAGGCGUUUGCUUUCUCAAAAGCUGGGCUGCUUAGAGAUCACGAGGGUUGAUCUCAGAAAUCGAAGAGGUGUUUGCUUUCUCAAAAGUUAGGCUGCUCAAAGACCACGAAGGCCGAUCUCAAAAAUCGAAGAGGCGCUCGCUUUCUCAAAAGCUGGGCUCCCCAGAGACCACGGGGGCCGAUAUCAGAAAUCGAAGAGGCACCUACUUUUCCAGCCUUUUCCAGCCUUGUCAGCACCUGUCACACGCACACUCAGUUUUGCGGAAAUUAUGGGCAUUCUGUCAAAGACUUCUGGGGAAGUAGAAAACACAUGAAUCUUACUGUUCAAUCACCCACUUCCCACACGCAACAAUAGCUCAUGGGUACCACAGAUAACUUUGCCAAAGUUCUCUGCCAAAGUUGAGCACGUGAAGCUUGCAGCUCCUACUACAUCGCUCUGACCAAGAAGGGUAAAAGAAUAGCAAAGAAACAGCACUAACAAAGUUUAGACCCAUAAAUUUUGAAGGUCUAGCUACCAUAUUAUUACCCACAAGGGUAAAGGAACAGUACCACUGCUGGAUAAUUGGAAAGUCCCUGUGUGUCAACCUCUGUGCUUCGUGGCAAGGUAGACUAGCAAACAUGCCCAACCUUUACUCACAUUCGAGAAAACACUCCCAAUAAGAUUGCUUGCUCCAAAAUCGAAGAGGCACCGUCCUCCGAAUCUCGAGAGCCAGACUCCCAACAUGACUACUUUCUUAAAAAUCGAAGAGAGAGGGUAAAGGAACAGUACCAUUGCUGGAUAAUUGGAAAGUCCCUGUGUGUCAACCUCUGUGCUUCGUGGCAAGGUAGACUAGCAAACAUGCCCAACCUUUACUCACAUUCGAGAAAAACACUCCCAACAAGAUUGCUUGCUCCAAAAUCGAAGAGGCACCGCCCUCCGAAUCUCGAGAGCCAGACUCCCAACAUGAUUACUUUCUCAAAAAUCGAAGAGACACUGCUCCCCGAAUCUCGAGAGCCAGACCCCCAGCAUGAUUGCUUUUUCAAAAAUCGAUGAGGCAUCGUUCUCCGAAUCAAUCGAAGAGGCGCUCGCUUUCUCAAAAGCUGGGCUGCUCAGAGACCACGAGGGCCGAUCUCAGAAAUCGAAGAGGCACCUACUUUUCUAGCCUUGUCAGCACCUGUCACACGCACACUCAGCUUUGCAGAAAUUAUGGGCAUUCUGUCGAAGACUUCUGGUGAAGUAGAAAGCACAUGAAUCUUACUGUUCAAUCACCCACUUCCCACACGCAACAAUAGCUCAUGGGUACCACAAAUAACUUUGCCAAAGUUCUCUGCCAAAGUUGAGCACGUGAAGCUUGCAGCUCCCACUACAUCGCUCUGACCAAGAAAGGUAAAAGAAUAGCAAAGAAACAGCACUAACAAAAGUUUAGACACAUAAAUUUUUGAAGGUCUAGCUACCAUAUUAUUACCCACAACUGUAAAGGAACAGUACCACUGCUGGAUAAUUGGAAAGUCCAUGUGUGUCAACCUCUGUGCUUCGUGGCAAGGUAGACUAGCAAACAUGCCCAACCUUUACUCACAUUCGAGAAAACACUCCCAAUAAGAUUGCUUGCUCCAAAAUCGAAGAGGCACCGACCUCCGAAUCUCGAGAGCCAGACUCCCAACAUGAAUACUUACUCAAAAUCGAAGAGAGGGUAAAGGAACAGUACCAUUGCUGGAUAAUUGGAAAGUCCCUGUGUGUCAACCUUUGUGCUUCGUGGCAAGGUAGACUAGCAAACAUGCCCAACCUUUACUCACAUUCGAGACAACACUCCCAACAAGAUUGCUUGCUCCAAAAUCGAAGAGGCACCGCCCUCCGAAUCUCGAGAGCCAGACUCCCAACAUGAUUACUUCCUCAAAAAUCGAAGAGACACUGCUCUCCGAAUCUCGAGAGUCAUACCCCCAGCAUGAUUGCUUUCUCAAAAAUCGAAGAGGCAUCGUUCUCCGAAUCUCGAGAGCCAGAUACCACAGACCACUUUUUCAAAGUGCUCUGACAGAGUUAAAACAUGUGAAACUGGCAGCUCCCACUACCGUGCUAUGACCAAGCAGGGUAAAGGAAUAGCAUUACUACUUGUUGUUAGGGAGACUCCUAUAUAUGUCGACCUCCAUCCCCAACGGACAGGCAGACCUGCAAAAAUGCUCAACCCUUCAUCAUAUCUGAGAGGGCACUCCCAACGAAGCCUUUCGAAAUAUUCAGCUUUCUUUCCCCCCGAUAAUACCUCUGCAAACAAGCUAUACUAGAGCAAGAAUAUCUCAUAUCAUCAGGGUUAAAAGCAAGAGUAUCCCAUAUCAUGCUUUUUCCCUGUCUUUUCUUUUUGGCCUUGUUUUUACCUGCAAGACAAGGAGAAAGAGAGCAAUCAGUCAGCACUUGGAAUCAAGCUUCCAGCCAGGAACUGACUGCCUGGAACCCCUUACCUGAUUACUUACCUGGCAUUGCUCUCGAGUACUCAUCUUCAACAUCUUAUGUUUCCAGGGAAGAUUCCGCAUCUGCUUGAGGAACAGAUAGGGCAAGUGCGAAGGAUACAAGGAAGCAUGUGGAGACAAGCGUAACAGCACACGUGCCGAUACAUUCAUUACUCUGUCAAAAGCAAAAGUAUCCCAUAUCAGCAGGGUGGAACGUACUCUAGAUUUGAUGGACUUGUUUUGACCCUCAAAUUCUUCAGUCGGCCUUAUACUCUGGAGAAAACCAGAAAACCCUCCAGCUCAGUUCAAGAAUAAGCCUGUGGAAAGUUACUUCUUCAAAAGCAAAAGUAUCUCAUAUCAUCUCUUCUCAUUUUUCUUCUCUUUUAUCCUUCAUGCUGCUGCAAGAUGGGGAGAAGGUGAACAAUCAGUCGGAGCUCUGAUUGCUUACCUUGUCUGUCACCUCUUUCAGCAGACCCCUAGCUCGGCGACUUGGGGGACUCCUACUACAUGGUUUGUAUCGCGCUUGACCAAGCCUGAAACUACAAGUAAGCUUCAAGUGAAAUUGAUACAUUACCUUGUGCAUCUCCACCAGUUAAAGAUAUCCACCCCUGGAUGGAGGAAGAGUACUUCCAGAGAAGAUGCCACAUCUACCUAUGAGACAGAUAAGGCAAGUCAAGACGACACCACACUCCGAUACUUAGAAGUUUCGUGAUUACGAGAUCAUUCUCCCACAAUAUUUCCUAAUGUCAUUUGUACUAAAAUCAUUCACUUGUACUCACUAAAUGAGAGCUUGAACCUAUGUACUUGUGUAAACCCUUCACAAUUAAUGAGAACUCUUCUAUUCCGUGGACGUAGCCAAUCUGGGUGAACCACGUACAUCUUGUGUUUGCUUUCCUAUCUCUAUCCAUUUAUAUACUUAUCCACACUAAUGACCGGAGCAAUCUAGCGAAGAUCAUAAAAAGCGAUCGUUUUCGCUACCUAGGAUCUAUCUUGCAAGAGAACGGAGAAUUAGAUGGAGAUCUCAACCAUAGAAUACGAGCUGGAUGGAAAGAGUGCAUCCGGCGUGUUGUGUGACCGUCGUAGGCCACUGAAGCUCAAGGGAAAAUUUUAUAGGACGGCAAUAAGGCUAGCGAUGUUGUAUGGCACAGAAUGUUGGGUGGUGAAGCAUCAACACGUACACAAAAUGGGUGUAGCGGAGAUGAGGAUGCUUCGUGGGAUGUGUGGGCACACGAGAAAAGGAUAAGAUUGGGAAUGAGGAUAUCCGAGGUAAAGUAGGAGUAGCUGAAAUUGUAGGAAAGAUGAGAGAAAAUCGGCUCCGGUGAUUUUGAACAUGUGCAAAGAAGGCCGACUGACGCUCCGGUUCGAAGAUGUGACUACGGGACAGAGGUUCAGGGCCGAAGGGGUAGAGGAAGACCUAGGACAACUUUGGAAGAGACUCUAAGAAAAGACUUAGAGUACUUGGAUCUAACGGAGGACAUGACACAAAACCGAACGCAAUGGCGUUCUAGGAUUCAUAUAGCCGACCCCACUUAGUGGGAAAAGGCUUUGUUGUUGUUGUUGUUGUUGUUGUUGAUUAAGCAUUAAUAUCAGCAUAAAGAAAAAUUAUUUUCUAUUUUUAAUUUGGAAAAUAAGACCUUUAGCAUAUUACUUCAUAAAUAUGUGUAUUUACUAUUUAUGCGUGCAUGCAUAUGUUUGUCUUUAUACAAUUUCAUGAUCACAUUGUACACUUCUAUGUAUCAUGUCUACCCUUUAUACACAUGAAAUAUCAUAUACAGUAAUUGCUUGUCAACACAUUCAUUAGAGCUUUACAAAUCGUUUAUCUAAUUUCUGUUUGAUAAGAUACAACAAAUUUAUCAGAAUAAAAUUUUGAUAAAAAUAGUGCACAUUAAAGCAAGAAGAAAGUAAGUUUUAAACAAGUGUCUUCCAACCUAUAGAAAGAGGGCUUCUCAAAAUUCCACCCAAAACUUUAACACUGAAAGCCUAUAAUAAGGCAACAUACAUUAUUCUACCCCUAAUUGCUACAAAUUCUUGAUGCUUGACCCAUAGCAAUUUUUCAGUGUGCAUCUCAAUAUUAACUUAGUCUUCAUCAUCCCAAGUCCUCAAAAAUGUAUACGCAAAAUAUGAGAAGUCAAAUGAAGCAAAACAAUAACUAACUUCGCUGCACAUAACAAUCUGCUCCAUAACUUAACCAAUGCAUAUGUUCAUCCAAAAGAAAAUGAUGCAUCUAUUCACCAUUCUUUCUACUGUUAAUUCACCAUUUACGAUAUAAAGAAAGGUCUGACUCACCUUCGAAGAAAAUUACUAGUGCUAAAUUUUUCAUAAGCUUUGCCCAAGGUAAAAGUUAACUUUCCUAGGAACCAGUGGAUUCCAUUAAAUCUUUAGGAAAAAAACUGAUAGAGUGACAACCAAUCAACCUUCAGAAUAAAGAGUUCCUACAAAAGAGUUCCUCAAAAUAAUUAGGGACCAAAGCCAUUAUGACUUGUUGCUCUUGAUAUGCAAUGGGUUUCUAUUGAGCACUUUCAUUUUGGGUAUUGUUGGUUAGAGACCAAAAGCUUGCAGCUCACUAAGAUAAAGUAAACGAGUAAACCAAUAUAUUGGUGGCAAUUGAUGUAUCAAAUGGUAAGAAUUAAUCUGACAAUGUGAAAAGGAUGGUGAUUUUCACACCCCAUUUACCUCCCGCACACUCUUUCGAUUUUUUAAUAUCUUUUUGCUCUUCCAUCACUUUGUCUUUAUUUUAGAGGUGGGCCUUCACCAAGAGCAAACAAAUAUUAAAAUUUUGAAAAUGUGUGGGAAGUAACAUGGGGUGUGAGAAAAUCACCACCCAUGUGAAAAAAUUAAAAAUCUUGUUAUAAUGAACCCAGUAGUGCUUAUUCUAGAACAGAAAACAAGCCAACAAACUUUGGUUGAGUACCUUGUGGGAGAAUCCUUGGUCAGAUGUCUUCCGUCCAUAUCCUUAGCAUUCUUUCUAACAUCCAAAUUUAGGUCCCCGAGCUUAGAGCAAGGUUCAAAGUCAGCCGCACAAUUCCUAGUUUUACUCAGAGAAAUGAUAUAAAUAAAUGACAACCAAAAAAGGUCCACAGAUCAAUAUCCAGAGUCACCGAAACCCUUGUUGGGAAAAACUACGGCAAAAAGUUUAAGCACUCAGAGACAAAGUACAACACAGAUAUAAUAUGGUUAUUACCUAUCAUGUGACAGAGUAGCUCCUUCACUAGUUUCAUCACAUGAUGACCUUGGGGUUGAAACAACACUUGUACAUUGUUGAACAUCAUCAUCUUCGUCGUCUGUCCCCAUAGAAGUAUUCUGAUCAUAAGUACAUAAAAUGAUGAACAUAAGAGGAACUUAAUGAUAAAUAAAAGGGUAAAUCGCCAAAAUGGUCCCUGAGAUUUGCAUAACUUAUCACUUUGGUCCCCAAGAUUCCAAAUCGAUAAAAGUGGUCCCUGAGAUUGUCCACCAUCCAUCAUUUUGGUCCUUCCGUUAAGUGUCCCAGAGCUCUUGGCCAGAAGUUUGGGCAAUUUUCAAAGCUUCGUAACUCAAUCGUUUCUUAACCAAAUUCGAUCCAUAAUAUAUCAAAAUGAAGAUAGGAAAGUGUAGAAUAAGAUUAUACCUAUUUCGAAGCCCAAUGGUUGCCGGAGAUGGCCGGAAAAUAGCCUCAAAGUUGACUGGUCCGAGCGAAAACUUGAAAACUCGCCGGAAACUGGGUAAACUUUAAACGUUCGUAACUUCUUCAAUACUCAACGAAAUCAAGUGAUUCAAAAACGAAAAUCAUACUUCUCGAUGAGACAAAGAGAAUGGUCUAGGUACCAUUCUCUUUGUCUUGUCGAGAAGUAUUUCUCUUUGUCUCGUCGAGAAGUAUAAUUUUCGUUUUUGAAUCACUUGAUUUCGUUGAGUAUUGAAGAAAUUACGAACGUUUAAAGUUUACCCAAUUUCCGGCGAGUUUUCAAGUUUUCGCUUGGACCAGUCAACUUUGAGGCUAUUUUCCGGCCAUCUCCGACAACCAUUGGGCUUCGAAAUAGGUAUAAUCUUAUUCUACACUUUCCUAUCUUCAUUUUGAUAUAUUAUGGGUCGAAUUUGGUUAAGAAACGAUUGAGUUCCGAAGCUUUGAAAAUUGCCCAAACUUCCGGUCAAGAGCUCCGGGACACUUAACGGAGUUUUUAAUGGAAAAUGAUGGAUGGUGGACAAUCUCAAGGACCACUUUUAUUGAUUUGGAAUCUCAGGAACCAAAGUAAUGAGUUAUGCAAAUCUCAAGGACCAUUUUGGCGAUUUAGCCUAAAUAAAAUAGAAGGGGAAAAAAGAACUAAUGUCACAUUGGAACACCACACCACCAAAGUUUCUCAUGCUUUACAAGAUUCUGUAAGAUCUUAUUUUCAAGUGUAGUCAAGGCUUCUUUAGGUAAAGUGACAGUCAGUACAUGCAACAGGAUUCAUACAUUACUACACAUCGUGAUUGAUCCAUAUCCUGGUCAACAACAUUGUGAUAUCACAGUUCCAACAUUUUUUCCCAGAACCCCACAAUGUUUCCAAUAAAACAGCUAGUAAGAAAAUCCGAAUCAGACUAAAAGAAGGUAUAGUUGAAAUGCUAAUUAAUGAUAAUAACACGUAAAUAUCUAUCUGACGUAAUGACUUUUAAUUUUACUCUAAGAGACUAACCAUGUGGAGAAUCUUAUUGAAAGAAACUUGUAAUGACUUUUAAUUUCAAUCUAAGAGACUAACCAUGUGGAGAAUCUUAUUGAAAGAAACUUGUAUCAUUAAUUUAUCAAAGCAAUAUUAUUUCUGAGGUUAAGACUAAGGGCCUAGGUAAGGGAACUUUUGUUGAGUACUAACAUAGUGAAUAUCACAAGCAAAACUAGUGCGAAAAAUAGUCACCAAUUCGAGAUAAAUUUUUUAAAUGAACCUACAAGAGUUACAGUGAAUGUGCUAUAAAAAGGUUAGAUUAGAAUUUGGUUUUUAAGAACUUCACAUAGGCUGUCUCGUACACUUGUGAUGUAGACUCAAGUUUUCAAACCCAAAGCGCACAAGUUUGCAUUAAUAGGCAAGGAAUUUAUAGUCCUACAUAUUGGAACUUGAAAUCAUGCACCAACUUUAUCUUCUUCUUCUCGACUGAAGCCCUUUACCUAGUGCAAGCCAGAGACAAAAUAAAGUAGUAGUACUGAACCAUUUGUGUUACUUAUAACCUUCUUCUUCUCCGUUGAAACCACUGCUCUAUACCUUUUAAGGAUAACAUUUUCCCAAUUAUUCCAUCAUUUCUCAAAGCUAACCAUGGUUAGGGACAUUAUGAGUCAGAGUAAUUAUCAAGGAAGUCAUUGAUACCCCAUCCUUCUUUCCCACUCGCGAUUACUACAUAUAUGAACCUUUUGUGGCUUUAAAAGGAAAUAUAGUAUUCAUCCAAAUAAUUUAAAUUUUUUCUGGAAAAUAAUGAUUACGUGAAUGCAAGUUGUUGCAAACAAUCUAAAACGUGGCUUUUUAUAACAACAGGAAAUAAACUAAUACUUGGUUUAGCACUGGGACUCAAAGAAACUCUAGUUCAGAACAAGAUUCCAAACAUAAAAUACUGAAGCAAAUGAUGCGGAAUACCUCCAUGAAACGGAUAUGAUACACGGGCCGCUUCUCAGGGUCUUUUGCCAAUGCAAGAAGCUUUUGAUGUAACAAGACAUCUUCCACUCUAUCCAAGUUAACAUCAAGUCCGUAACUGCGCAGAAAACAAAAUUAGUAAAAUAAAUAAAUAAUGUAGAAUUCAUAGAAUUAGGUUCAUCAUCCUCCACAUCUAAAGAAAAAUGAAACAUUCAUGCUAUGGCUCUUAUGAAGUUUUACAGUGGAAAAUAUCUUGGAAAAUAUAGUGAAUACUUUUCCCAGUAAGGUUUUAAACAAAGCUUCAACAUAACAUAAGGUCUGGAAAGGUUGGCCUUGAAAUAACAUUUCUUGACAGACCUAAGGAAAAUUUUGUGCCUCCUGGAAAGGUACUUCCAAAAAGAAUUGACUGCGAAGUGCGGAACUAAUUUCAGUCCAUACACACAUUGCAGAGUUUCAAUUGUAAACCUUUACACUAGUCACAUGGUCAAACCGACCAACUCUUACAGAAAUAAUAGGCAAGAAAACAACACUCAAACAGCACUGCCAGCUCAAAAAAUAAUCAGGUCCAUACAGAACAAAUAUUAGAUCACAUAACCAAUUUGAUAUUCAAACAUAUGCAUAAACUUAUUCGUGCUCAAACAUUAAAAACUUCACUGAUACUGCUCCGAAAGCAUAUUAACUCAAGAAAUCAAUCAUGUUGGGAUCAUCAUUUGAGACUCUAAGAGCUUCAUAAGGGUUCGUACUUCAAUAAUACGGUUCGUACCAUAAUACACCAAUCCCAAAACUACGGAGCACUGGUUAACCAAAUAUCUUCGAAGACCUACUGAAGGGUUCAUGUUGAGACACCCCUACCUAAGCACAUGAGUUUCUCUCCAACCAGGAGCCCAAUCACAAUGCUAAAGCUUCUAAAGUCCCACAUCAACCACAGACGAAAUAGGCAAUUCUCCUCAACUAUAAAAGGAGAUUGUUCUCCCACAAUUGAUCCCUGAUGAUCUUAUUUUGCUUAAUCCACUAUUAGAACUCACUAAGUAAUGAUUCUGUCUAAAUCCUUGUAUCAUGUAAACUCUCUCUACAUUAUUUAUGAGAACUCCUCCAUCCGACGUAGCCCAAUUUAAGGUGAACCAUGUAUGAUUGCUGCCCUUUUAUCCCUUAACUCUGUACAUACUCUCAUCACUAGGUGACCGAAGCAACUUAGCAAGGAUCGCAUAUUGACACUCUACGUUAUUCCAAAGUCAACCCAGUUUUGUGCAUCAACAAAUACAAUAAUGUUUUGUUCUGAAAAAACUAAUUCCAGAAAUAAAUCAAUGGCGGAAGUUCGUUAAAAUUAAAGAAUAAAAAGAAAUGAAAUGAAAAACAAUCUUAUAGAGGAAAGCGAUCGAAGGGGAAUACCUAGGCGGCAAGCGGUUGAAGUGACCGUCCAACUGUUCACGGAAUUCGGGCAGAGUCAGAGCGUCUUCAUGGCCGCUCUCCACCAAGCGGUUGUAGACAUCGUUUCGGACAUCGUAGUUACUGAAGCUGACGAAGCUUCUCGGCGGCGACGAGCUCUCUCCGACGCCCUCGGUCAAAUCCAUAGGGGAAGCUCAAGUCAGCAGGUUUUCCACGAAAAUACAGAAGAGAAGGAGGAGAAAGCGAGCUCGGAGAGUUGUCAAUGAUAAGCAGAGGAUCUUUGACUGUUGGUGGAAUCCGGGAAGAAGACGAGGAUCUGUUGGGGAUUUCGGGCGGAAAGCAGAGGGCAAUUUCGUCAUACAAAAUCACUGUAGCAUCGUGAAGUUUCUCGAGAGCGAAGGCUAGUUUGGAGGAGAGAAUGUCAUGGUUGGAGUGAGUGAGUAGAGAGACAAAAGAAGACCUCCGUCUCAGCAAGAGAAAACUUUUUCCAUUUUUUAAUUUUUUUUUUAUAUAUAUUAUAUAUCAAAUAAUGUGGAUUGGAUAUGGUUGAAAAUGUGGGACAAUAUAAUAAUGUUUUGUAGUUAAGAAAACGCCUCGGUUUUUGAUAGAUUUUUUUUCAAUGUGAUCGUAUAUACGAAACGGUAUGUUAUAUGUUGUUGUUAAAGUAAAAUAAAAUUUUAUUUUAAAUUUAUUCUCUUAACUUAUAUAAUAAUUUAUGAUAUAUGUAACCGCGUUUUGGAUAUAUUGAAAAACCACUCUUAAAUUUUGGGCACAAUUUCAUGUGAGUCACAUCAUGUUGUAUAGGAGAAAAUAUGGCCUGCUGUUUACAAGUAAUCACAUAAAAAAGCUCAUACCAUAAUUAUGACGCAAUUGUAUAUUUAUUCUUUCUCUAAUAAUGGAUUCUCAUUUUGUAGAGAGGGAAAUGUUAAGGAGACUCAUAGUUUUUUAGGAUUGUGUUAUUCACACAUCCUGUUUAUCUUUCACAUAUUCCUCUUAGUUUUUACAAUCGGACCGAAUUAAUUAAAAAAUAUUAAAAAACAGAAAUUAACAAAAAAUGUGUAGAAAGUAAAAAUAAGAUGUGGAUAACACCACCUUUUUCUUAUUGUGAGUAGCAUAUCUAAUCACUAGAAGCAUUAGAUAUAUCCUAUGGAAGUUGAAAGCAAGUGUUCUGUUUAUAAGUGCUUACAAAAUUAUUUUUUAUUUAUUUAAUACGAAAAAGAGAUUACAAAGUAGAAGUGCUUAAGAGAAUAACACACCAAAACGAUCAAAAAGCAUCUGGCACAUAUAAAGGUACCAUUAUUCCACAACUGAGAAACGUGGAACUUUAUGUCCUAGGGCGUCCGCUACAAAGUUGACCACGAAGAAAGGAAUGAGAGUCCGAAUGUCUUUGAGUAAAGUAACGAGCGUCCAUGGAAGUUGAAUAUAGUGUAGACAACAAUCAUGACAUCCCCUUCAACUUUGACAUCUCUCCACCUAUGAGUGAAGGAUAGAGACACACUUUGAUCCAGAUAUCCAGGUAGACACUAAAAUUGAGGCAUGUUGACUAACAUUUAGAAGAUCACGAAGUCAUAACAUGUAAAUAAUGUGUAGAUUGUAUAAAUAAAUUAAAGAUUAUAAAUGCAUGUAAUGAAAAGAAGAGUAUCUAAUUAUACACAGCCAAUAUUCAAAACAUAUAGGUAUGUACACGCAAUUUAAAAUUAAAAAAAAAAAAGAUUCUGGAUUGUACUUAAAAGUAACAUUCGCCUUAAAACAUUCAUAAAUUCAUGAAAAUAUGACUUGAGCUUCUCCUAUGGACAUGGAAGAUAUGUUUGGUGAUGCAUUAGAGUAUGAUCCGCAUACAUCUUUGCAUAUAAAUUGGCCAAGAUAGGAAGUCUUUGACGGAUUAUGCCGUUUACCGCAGUAGACUUCGAGUUUUAGAAGACCAUCACACUCUUUGUAAUGGUAUGGUCAAUCAGAUGGUCGAGUAAAGAGUCACUUAAUUAAUAUUGCUUGUUCUUAUGUUCCUUUAUUUUUAUUUUUAUUUUUGAAGUCGGGUAUGAUUUAAUUUACGUAAUUGUUUAAUUUUAUUUAUGUAAUUGUGUGUUUUUAUGUAAUAGUGUGCUUUUAUUUAUAUUCUCAGUAUAACAACAAGUAUAAGCACGAAGAUAAUUAUCAUUAAGAAUAUUGACAUUAAAUUACAUAAAAGCAUUGAGUAAAUAGCAAUCAUAAAAAUAUUAACAUUACAUGAGCAUAAAAGAAUUGAGUAAAUAUAAUCAUAAACGUCACUGUACGUGGCAACAUGCUGCUAGUUGAUGAUUCAGUGGUUAAGGACGGAUUACAAGGCUUUCUUCAAACUAAAAAUUGGAGGUAUCGGGUCCGAACCUUGCUACUGGUGUGGACGCUAGACUUGUGACCAGGAGGAGGCUAAAAUGUCUCUGUAAGUCUUCCCGGCCCUUGAAAGAGAUGGAUAACCGUAGCUUACCAAUUGUUAUCCGCUCUAUAACCAACGGGGAGCUCUCCGUAGCUCGUUUGACUUCAGCAGUGAAUGAAUCAAAUAUCCACGUCGAUCUGCUUGAGGUAGCUAGAUCACCCUAAUCUAUGGAAGUUUAUUAUUUCCAAAUCUAUCUACGAUUAACCCCCAAUAUUUUCAAACAUAAUAAUACUUAACGAAGUGGAAUAAAAAUAAAUAAAAUAAACUUUGAAUUUUGCUACAGAUACUCGAGGUGUACAUAUACAAUAUGUGGACAUAUAUAUACCUUGACGAGAAGCUUGAGGCAAAUAUCAUCAGACUGGGCUGCAGAGCCCUUGGUCGUUUUGUUCUUAUUUCUGGCAAAAAGAUCAACCUCCUAUACAUCAGUACAUACAAUAUUAUUAAGUAAUAUACAUGCAAUACAAAAACGAGAUAGAGAGGGCGCUUGGAGCGCAAUUGCUUGGUUGCUGCUAAUGCCGAUGAAGCAAAGGUUUUUAGAAGCUUUAUAGAAUAAUGGAUAUAAUGGAACUUGAUGACAUAUGUGAGAAUAUGAUGAACGUUAUAUUUUUGAAGCUCUUUUUAUUAUGCCGACAAAUAUAUUAAUUUAUAUUUCUGAAAUGGUUUAUAGUGUGAAUAUUGUAGAGUAAAAUUUUGGUGCAUCUGAAAAACCAUCACGUGUUAUUAUUUCAUUCAAAACUAUAACACAUGUAUUUUCUUUUUUUAUUUAAUAUUCCUAAAAGACUAACAUUUCAACUAUGUACCAAAGCUACGGAAGUUUGUAGUUUCGAAUAUAUUGGUAGCUAAAUCACCCAACUCUACAACUUCAUUGCUUCGACUUUCUUUUGGCUAACAAAACGCCAAGCCAAACGACUUUGGAUAAAUCUUUAUCCACCUGCUAACCAAUCAUUUAUGCCCAGCUCUACCAUAAGAAGGAGAGGUUGUUCCGAAAGAGAUUUGCAAAAGGUUUUGUUCCAAUAAGGAUACUACUGUUCAACUCUCCACGAAGUUACACACAAAAAAUAAUAAUAAUAAUAAUAAUAAUAUGCACUUGUGAGAAGUGCCAACACUGUGCCACGAUCCCACACAUUCAUGUUAAACCUCUUAGAAGAGCAUAGGACCAGGUUGACGUAAGGAACGUCGCUAAUCAAGACGUCUCAAAUUACUACGGUUCUAGAGUCAACGUCUGCUCUUUAAAACUAUGAGACUAGGUGUUGAAGAAGAAAAUAUCAAAUAAACAAGACUCAAUUGUGAGUACACUUGACAUGAAUUGGGACAGACCAUACGAGAUCAUUGACAUAUAUCGCCCAGGCACAUACAUACUUAAAGAUGGCAGAACACAUGAUCAUCCAUGUAAUGUUGAUCAUCUAAAGUAUUACUACAAGUAGACAGUUCAACAUACUUAGUGAAGAGUCAAUUCAGACAAACUUUGUCUCAACCUGACACCUUAAACAAUCGUACUUAGCCAAACUUUAAAACAAACCAACAUUAUAACUUAAAAGCUCAUCCAUACAUACCUCAAUGAAGUUUAAAACCACCUUCAAAAAGGAACAUGAUUCAUAAGAGCAUCAACAUAAACUUUAAACAUGAUAAAAAUUCCACGAAGACAAAUCCACAAGGUAUCCAAGUCAAUGAUCAAUCAUAUUUAAAGCCAACAUUAGUACAUAAUUUUUUUAUUUUUAAAGUCAACAAGAGAAUACAACCUAAGUUUAGGACGCAACAAUCAACAUUCUCAUAAUAAAACUAAGAGACCACAAAUUCAUUCUCAAAGCAAAGUCAAGAUGCAAUAAUCAUCUUACAAAACCAUUUUGUUUUUUUUUUUCAAUAUAUUGAAUGAUGAGGUGUAACAACCCGUCCCAAAUUUUACAAUUUUAUAAAUUUUAAAAGUGUGAAUUGAUGAAAAUGCCCUAGAGGCAAGGAUUUUGACUUCCGUUGACCAUCAAUUUGAGAGAUGUAUGACUUAUUCUUUUAGCGUAAUUGUGUAGUACUCGUUAGUACGAACGCAUAGGUGAAGACCGUUUGCGAGUCUGAAUUAUAAUGGUAUAGAUAGGGACAUUUGAAAUUGUGUUACUAAACUAUAGAUUUAAAUUUAAUUAAGCUUCCCUCAAAUGUAUGUUAAUUAUGGGACCAAUUAGAUAAAUAUUUGAGGGACCAAUCAGCAUGGGUAACGAAAAGGGGAUCAGCCAAUCAGAAAAAAAAAAAAAAAAAAAAAAAAAGAGGGAGGGGGGUGGACUCCCAACUUUCCCGUGCACCCUUGAACCAUCCCGAUUUCAAAUCGGCGAACUUUCGCCAGUUUUUUGUUGAUCACCACCAUCCAUCACCUGCAACAUCUUUCACAUCUUCCCCUCUACUAUUUCCACUCAAAUUUGGGAUUUUUUUUAAGGUCAAAACCUUGUAAAACUGUGAGGGGUGGCCGAAAGUGUUCCACGGCGAUUCUGCCGUUCCGGCGAGUUUCACCACUCAUCACCACCUCUAAUCUACUCCCCUUGGACCCAGGAACAAAGCCCAAACAACCUUGGAGGCGUCGGAGCACCGGUGACGACGAAUUAAAGCACACCCAUUCUAGGGUUCUGGUGGGUUCGUGGAAAAUUGAGGCUCUUCCAGGUCAAAUUGGCCUUGGUCAUAGGUAUGAAAGUUGCUCCACUCAUUGAGAUCUUCAUUUCUGUGAAGUUUGAGAAUUUUUAGAAAUAGUUGGAUUUUCCGACGAGUUGGGGUGGCCGACCACCACCCACUGCGGCGCGUGCGGCGGCACGUGGCCACUUUUAGGCUAAAUUAGAUGUCUUGAAUUCAGUUUUGAUAUUCGUAUAAUGUAGGUUGAUCGUUUGAAUCUAAAUUCAUUACGAUACGUUAUUUGGUAAAAAUGUGAAUCGACGAUCCAACCGUUGGAUCGUCACUAAACUUUAAUACAUUCUAGUACAUAAUAUUUAAGGACCAUAGAAACUUACGGAUUAGGAAUCUGAUGAACAAAUCUUCCUGAAUUGGAUUUGUAAGUUUAUAAAAUAAAUGUUAACCGUCAUUUAGUUUUGGCAAUUGACGGAAGUCCGACCGUUAGAUCGUAAUGAAAUUUUAGUAUGUUAUUCUAGAAGCAUAAUUUGGAUCUUUAGAAGUUUCGGAUUGGAAAUCUGAUAUGCGGAUCUUCCGAAGUGAGUUUACAGGGUUGUAGACCCAACCGUCGAUCUUUGAUCGACGGUUGACUUAUGGUCAAUGGGUCUCAAACUAUUUUAGAAUGUCCUUGAGAAUGUGUUUUAUGUGAAUUACAUAUUCUAUUGAUAAGAGUUAUGAGAUGUGAUUAUGUAAUUGUUCUAGGCGCCAAUUAUUCGAGACGCCUCAAUGCAAGUGCUAGAGAAUCAUAGUGUGGACUCUAGGUGAGUGGGUCUUUUCCUUUUAUCAUAGGUAUAUAAUUGAUAGUUCCUCAAAUGCUUCUAAAGUGAAUUAUGCAUGUUACCUACAAUUAAUUAUUGUGAACUACGAAUGGCUUAAUCCCUAUUUAGGGUACAUAGGCAGUCUAACGAUACGUUAGAUGCAGCCAUACAAUAAAUGAGACUAACUAACUGAGACAAUAGUCUUGUUUAGGGAAUUGAGUAAUGUGAGGGACAUUGGUGGAAAAUAUAAGAUUUAACUUUAUGAUUUGGUGUUUAAAUAUUGGUCAUAAAUCAAUGAAUGAAGAAUCAGGAAUUUGAAGUAAGGAAACGUAAGUAAUGAUGGUUAAUUAAACUAGUAUCUAGUAGGGCUUACCAUUGAUAAUUAUCUCCGAAAAUAAGUAGUUCGGGAGUAGGGCGUUAUAGAUUAUGCAUUUCACACCAUGUUAUAUAUAUACUUGAAAAUACUAUGUUAUAGUUGAGUUUUAAAUUGCAUCAUGACAUAUUUAUAUGUGUAUCACCUAAACCUAAUUAUUGUGAAUGCUUCGAAGUGCCAAAUGAUGUUGCGGACGCCCAGGUAAGCUUCAGGUGAGUACACGUUGAUGAUAGUGAUGGUAGUGAGAUAUGUGAUGAGAUAUUAAUUGGCUAGCAUGUUGAUGAGAUAUUGAUUUAGCCGUACAGUUCACGUGAGGUGACUCUGGCUAGUAUAUUGAUGAGAUAUGUGAUGAGAUAUGGAUGAUGAGAUAUUGAUUUAGCUGUACAGGUCACAUAAGGUGACUCCAGCUAGUAUAUUGAUGAGACAUGUGAUGAGAUAUGGAUGAUGAGAUAUUAAUUGGCUAGCAUGUUGAUGAGAUAUUGAUUCAGUCGUACAGGUCACGCUAGGUGACUCCGGCUAGUAUAUUGAUGAGAUAUAUUAAGAGAUAUAAAUAAAGUUGUACAUGUCACUAUAAGUGACUCUGACUUAUAUGCUAGCAAUGAUUAAUAAGAUAUAUGAGGAGAUAUAAAUAAAGCUGUAUAGGUCACUAUAAGUGACUUCGGCUUAUAUGCUAGGAACGAUUAAUGAGAUAUGUGAGGAGAUACGGAUAAGUUGUACAGGUCACUAGAGGUGACUCCGACUUAUAAGCUAGCAUAUGUGACGAAUAUGUGAUAAGCUAGCAUAUGUGAUAAAUAUGCGAUGAGCUAGCAUAUGUGAUGAAUAUGUGAUAAGCUAGCAUAUAUGACGAAUAUGUGAUAAGCUAGCAUAUGUGAUAAAUAUGUGAUAAGCUAGCAUAUAUGAUGAAUAUGUGAUAAGCUAGCAUAUGUGAUGAAUAUGCGAUGAGCUAGCAUAUGUGAUAAGCUAGCAUAUGUGAUGAAUAUGUAAUAAGCUAGCAUAUGUGAUGAAUAUAUGAUAAGCUAGCAUAUGUGAUGAAUAUGUGAUAAGCUAGCAUAGGUGAUGAAUAUGUAAUAAGCUAGCAUAUGUGAUGAAUAUGCGAUAAGCUAGCAUAUGUGAUGAAUAUGCGAUGAGCUAGCAUAUGUGAUGAAUAUGCGAUGAACUAGUAUAUGUGAUGAGAUACAGGUAAGUCGUACAGGUCACCAUAGGUGACUUCAACUUGGGUACUAGCAUGAGUUAUUAAUCACAUGAUUAUUUGAUAUUGCUAACGAGAUGCUGUCUUGUGGUAUAUUUAUGAUAUUUUCUGAAAAUUAUACAGGUGUUGUAGCGAGGGGUUAUAAUGUUUUAAAUGGUUUCUAUUAAAAUUUAUUCACAGGGCUACUCACCUUUGUCUUGUCUUCACCCUCCAGGUUUUAUUAGCUGAGUUUUCUUAUCGUUGAAGAUUCGUGGCGGUUCUUGGUAUUGAAGAUUAUUUCGAGGGUACAAUUCUUAAUUCACUCUUAUGUACUUGCUUAUGCUCUAACAUUACGUGUGAAGUAGAUUCAUUCCCGCUCACCGGUGUACUCUGGUAUUUAGGCACUCUUAGGUUUUAAAUUAUUCACAUUUUUCCACAUCAUCACACUUUAUGGAUUCGUCACCUUCCAGGUGUCGGCCAGCACAGUUCGAUUCGGAGUCCUAGUAAACAUUCCGGGUCGGGGUAUGUUAUGAGGAGUGGCUAGGUUAAAGUUGUGGGGCAAUAUGUUAUGAAAGAAGCAGAAGCGAGAAUGUCAACUUGAGUAACAUAAACAUUGGUGAUGGGUUCUCCAUUAAUUUUCAUUUCUUCUAUGCAACGCGGGAUAGGUCAACAUGGUAGCUUGAUAUAGAAGAAUAUAUUUUGUGUUUUAGAAACAAAUUUUUUGUGAGUCACGUCGUAUUUUAUACAAAAAAAUGUGGGCCAUGAACUGCUAUUUACACAUAAUCACAAAAAUAAAUAAAUAAAUUCAUGCCAUGAUUAUGAUGUAGCUCCACAACUAUAAGCUUAUCUGGGAUGCAUUCUGAUAAGCUGACGAACUAGUGUACACAAUUGUAUUUUCAUUUGUUCGAAUAACUGGAGUUGAAUUUUGUUUAGUAUUAUCAUGUUUAUUUUUAUUUUUAUUUUUUACCUUAAGUAGCAUAUCCGGUUACUAGAAGCAUUACACAUAUCUUAUCUAUUUUCAUGUAAUGAGAGUGUGAGGCAAGUGUUUUGUUUAAGAAAAUGUUGAUAAGACAACUUUAUUUGGUACGGGAAAGAGAUUACAAACGAAAACACCUAGGGCGUAAUAAAGGGUAGAACUUGCAUAGGAAAAUUCUAUUCGAACCAAAAAGUUAUCAAAUAUUCUAUCCAAUUUAAAUAUGAAUCCAUGAAGUUUCGAAAUCCGAAAAAUUAAAAAAUACUGGAUAAGAACAGGAAUACAAUUUGCAAUUUGUAUAACAAUCUGUCCUUAAUUUUAAGAUUUUAUUAAUUUUAAAUGUGUGAAUUAAUCAAAAUGUUCUUAAAGGUUAGAUUGUUGACUUUCGUUGAUCGUUAUCUUAUAAUACAUACAAGCUACUAUUUUACUGUAUUUGCAUAUUACUCAUUACUACGAAUGUACAUGAUAAAGAUUUUACGAAAUUACGAAAUCAGGAGGUAUUUUAGCAGAUUCACUAUUCUGGAUAAUUUUUUCCUUAUUAUUUUAUAUUUUUCUGGUGGAAUUUUGUGUCUUGUGGAACCCAUACCCCACUUCUUCCUUGUCCCCGUGUCCCAUUUUCGCCAUACUUCUUGGUCUCUCUCAUUUCAAUCUCUCUCUUUGCCUUGUCACUCCAUCUCUUCUUCUGCCACCUUACCACCACCUACUCUCUCUCUCUAAAAAUCUCUCAUCUCUCACUCUCCAUUUAUUUGUCUCUCGGCAAACACCGAAUGGGUGCAAUGGCAACGCCAUCAUCGCCGCUAACCUUGUUACCCUGACGAGAUUUACGAGUUUUCCAGCCCAGAAACUAGGAUCUCAUACUGCCAACUCAACCCAGACAUGAACUUGCGCUGCUAGUGGUCGCUGCACUGUUCACUGUGUUCUCUGGCGAGGUUCUCAAUUUUUUUCGACUAAGGUGUGAUAAUACACCACUAAUAAUACCUUCGAAGAACUCACAGAAAGAUACAGAGAUCAAAGAGAAAGAAGAAGAGAAAGAAUAGAGAAAGAAACUGUAUUGAUUUGUGUAUAUUCCUUACUGAAUUACAAUAUCUGUUAUUCAGUUAUUUAUACAUGGAAUCCAAACUUAGCUAGUAAGCUAUUCACGUAACUAACUAACUAACAUAAGCUGAAUUGGCUGUCUAUCUGACCCUUGAAUGUUGUAAUGAGUUGGCAGUUCAUCUAGCCAUUGAUUUAUGAUACUCAACAUUCCCCCUCAAUCGUGGCUGGGGUACUCAGCCUAAGAUUGUAACAAUGUCGAAGAAAGGCAAGGCUGUGAAGACCUUUUGUAAGAACAUCCGCAGUUUGAUCUUCAGUUGGAAUGUAAACCACCUUCAGAUCUCCUUGUUGAACACGUUCUCUCACAAAAUGAAAGUCAGUAUCAAGAUGUUUGAUACGAGAAUGAAAAACAGGAUUUGCAGUAAGGGCAAUGGCUGACAUAUUAUCACAAUGAAUUAUGGGAGGUGAAGGCAUACACACUUCUAAAUCCUUUAGGAUUCCCCUUAUCCAAGCAACAUCAGCUGCGGUAUGGGCAAGAGCCUUAUAUUCAGCCUCAGUUGAGCUUCUUGAUACUGAACAUUGUUUCUUUGAUUGCCAAGACACGGGAUUGUUGCCUAGAUACACUACAUAUCCUGUGAUUGACCUUCGAGUAUUGAGAUCAGCUGCCCAAUCAGCAUCUGAAAAAGCAGUGAUUGUCCUUGUCGUCAUUUGAUUAGCUGAAUAUAAUAUCCCAUGGUGCAGUGUACCAUGAAGAUAUCUGAGUAUUCGUUUCACUGCUGCAUAAUGCCUUUAUGUCGGAGAACUCAUGAACUGACAUACUGUAUUAACCGCAUAUGCAAUAUCGGGCCUAGUCAAGGUCAGAUACUGCAACGAUCCGACGAUACUCCUAUAAAGCGAUGGAUCAGACAUUAAAGAACCAUCAGAAAAUAGCAUUUGAUCAUGAGGUUUGCAUGGAGUAGCAGCAGGUUUACAUGUGUCCAUACCUGCCUUAUGGAUCACAUCCUUUAUAUAUUUUGAUUGAUGCACAAAGAUAUCCCUAUUAUUCUUAUACGAGAACUGCAAUCCCAGAAAAAAUGUCAAUUGUCCCAUAUCCUUAAGAUCAAAGACUUCAGAUAACUCAUCAAUCAUCUUUUGAAUCUUGAUAGAAUUGGAACCGGUCAAUAUAAUAUCGUCAACAUAAAGGAGAAGAAUAACAAUAUCCCCAUCAUCCUGCUUGAUAAACAAACUUGUAUCAGAAACUGAAGCCUGAAAAUUCAUGGCAGUCAAGUAAGAUGUGAACUUUGAAUUCCACACCCUUGGAGCUUGUUUCAAACCAUAUAGGGAUUUGAUUAAUUUGCACACAUGAGUGGGAUGGGAUGCAUCGACAAACCCUUGUGGUUGUUUCAUGUAAAUCUCUUCUUGCAAGUCACCGUGCAAGAACGCAUUUUUAAUGUCAAGCUGUCGAAGUUUCCAAUGGUUACUUGCUGCUAAGGCCAAUACAAUCCUCACCGUAGUAUGCCUCACUACCGGACUAAAGGUAUCCAAGUAAUCAAUACCUUGUUCCUGAGAAAAUCCUUGAGCCACAAGCCGUGCUUUAUACCUGGAAACACUGCCAUCAGGAUUUUUCUUCACUUUAUACACCCAUUUGCUGCCAACAAUAGAUCUGUCACUUGGAGGUGGUACUAGAAUCCAAGUGCCUUGACUUCGAAGGGAAUCAUAUUCUUCUUGCAUCGCUUGCUGCCAUUGGGGUAGUGAAGCAGCUUUUCUAAAUGUAUUUGGUUCAGAGGUAUCAGUGAUGGCAGAAAUAAAACUAUAGCCUCCACUAAAACAAUCGUCUUCAGUGAGCUGCAAAGAUUGCAACUCAGGAAAUGAUGUUAUAAAUGCAGUAUAAUCUCGUCUUUGAAUGACACCACUUUUCAACCUUGUUACCAUCUGGUGAACAGACUCAGAAGGAUUUAUAUUAUCAGAAGGAUCUGUGGUAAUGAAAGAUUCAUUUUGCGAUGAAAAUGGCAAGAUUACCUGAAGUUGGGAAUCUGAAUGGACAGGCAACACUGAUGAUGUACCAGAGUGAUGAUGAGGGGAAUAAGACUCUUGAUCUCGCUGUGAAACCAAAACUGACUCCCUAGAAUCUCUUGAUUGUGACUCAAUUACAGUAUUCAUAACUGGUGUAGCCGAUGACACUGAAUUGCCUUCUUCUGGAAUACCAUGAUCAUCAUGCUGUACAUUGGGAGUAUUUGAAGCUAGAUGAGGCAUUCGAAUAGCUAUAUACUGUUGAUGAGACUUUAGAGAAAUUCCUGAAUUGACACCUUUGGUACAAGAAUCUAGUUGAAAAGGAUAAACAUCCUCAUCAUGUAUAACAUGCCUUGAAAUAAUGAACUUCCUACUAUGAAUAUCAUAACAUAGCACUCCUUUGUAUCCCAUUGCAAAUCCAAGAAAAACACAUUGACUUGAUCUAGCUUGUAGCUUAUUUCGAUUAUAAGGUCUAAGAUAUGGAUAUAUUGCUGUCCCAAACACUUUAAGAUUGUGGAUUGCAGCAUUGUCACCAAACAAAAUCUGAUAAGGUGACUUAUGAUCCAAACCUUUGCAUGACAUCCUAUUUAUCAAAAACGCAGCAUAUGAACAAGCAUGAUACCAAAACACAAUAGGAAUUGAAGCUUCUGUCAUCAAACUUAAAGCAGUUUCAACUAAAUGCCUAUGCUUCCUUUCUGCAAUGCCAUUCUGUUGAGGUGUAUAAGGACACGAAAUCUGAUGCAGAAUACCUUUUUGAUCCAGAAAACCUUUCAUCAUACUAUUGGCAUACUCACCACCACCAUCAGUUUGAAAACAUUUAAUUGAACUGUUAAACUGUGCCUGAACAAAAGCAUAAAACUUGGCAAAAAUCGGAAACACAUCUGAUUUAUUUAUCAUUGGAAAAAUCCAUACAAAUCUUGAGAAGUCAUCUACAAAGCUGACAUAAUACCUAUACCCUUCUAUAGAUCUCUGUGGAGAUGGUCCCCAAACAUCUGAAUGUAUCUUUUCAAAUUUAUGUGUUGCUCUAGCUUGUUUUACAGAAAAAGGUAAUCUACACAUUUUCCCUGAAAUACAAGCUGUACAAAUAGUAGAAGAGAAAUCUUUAUGAACUGAUAUACUCGCAUUUUUCAACAUUGUAGACAGUACUUCUUCAUUUGGAUGUCCCAAUCUCUUAUGCCAUAUUGAACUUGUCACUUUCUUUCCAAGAAAUGCUCCACAGUGCUCCAACUUUGCAGCAAAUGAACCCUUAAAGACAGAUACUGGUAUCUUGAACAAUUCCCCAUCAUCACUCUUUCCUUGGUACAAAAUCACUCGGGUUGCCUUGUCCUGUAUAAAGAACACCAAAAUCAUCACAAAUAAACCAACAUCCAUUAUCUCUACAUAAUUUCUUAACUGACAACAGAUUCAUGGCAAUAAGUGGAACAUGUAAUACAUUAUUUAGCACAAAGGUAUGAGUAUCAGUAACAAGUUCAGAAGCACCAAUAUUCUUAACAUUCAAACCUUCUCCAUUUCCUAUGGUGAUUUUAGAGUCACCAUUGUAAGGAGUGGCCUGAUUAAGAUGUUCAAGAUGAGCUGUCAUAUGAUGAGUGGCUCCUGUGUCAACCACCCAAGUAUCGGCAUUAGAAAAACCAUGGACAUUCUGACUUGCUUGUGGCACAUUUGAUGUUUGAGCAGCCAUUCCCACAGGUGUGAGAUUCAAUGAUUGUGGUGGAGGAGGUCCUUGAUAAGAGUAAUUAUUCCUGUGAUAGCACUGUAUAGCUGUAUGACCCUUCUUACCACAUAUCUGACAGAAAAUGGGACCUUUAAAAUUUCCUUGAGCACUAUCUGUCCUGUAAUAGCAAUUCGGUGCAGUAUGGCCUCUUCUUGAACAAAUUUGACAUUCUGGAGAUAUGCCAUAUUUGUAGUUUGUAUUGCCAUGCCAACUGCUUCCUUGGUUAAAUCCACUUCCACUUGAAAAGUUACUGGAACUACCAUAAGAACCCUUUUGAUUGUUAACAGAACCAUUGAAACCACCACCUGAACCAUAAGAAUCACUAAACCCAUAAGACCUAUUCCCAAAGUUGGAAUAAGAUCUUGAAUUAUUGGUAUUACCAUUGUUUCUCCUAUUACUGUUAUUGUUGAAAUUCGACCUCUGUUGGAAAGAUAUUCCACCAUUUGCAGCAAAACCUGAACCCCCAUUAAAAUUGCCUGGACCAUUAAGCUUCUAUGCAUUCGAGCUUUCACCUUGUUCAAAAUUCUGAUAUCUUCCUUGACCUCCUUGUCCAUUUGGCAAAUCACCAUUAACAUACAUUGCCGACAUGGUUCCAGCAAGAUUAUUCAUUCUUGUUUCAAAAGAACCCUCAACACCAAUUAACUGAGCCCUGAAGUCCUUUAGAGAUAUAAGUGUAUCCCUAGCAAGAAUUAUAGUCUUGAUAACUUCAAACUCUGGUGGCAGUCCAGAAAGUACAGCAAUCAUCAAAUCAUUAUCAGUUAUCUUCUCCCCUGCAGCCACAAGCUGAUCUUUAAUAGCCUUCAGCCGAAACAAGAAUUUAUCAACUGAAUCAGAACCCUUUUGUGCAGUGUGAAACUCAGUUUUCAACUGAUUGACCCUCACAACAAAAAUCGAGGCAAACCGUUCAUGUAACUUCUCCCAAGCCUCCUGUGCAGUCUUGCACCCUAUCACAUGAUACAUCACUUCAUCACUUAAUGUAGCAAUGAGUAAACUCAGUAAUGCCAAAUCUUGCUGAAUCCACUGUUUGUAAGCCUGAGAUAUCUCCUUUGUAACACCACCUUCAGCCGUAAUACAAUACUUCGGAGGACAUUGUGAUUCCCCAUUGAAAAAAUCAAACAAAUCAUAUCCACGAAGAACAGACGAAAACUGAUAACUCCAUUUCACAAAAUUAUCCUCAUGCAAUUUUACAGUAAUCAUACCAAGUAGACCUUCAAUCUUUACUGAAUUUAUAGCCAUUUUGCAAACACCAAGAAGAAAUACAAAUGCAGUACCCGAAAUUCUUGAUUAACAGACAACCAAUCUUGAAUCUUGACACACAACUCUCACUUCUGACUUCGGCCUUCUAUGAAGUAAGAAACUCAACAGACAAAAAAACUCCGCAUUCUUUCAAUUUUUAAUUCUUCAGCAAUCAACAAUCUUUCAAUUAAACUUCUUCUUUCAUACUUCUAAUCUUUUAAGUUUGCAGCAAUCAACAAUAUUUCAAUCAAACUCCUUCGUAAACAAUAUGCACCCAACAAUAUUUCGCAUCCACACCAAGCAAUUCAUAUAUUUUCACUGAAACAUUAUAUCAAACAGUUCAUCUAGCCAUUGAUUUAACAAAAUUAUCCUCAUGCAAUUUUACAGUAAUCAUACCAAGCAGACCUUCAAUCUUUACUGAAUUUAUAGCCAUUUUGCAAACACCAAGAAGAAAUACAAAUGCAGUACCCGAAAUUCUUGAUUAACAGACAACCAAUCUUGAAUCUUGACACACAACUCUCACUUCUGACUUCGGCCUUCUAUGAAGUAAGAAACUCAACAGACAAAAAACUCCGCAUUCUUUCAAUUUUUAAUUCUUCAGCAAUCAACAAUCUUUCAAUUAAACUUCUUCUUUCAUACUUCUAAUCUUUUAAGUUUGCAGCAAUCAACAAUAUUUCAAUCAAACUCCUUCGUAAACAAUAUGCACCCAACAAUAUUUCGCAUCCACACCAAGCAAUUCAUAUAUUUUCACUGAAACAUUCUAUCAAACAGUUCAUCUACAAGCUUCAAAACACAAAGAAAGACAAGGAUCGAGAAUACCCGAAAGCCGAACUCCUGAAACAGAAUGAAAAUUCCAAGAGAAAUCCAGAACUUCUUCACAAUUACACCUCCUGAUGCUCAAAUCUCAGCGGAAGAACCCAAAAAAAAAAAAACACCAACCAUGGCUCUUGAUACCAUGAUAAUACACCACUAAUAAUACCUUCGAAGAACUCACAGAAAGAUACAGAGAUCAAAGAGAAAGAAGAAGAGAAAGAAUAGAGAAAGAAACUGUAUUGAUUUGUGUAUAUUCCUUACUGAAUUACAAUAUCUGUUAUUCAGUUAUUUAUACAUGGAAUCCAAACUUAGCUAGUAAGCUAUUCACGUAACUAACUAACUAACAUAAGCUGAGUUGGCUGUCUAUCUGACCCUUGAAUGUUGUAAUGAGUUGGCAGUUCAUCUAGCCAUUGAUUUAUGAUACUCAACAAGGUGAAGAUAGGAACUCUCUAAUCUGUUCUUUAUGGUUAUAUUAGUUUGAUUUAUGGAUUAUUUAUGCGAUUUGAUGACGUCUAGUGCAGUUUCAACCGGGGAAGAUUUCCCAAAAAAUUGGUGAGGAAAACCGUGGCCAUCAAGCCACUUGUAGACGUUUUUUCCUGCUAUCUCCGGCCUCUGUCAAUCCUCGAUUUUGGUAUAGACCUGUUCCUUGAUUCCUACCUUCACUUUGGCUUUUAAACCAUUAAAUUCAGUUGAGAAUUGAGCUCGAAAUGAGCUCUGAAAGUCUGAGAAAAAACCUGCAAAACUGCAGGAACUCGUGAGGAAGACGAGUACAAGCGUACUCGGGGGCACAUGGAUGCAUGAGGGUGGUCGGCGCAUGCAGCGCGUGGCUGCUGUGCAUCCACGUUGUGACGACACGUGGCUGUCUAUGCAGCCACCUUGUGACGGCGCGUGGAGGAAUCCGAGAUCCCGCCUUAGGUUUCUCAACGUGCAGAAUCCGAAUCCGUCUUUUGUUUUCCAAAUUUGAUCGUUUUAAAAUAAUUUCUUUAUUAGCCAUACUUUGUAUGAAUACGCGAAUUUACAUUAGUUUGUUAUAUAUUUACAUGAAUGGUUUUGUUUCUAGGUGAAACGCGUCACAAGGAUCUUCAAUGCCCGCGAGGCAGGUUCGAGCCGACGACAUGAUUUGUGAGUGGGUCUUUGUUUUGGAAUAUUAUAUAUUUAUUUAGUUUCCACAUAAAUAUUUGAUAAAUAAUUUUUUACGUUACGCCUAUAUUAGAUUAAUAUUUAUAAGAAUUAGCAUAUUGACGGAAUUUGCUAAAUCCUACGGGAUGCACAUGUAUGCAUACUAUUAUGAGAUUUUAUUUAUGGCCAUGUUUAAUAGUUUAUUGAAUAGUAUUAUGUCGACUAGAAUUAUCGAUUUGCCGUUGUAUAAUCAUAUUUACAUUAUAUGCUCAUUGUGUGCUACACUGGUGUUAGUACUCACCCGGGCUAGGGUCAGUCUUCACGUGUAUGUUCACAUCGUACCGUACGCUCACUUUGGAUCCAUUGUAGGUGACAAUCCUGUCCUAGAUUGCUAUAGGCAAUUAGGACUCGUGUGUUAUGAGGAUAGCGCCAGUCUUCAUGUGAUUAUAGUACUAAAGCGUAAAUCAUUAUUACACCCAAUCAUAUUUAUGUCAAAAUACCUCUACAUAAACUUGUGUGUUAGCAUAUGUCAAUAAGCACUCGAUGUGAUGUGUUUAUUUACCAAAUAUUGUGAAGUAGUGCAUUCUAGGGAUAUUAUGGUUUACGGUCAGUAUUUUCAUACUAUACGUAGUAUGUUAUAUUUGGAAACUAUAUUUGUUUUACGGUGAGGGGUUAUUACAUUUUCGAAAAGGUUUUACAAAGCUUUAUUUUGAUGCUCACUCACCCUUGUUUUUCACCCAUUUAGGUUUUAGUAGCUAAGCUUUUGUGCCAAUGAGGAUUAUUGACAAAUCUUGGUAUCGGUGAUUACCUUCGAUGAUAUAAUUCUCAUUCUACCUUUACUAUAUUUUACUUAUACUCUGACAUCACGUGUGAAAUAAGUUCAUUCCUGCUCACAUGCGCACUCUUGCAUUUAGGCACUUUUAAGCUUAAAUUCAUUCACAUUUUCCAUCUCAUCACACUUUAUAGUUUCAUCACCUUUCAGAUGUUGACCAGCAUAGCUCGAUUUGGAGUCCAGAUGGACAUUUCGGGUCAGGGUGUGUCAAUUUGAAUAUUCAAAAAUAUUGAAAAAUAAGGAAUGUAUUUGAAUAUUUUGAUUCAAUUUGAAACUUGCCUAAAUCUAUUACAUACACUUGCUUAUAUACUUGGUUUUAUUUUAGGAAAAUUUUAUUUGAACUCAUACAACCUCUAACUACAUCCAACUUACUCUCUACACCCAUAUUAAUUUUAAUUCAAGAAUCAAUAUAUUUUUAAAUCCAAAUUUACUAACUAAAAUACCCUCACGAACUCAAUUUAAUAUGUAAAUUUGACUUUACACCUAUUUGAAAAAUAAAACCCUAAAAUUAAACAUUUGUUGUGUAGGUCAUUAAAGUUAGAAUGUUAUAUUGUAAUUCCUCGAGACAAACCAAAUAUUGAGCCUUAUACAUUUGGAAAGAUCUAGAUGUCUAGUUUACGAAGAAUUUUACGGUUCGUGAUUCCGAUUUUUCUAGGAGAUGUUAUUAUUAUUUUAGUGCAGACAUCACAAAAUCAAAGAUUUGUUGCGCAGAUCAGUGAAGUUUGAAUAAUUAAAUUGUAAUUCCUCGAGAUGAACCAAAUAUUGAGCCUUAUAUGCUUGGAAAGAUCUGGAUGUCUAGUUUAUAGAUAAUUUUACAGUCUGCGAUUCCAAUUUUUCUAGGAGACGUUAUUUUAGUGCAGACAACACAAAAUGAUUAUUUCCUACGAAUUUUGUUGAGAUUUUAGAAAUUUAGUUGCAUCUAAAUCAGAAGGCCAACGAGUGUUGUUUCCUUGAUCAUGGAGUAAGAUUAUCUUCCCUCUUUUUUUCCCUCUCCUUCCCUCCCCUCUUAUUUAAACAAUCACAGUUAAGUCACGUCAACAUAAGAAUGAGAGGGGAGAGAAUCCAAAUUACUUGAUCAUUGGGGAGAGAAUGUUUGAAAGUUACUUGGGCCUCAUUACCCAUCUCAUAAUUAUACGAAGGAGAGGGGAGAGAAUCCUAGCAGCUCGAGGUGACCACAAUAUUAUUUAAUAUUUUAUUAUACCUUUAAUCAUUAUUUAAAGUGGUAGGAUUACAUAAGCUACACUAAAUUGCAUAUCAUUGUCGCUCCCCGCAAUGUAAAACCAUUAUCACUAAACUUAAAAAUCAAAUCAAAUUGGAAUCUUAAACAACAAUGUUGAAUUUUGUUAUCAUUUUUCUCCAUUUAAAACUAAAGUUUCGAAUUUUACGCAAAGCCUCCAUCAACCAACCAUUCUAAAGUAUUAGCAUUCAAUCCCUCUGUCUAACAAAAAAAAAGGCCACGGUAAAACUUAAGAUAAGAGCACUUUUAUUAUGAAGUCUCCACUUUUCACUUUGAUAUUGUCGGCCAAGAAAGAAACCCAUCAUUAUGUUUUUUCAAUAUCAUUAUCUAUCUAAAUAUUUUAUUAUUAUUAUUUUAUGAUAUUUGUUAACGUGUGUCCUAGAGUAUUGUGACUACCAUUAAACUAUGUCACUUAUACAACAUGUGAUUUACCACACGAUUGAAUAAAUUAUUUAUUUAUAGAAGGCACAUAGUACAAUAUUUUGUCUUGACAAACUUUGUCAAUUUGAUUUAUUCAUUAUACGGUUGUACUUAUACUAUCAUUUAUAGGAAUUAUUGAGCAACUAGAUCCACUGAUCAACAUUGUUGCUGAUUAAAGAAGUCUACCAAUUUAUAGACUGAUGAGCCACAUGCUCAUGGUGACAAAGAUUCAGUCCGGACGGUGAUCUCUUGUUUGACCGGACACCCACUUGCUCGGACAUUCGCUUAUUGGGACACCUAUGUGCCUGGACCCAACUCGAUGACCCUACAGAUAGCCCCAACUCGAUGACCCUACGUAUGGCCUCGACUCAAAGACCCGACUUGCGUACCCGAUCCGCGGAUCCGACGCAUAGACCCAAUAUGCGAACCCAACAAGCGGACCCGAAUCAUGUAGAAUCAACUCAUACUGAGUGCAUGUCGACAUAAAGUAGAUACUUGCAAUGAGGAAUACCACAAGCCGAGCCGUCUCGUAGUGAGCAUAGCCUUUAGCCAAGCCGCCUCGCAACGAGCAUCGCCUCCAGCCGAGCAAACGCCUCGCCGCGAGCAUAGCUUCUAGCCGAGCAGCCUCGCAACGAGCAUCACCUCCAGCCGAGCAAACGCCUCGCCGCGAGCAUAGCUUCUAGCCGAGCAGCCUCGCAACGAGCAUCGCCUCCAGCCGAGCAGUCUCAUAACGUGUGAUACCUCUAGCCGAGUAUUGCUUUAUGUUGAGCAUUGCCUUGGGUUGAGUACUGGUUCAAGACAUCUAGCCACUUUGGCCCUUACAUGGAUUGGAUUUCAUGUCUCCAGCCAAAAGACUCUUUUGAUUGAAGACUUGGGAGACUGCUGUUGGUACCACACAUAUUGGGCCUCAGACUUUGACACAUUGGGCCUCAACAUUUGGACCUCAUUACCCAGACCAUAAUUAUGUAAAAGGAAGAGCCCCUUAUUCUAUAAAAGGGGACUCCUCCCCCCUCACAAAUUAGACUCUGGGAUACCCCCAAAACAUACAAGUCUCAAACAACUCAGAGACAACACUCUCUUCCUCAGGGGGACUCCCCUUGAGCUUGUAAUCCAUACAUACAGUUACAGAGAAAUACAAUCAACAUCAGUGUGGACGUAGCCCAAACAUUGGGGUGAACCACGAUACAUCUUUGUGUUCUUGGGCGUUUGCAUGAUUCACGGUCAAGUUUACGUUGUUCCAAGACCUUCCGGUUUUAUGCAUCAACAAAUUCCACAGAUCGUGAUCCACCAUAAUCAAAUUUAAUCAAACAUUAUGCUAAAUAUAUUAUACACCAAUAAAAACGAAUUCUACUUCAGAUGAGGACCAAGAAUUUCUCCAAUGGCUAAAAUGAAUUUAAUUUAGAAGUAAAAGAUGCAAUUUAAAGGAACAUACACUUAUUUUUCUUUAUGAGAGCUCUUAGGAUUUUAGUGAGGAUGAAUGUGAGAUAAAGAUUGGUGAUGGUAGGAUUUGAUUAUUGGAUAUGUGUUUAUUAAUAAAUUUUCAUUUUUUUUUGUUAAUUUCAUCAUGUACUUGAUGAUAAUUAUGCAAUAGGGUAAAAAAUGCAAUUCACAUUUAAAAUUUAAGUUGAGUGUAGAAAGAAGUUAAAAUGGGUUCAACUAAAAUUUUCCUUUAUUUUAUAUAUGUUUCAUUUGUUAUUUGUUAUAGAUAAGACUCAAGUAUGAUUCUAACUUUUUUACAAUUAUAUCUCCCUUAAAUAUAUUACAUACAAAAGAGAGAACUAAAGAUAUAUAUAUUAUGUUUGGACACAACCCACAACAAAAGUUGGCUUUCCAAAAGAUAUGUUUGAAAGUUACUUCCUCAAAGAAAGAAAUAUACGAGGCCGAAUAUUUUUGAGAAAAGCAAUGAGUUCAUGGUUGUUGAAUCUACGGUCAAGUGACUCUUACAAUAGUGCUAUUACUUGUAAUAAAAGAAGGAAUGCUACAAUAUAUAUAUAUAUUAUAUACUUUGAUCUAAUGAAAAUAUAAAAUAGUCCAUAAUGAUUUUUUUUUGUUGGUUAAAAUCAUAUAUGUUGUUAAUCACCAAAUCAAUUGAUCUCCCAAGACCAUCUCCAAUGGUAAGCUAAAACCUGAAAUUUCUUCCCCCCCCCCCCCCCCCCAACAAAAAAAAAGCCACUUCAACCCAUGACCUAAAAUUAACCUAAAACCUAAAACCCAAAUGGAGGGCAAAUACCGGCCCAAUUAUUGGCCACAAAGCAAAAUGGACCCCACCAAUUGAGACUGAAACCGGGGCUGUGAAGUCCACUGCCCACUCCCUACUCGCCUACGCGUUGUACGCGCUAGGCUUUCUCAAAAUUUUGUACCAACCCACGUGGGGUUGUUCCCCAUUGUCACACCACCAACACUACCACCGCAUUCUCUCUCCAUCACCCACACCACCAUGACCACCAUCACCGUCAAUCCUUCACCAUCGUCACCACCAAUGCCACCACCUCCCACCACCAUUAUCGCCACAACCACAUCCUCCACUACCAUCACAGUUGGGACCAAGGCCACCACCACCUCCACUGUCUUACCAUUGCCGCCACCACAGCCACUGUCUAACCAUCACCACUGCCACCUACACCUUCAUUGCGACCACCAUGUUAUCCACAGUCACAUUGUCGACCAUCAACUAUCCACAGUCACAUUGUCGACCAUCAACUAUCCGUUGUCACACCGCCACCACCCACCAUCAUUGCUACCAACACCACUCUCGUAGCGAUCACCGUCUCUACCACCACCACCACCAUCUUAAUAAUAUUUCUAAAAACAUUACUACCAAAUAUGAAAUUAUGAUACGUUUCAAAAAUCAUUCUAGGAUUAAACUACCAGACGCACAUUCAAAUCAUAAAAAUGCAAAAUCCUAUUUGUCGUUUUCGUUUUACAAAACAUUUUCAAAAUUCAUUUUGUAAAACGUUCCAGACGAACCCUAAAUUACUAGAGCGAAAUCAUAAUGACAAAGAACUUUUUCCAUACAAAGGCUUCUCCAUAACUUAACUGAACAGAACUGAAAAUAUGAGAAGUCAAAUGAAGCAAAACAAUACUUCACUUGAACAAAACAAUUUUACUCCGUAACUUAACCAAUUCAUAUAUUAUUCCAAUAGCAAAUUAUGCAUCUACUCCCCAUUCUUUCAAGCCUUGUAUUACUAUUUCUCUUUCAAUUAUGGAAUGACUAAAAUUUCAGAUCUCGCGUAACCCUACAAAAUCACUACACAGACACUAUUUGUUAGCACCCUCCAAGAAUGGCACGCCUGCAAUCAUUCUCUCUCUCAAGUUUUCUCUUAACACUUAAACCGAAAGAAACACUCAGGACAAAACAUGUGUGUUUACAAGAUCGGACUGUAUCCCAUUUUUGACACCAACAGAAAUAAACAAAUCAUAUAGAGGGCAACAAAAAGCAACAUAAAAUAGGCAGCAACACAAUUGCUGCAAUUUAUUACCAUAUUUACUUUGAAGGCACAUAGAGUGCACGGUACAACUUAACAAAACAGCAACUUUAUACUUUCGUCGUGGUAGAAACCCAACAUACACAAUCAAAUUAAAGAAGUGCCACCAGCUGGUCAUCUGGUUUAUUUAUAAUCACUCAGAGGCAUAUAUACUUUGACUCCAAGCAAACGAGCACGCAACAAGGUAAAUACAGUUAAGGUGCUGGUAGGAUGAUGGGAGGUGAAAUGUGCGACUCAACGUCCCAUAGCUCCAAAACCCCAUGAACAAAGUCAUAGUAACCACCCUUGAGCGCUAGGUUGUUCUCUGCGAGCGCCUUUUGAACGUAAGGGUAAGUUUGUAGGUUUAUUAGCGACAAAUUUACUGCUUCCUGCAUAAAAAUUAUCAUUCAAGAAGAUGUUUAGGUGAGAUUAAUGUCAUAACUCAUGAAAGCGCACGCACACACCUUAACUGGUCACUAAAAAUUAUUUCAUUUGCAAAAAGUGAAUCGAGAGUAAAUGGCCUUCCAAAUAUUUCAUCAAUCCAAGAUCGAAUUAAUAUCUUACCCUUGCACAAUCCUCACAUUGUUCCUCGAAAGUGGUGCCACCUUGUCCAUUUGCUAUAACCUUAGCCUUGGCGGGUAAACCAAUUUUGACCCAUUCAUCUAUGAAGUCACUGCAUAUUCCAAUCAAAUGGUUAAGGAUGCAAAACUAUAUACCAUUAGCAAGUUCUAAUGAUCUCAGUUCAUUGCUAAAAAAAUGAUUAGGCUGGGUUUUUGGCUAUACUCUUUGACCAUCCUAAAAAUGCUAACAAAUAUCCAAAUUAACAGGUCUUAUAUUGCAUCCUUGUAAACGAUUAUGAUUAAUCAUCUUCCAUAAUCUACAACUUUUGUGUGUAAAAAGCCUUACAAGGGAACAGAGUUAUCCUCAGGGUGACUCAUAAGCCUCUUUAUCCCACCACAACGACUGUGUCCAAUUACCAAAAUAUUUGUCACCUGUUCAAUUUUCUUCUUGUUAGCAUUCAAUUCAUACUAUUUGAGUAACAAGUGAAGAGAAAAGGAUUAAGAGUUAUUAAUUCAAUAAAUUAAAAGACUUUUGGAAUGUUUACCAGGAGUUGUGUAAUAGCAUAUUCUAUAACUGCUCCAACUCCUGCGUGUUUCAGCUGUAAAGAUAUGGAAAAAAAUUAUUUUCGUAGUCGGAUGCAUGACUAUUAUGUGAUUUAUGAGAAAUUAUAUUCUCAAAGUUCAAUAUUAUUUUGAACGUGAAACUGACACACUUGUUCAUACAGUUUCUAAUGCAGGUGUGCGUUACUAUUAUAUAAUGUAGAGAGUAAUGGACCUGACUGAAUGCAGGAACCAUGUUUGCAAUGUUGCGAGCCAUGAAGGCCUCCCCAGGUUGGAAACUAAGGAUAUGUGAGGGGCUCACUCGGGAGUCCGAGCUGUUAAAGAUAGUGAAGGACCAGCUAUUAAUCAUGUACACAAUACAUUAGAAUAAUACUCUCAGAUACUUAGCUUAGCUGUUAAGUUUUGGCUUGUUAGAAUUAGUUGUGUAAAAUGCUUAGUCAGCAUUAUUAUGUAUUUUAUGUGUAUAUAUAUACACUGUGUACUUUGUAACUGAUGUAAUGAGAAAACCAUUUUACAACAAAUCCAAUCUCUCUCUAGAUAUUCUCUCUCUCUAAUUUCUCUCUAGAAUCUUGAGUUUCUCCAGAUCCCUAAUCUUCAACAUGGUAUCAAUCGCCUUCGUCUCACGACUUCGAUCCUUGCUUCCGUGAAUUUUCUCGCCUUUUCUUACCUCCCAAACAGAUCUUACCUUUUUCUUUUCUGUAUCUUGUCUACUAUUUCCAUGGCGACCACCACGAAUCCUUCUGAUUCUCCUUCUCCUGCAACUUCUUCUGCCCCGGCUCCCUCUCUCCUCACUCCGAUUGCAUCUAUUACUGUUCAGAAUGUUGCUGGCAUGGUUCCAACUAAGCUCAAUCGUCAGAAUUACAUUACCUGGCGCAGUCUGUUUCUUCCUGUUCUGAAAUGCUUUAAGCUUCUAGGGCUCAUCAAUGGCGAAGAUCCUUGUCCACUGGAAUUUGUUCGUAACUCCUCUGGUUCUCGGAUUCUCAACCCCGAUUAUGAAGCUUGGUGUGAACGAGAUCAGAUUUUGACAAUCUGGAUCAAUUCUACACUUGCUGAGGAUCUUCUUCCACUGACGAUUGGGAUGGAAGAUUCGCGGUCUCUUUGGCAGUCUCUUGAGCGUCGAUUUGCUGGUGCUUCGCGCACUCAUGUCCACAGUCUUCGCUCCAAGAUUCAGAAUAUUCAGAAAGGUGAUUCUUCAUUGACCGACUAUCUCAACUCCAUCAAAGAAAUCUCUGACAAACUGGCCGCGGCUGGUGAGCCGAUAUCUGAGAAGGAUCUUGUUGCGUAUAUUCUUUCUGGUCUGCCGGAUGAGUAUGAAUCGUUUAUUGAUUCAAUUGAGACGCGAUCUGAAGAUGUCAAUGCUGAUGAACUUCACGACCUUCUUCUCAGUAAAGAAAUUUCUCUUCAAAAACGCAAGACUCGAUCAUCUUCCUCCUCCGCUCCUUUUCAUGCCUAUACAGCACAGCCACAUCCAUCUGUCUCUAAUUCCUUUCGCGGAAAUUCUCGAGGAAAGUCUCAGUAUCGCAAUCGAUCUAAUCAGAAUCGUCAUUUUGGGGCUAAUCAAAAUGGUACUUUUGGACCUAAUCCGAAUCGUUAUUUUGGAGCUAAUCGGAAUGGUACUUUUGGCGCUCAUAGCAAUUCUGGUGGUGUCCUUGGUCCUGCUCCAAAUCAGAAUCGAUCAUCCUCAUUUUUCUCUGGACGUCCUAAUCCAUGUCAACUAUGUCAUCAACAUGGUCAUCUUGCUAUUUCUUAUGGUCAACUUUCACAAUUUGCGUCUCAGCACUCUCAGGCCUUCACCAACACUCCUGUUGGCAUGUCUGCUAUGACUGGUUCCUCUUCCCCAAGCUAUUGGCUCACUGAUAGUGGUGCUUCACAUCAUGUCACUCCUGAUCCAGCAUCUCUCAACUCAGGAAUUCCGUACACUGGUACUGAACAACUGUUCGUCGGUGAUGGUAAAGGUCUUUACAUUUCUCACAUUGGAUUUGCACUUCUUCGAACUGCCAAUGUUGCGUUUAAACUGAAUAAUGUUCUUUUAGUUCCUAAAGCUUCUCAUAAUUUGCUCUCAGUCUAUCGUUUUGUUCAUGACAAUUGGUGUUCUCUGACAUUUGAUCCUUUUGGAUUCUAUGUCAAGGAUCUAAGAACUGGGAGGACGCUUUUCCAGGGCCCCAGUGAAGGAGGUCUUUAUCCCUUCUAUUGGAAUGCAUCUAAUGGCGUAUCUGGCAUUGCUAUUUCACCUCAUGCCCUCAUGAUAGCUAAAGCAGACAUCCAUAUAUGGCACAGAAGGCUUGGACAUCCUUCUUCUAUAGUGUUAAAUAAGGUUGUCAAGCACAGUAAUCUCCCUAUUGUUGGUUCAGUACAUAAACAAUCAUUUUGUUCUGAUUGUCAAUUGGGGAAGGCCUCUAGACUCCCAUUUUCUGUUUUGCCUUGUACAUCCACUAGGCCAUUUCAUAUCAUUCAUGCUGAUGUAUGGGGUCAUUCCCCCACUCCUUCAUGUACUGGAUAUAAAUACUAUCUCAUUCUUGUUGAUGAUUUCACCAAAUAUAGUUGGUUAUAUCCGUUGUACUUCAAAUCUGAUGUGUGUUCUGUUCUUCAAACUUUUGUAUUAAAAAUUCAGAAUUGGUUUGAUUGUAAGAUUCAGUGCCUGAGAUCUGAUUCAGGGGGUGAGUUUCUCAGCUCUAUUUUACAAGGUUUUCUUAAUGCUCACGGUAUAGUCCAUCAAUUGAGCUGUCCUCACACUCCCGAGCAGAAUGGGUGCGCUGAGCGGAAACAUCGACAUGUUGUGGAAAUGGGAAGGACUUUGUUAUCUCACAGUGGUUUGCCCUCUAAGUUUUGGGUUGAAGCAUUUCAAACCGCAGUGUAUCUCAUCAAUAGACUGCCAUCUCAGUUUUCCUCUUGCCCCUGGGAAUUAAUGUUCAAAGCACCGCCUAAAUAUCAUGUUCUGAAGACUUUCGGUUGUGCCUGUUAUCCUUGGUUACAACCCUAUAGUUCUCAUAAACUGGACACAAAGAGUAAACUCUGUGUAUUUUUGGGGUAUAGUCUGCAUCACAGUGGGUACAGAUGUUUUGAUCCGGUUACUAACAAGUUAUACAUUUCACGACAUGUUGUCUUCGAUGAAGCUUGCUUUCCUUUCAAGCAAUGUACUUUUUCUCCUACUCUUUCCCCCAUCUCAACUACUACACCUUCAGACUCUCCCAUUUCCUUUACCAUACCGGUCUCUUCUUCAUCACAUCUACCCCAUGCCUCCCCCUUACCUCCUGCCACUGUCUUACCAACUUCAUUUCCUACUUCACUCUCACCUACUACUGUGCCUUCUCCACCUUUAGCAUCCCCUACUCACCCUACAACUACUCCUCCUUUAGUUUCUCUCCCUGUUAACAAUCAUCCCAUGAUUACACAGGCCAAGGUUGGCAUACACAAACCUAAAGUGUUCACUGCCACCAAGCAUUCUCUUCCUUCGACUGUUGACUCUCUCACAGUUAUUCCUUCUACACCCACCACUUAUCUCCAAGCUUCUAAAAACUCCCACUGGUUGGCAGCAAUGAAGGAUGAGUAUCAAGCUUUACAGUCCACAGGUACUUGGGAACUAGUACCCCCCAAUCCUCAAUAUAAUUUGGUUGGCUGCAAAUGGGUAUUUAAACUUAAACACAAGGCUGAUGGUUCUAUAGAAAGGUACAAAGCUCGGCUUGUCGCCAAGGGAUUUCAUCAACAGGAAGGUCUUGAUUUCUCCGAGACGUUUAGCCCAGUAGCUAAACCGACUACUAUUCGCAUUCUCCUGUCUAUUGCAGUCACAUAUAAUUGGUUUAUUCAUCAGUUAGAUGUGAGUAAUGCAUUUCUCCAUGGCUAUCUCAAAGAGGAUGUCUACAUGGUGCAACCUCCUGGGUUUAUUGAUCAAUCUCAACCUCAUCACGUUUGUAAACUGAAGCGAUCGCUUUAUGGCCUCAAACAGGCGCCCAGGGCCUGGUAUGAAGCCUUUUACAGUGCUAUUCUUUCAUUGGGUUUUAUCUCUUCAUCCUCUGAUACUAGUCUUUUUAUCAAGAGAGAUUCUACUAUCACCUUUAUCCUAGUCUAUGUGGAUGAUAUAAUCAUCACUGGGAGCUCCUCCAUGGUCAGUCAGUCCAUCAUUUCUCAACUCCAAUCUUUGUUUCCUGUCAAAGAUUUGGGUGAUAUUCAUUACUUCCUUGGCAUUGAAGUUCACAGAUCCCCUACCGGUCUCUUUCUUAAUCAAUCCAAAUAUGCCUUGGAUUUACUAAAGAAAACCGACAUGCUUGGUGUCAAACCCUGCUCUACUCCAGUGAGUUCAGCCAAGUUAGACAGUUCUGGCUCUAUUCUUCCAGAUCCUACAACUUAUAGGUCCACUGUUGGUGCACUUCAGUACUUGACUUGGACACGUCCUGAUCUGGCUUUUGCAGUAAAUCAGGUUUGUCAACAUAUGCAUACUCCUAGAACUAUCCAUCUACAAGCUGUCAAGAGGAUUUUACGGUAUCUAAAGGGUACCAUUGCCUCCGGCUUAUGGUUCAAACCAGGAAAACAGUGCCUCACAGCUUGGUCUGAUGCUGAUUGGGCAGGUUGUCCGGUAGACCGCCGAUCUACUAGUGGCUACUGUGUUUUCUUAGGUCCCAAUUUGAUCUCUUGGAGUGCCAAGAAACAAACCACUGUGGCACGAUCUUCUACUGAAGCAGAGUAUCGGUCUUUAGCCAAUACUGCUUCUGAGAUUACCUGGGUGUGCAAGAUCUUGAAGGAUAUUUCUUUUCCUCUUCUACAACCACCUGUGAUCUGUUGUGAUAAUCUGAGUGCAAUUGCUUUAGCCAAGAACCCAGUUUUUCAUGCCCGAACCAAACAUGUCGAGAUUGAUUAUCAUUACAUCCGAGAGAAGGUUCUUCAAGGUCACAUCAGUAUUCAUCAUGUUGCUAGUCUUUUUCAGAUUGCUGAUAUCUUUACCAAGUCCUUACCUGCAGACAGAUUUGCUACUCUCAGUCACAAGCUUUCAGUUUGUUCUCCUCCCUUCAACUUGAGGGGGUGUGUUAAAGAUAGUGAAGGACCAGCUAUUAAUCAUGUACACAAUACAUUAGAAUAAUACUCUCAGAUACUUAGCUUAGCUGUUAAGUUUUGGCUUGUUAGAAUUAGUUGUGUAAAAUGCUUAGUCAGCAUUAUUAUGUAUUUUAUGUGUAUAUAUAUACACUGUGUACUUUGUAACUGAUGUAAUGAGAAAACCAUUUUACAACAAAUCCAAUCUCUCUCUAGAUAUUCUCUCUCUCUAAUUUCUCUCUAGAAUCUUGAGUUUCUCCAGAUCCCUAAUCUUCAACACGAGCAUGCAAAUACCAGAAACUGCGUUGGGAAUUAGCAACAGAAAGAUUAAUUAAACAUUUCUUGGUCUAUUUAUUCUAAUUAAGAUGUUACAGCCAAAUAUUACCUUGGGGCUUUGUCCAUUGGCAAGCUCCUUGUAGUAAUCUGGGUAUUUUCUGUAAGAUCAGUAGACAUUAUGCUUUCGAAUCUAUUAGAUAUAUAGCAAAUAUGUACGAUAAUUAAUUAUUUUCAUAUAAUAAUAAAGAAAAUAGUGAUAUUACUCGAAUUUGUUGACCCUGAAGUUGAUGAAGCCAUCUACAAUCCUUUGAACUGGGUCGAAAUGACCAUCUGCAGGUCUUUGCAAUUCAGCCAUCAACUUCUCAAUUUUGGCAGCAACCACAUCGUCCAGCUCUUCCUUCUCACUGCAACCAUGCCAACCAAGAUUAUCAUUAAUUUCAUCGUCCCAUGCAUAUAUUUUAUGCCACCAACAACCCUUUGUAGCCUUUAACAAAAACAAAUUGGAGACUAAUUUUUUUUUCUUGUUAGAUAUAUAGUUUACAUGUUAAAGUAACGUUUAGAAUCGGUCCAUGAACUUUCACCCUAGUUUAUAUUUAGUCCAUGUACUAAAAAUUCGUUAAUUGAAUUUGGUUCUUAAAAUUAACAAAAGAGUAAAUUGUAGUAAUGGUCCCUCAACUUUAAUUCAAUUGGAGCAAUGGUCAUUCAAUUAAAAAUCCAUUACCAUUGGUCCCUCAACUCAUCAAAAUGUGUAGUUAUGAUCAUUUUUAUCAACUUCGUUAAAAUUUUGUCAAAAUAAGUUAUGUUGGAAGGAUCAUUGCUACAAUUGGGGUCCCUCAACUCAUCAAAACGUAUAGCUAUGGUCAUUUUCGUCAACUUCAUCGGAAUUUUGUCAAAAUGAGUUAUGUAUGAAGAACCAUUGCUACAAUUGGGUUAAAGUUGAGGGACCAUUUCUCUAGUUGGAUUAAAGUUGAGGGACCAAUGGUAAUGAAGUUUUAGUUGAGGGACCAUAGCUGCACGUUUUGAUGAGUUGAGGGACCAAUGGUAAUAGAUUUUUAGUUGAGAGAUCGUUGCUAUAAUUUACUCUUAACAAAAAUAUGCACAAUUUUGAGUUCACAGACGAAAUCUAAACUAGGACCAAUUCUAAAUUUUUACUUUUACAUGUUAUAUUGUCAAACAUCAAUAUCUGAUAUUUUCAUAAAGUGGAUGGUUAGACCAAAGAUCAUGGAUGGAGUCAAUAAGUAGGCAAACCUGAGGAGAUUUUUCAGGCGUUGAAUAGCUAAUUGGCUUGCCAUUUUGUCUACUUUCUUUCCUGCAAAUUCAAGAAUCAAGACCUUAUUAGUUUACAUUGAAAUGUAUUAUAUGGGUUCUCCUUAAUCACGACGGCACAAAAAAAAAAAUGUAAAUAAGAAACUGAGAGAGUCCCAAGCGGUGGGAAAGAAGCCAAAAUUAACCCUGAACAAAGUUCAAAACAAAACAAGACCAGGCAAACCAUUUUUUUUCCCUUCUUGGCACCUAUAUUUAUUUUUGUUUUUUGAUUUUCUUUUAAUUUAUUCAACUCAAAGGCCAAAUAAAUAAGGAUUGUAUAUUUGAGUUGUUCCUUUAAGAAUUAACUAGGUUUUUAGUUUUAUAAGCUAUAUUGAAUCAAACUUGAAAUUCCGAGUGCAAGAGUUAAAUUUCUAUGAUCAGUAAUUUUAAUUUAUCUUCAAUUAAAUAAGAGUUUUCAUUGGAAGUACGUUUUUUUUUUUUUUUUUUUUUUUUUUUUUUUUUUUUUUGGAAAACCUCGACGGUACGAGGGUAAUUUUAUUGAUAACGAAAAAACAAGGUACACCUAGUCAGGGGGGGACAUAAACCUUACCCCUCCAAAAAACAGAGAUAACAAAAAGGAAUACACUAGAAAGAAGGGGGGACAUAAACCUUACCCUUCUAGAAACAAAAAAUGAGAAUGAUACAAAGAAAAGAGGGGGGGACAUGAAACCUAACCCCUCUAGAACCAAACAUGAAGGUCUAAACCUGCAAAACAAAUCAAACAACACCAUAAAGAUAGGAGAAAAAAAGGAAAGUGAGACAAACCUGGAUGCCGACAUGCACAUUAAUUUGAGAAGCGGUAACCAGGCAAGCCAACAUAGUCAGAAAACAGAGUAGCACGAACCGCCAUCGGAGGAGAAUCAUGCCAUGUUAAAGAUGGAGAAGACAAGCCCAUGUUAGCAAAAUUGUCCGCAACAAGAUUUCCUUCUCGAUAUAUGUGAGAUGCGUAGAAAGUCAUUUUCCGAAUGCGAUCCAAACAAAUAGACCAUUGCGUAUGAAGAGGCCAAGGAGGAUCAAAAUCAGAUGAUUGAAGAGCAGAAAUAACACUAGAACUAUCACUUUCCAACCAAAGACAGUGCCAACCCCGCUGAUAAGCAAACUCAAUACCAAUAAUAAUUGCUGAUAACUCUGCAAAAAAAGAGUUGCAAUGACCAAUCCGUUGACAGAAACCUCCGAGAAAACGACCAUGGCAAUUCCUGAAAACUCCUCCACAUGCAGCAGGACCGGGAUUUCCUUUAGACAAACCAUCUGUAUUAAGCUUAACCCAAGGAAACGAUCAUUGGAAGUACGUUAAUUAAACUGGUUUGAGCAUUAAGGAAAGAACUAGAACUAAUUAUCCAUAUAUGUAAAUUCUGCCAAAGUUCACAGUACUAAGCACGCGCAUACACACACAUAUGAUAAUAUAGUUUGAGUAGAAACAUAGAAAUUGAUAUUAAUCUCUUGCAUACCCGAAAUAAUCAGAACAUGAUUUAUUCUAUGCCCAAACAAAAACAUACACACACAACCGUACGUACGUUCAAGAUAUUUUCCAAACCUAGCAAUGGAACUAAAGGAGAUCAAAUUGCUUCACACAUGCACAAGCAACAAAUACAAAACGCAGGCACAUAUUUGCAGUGAGGGUUGGAGCUUCUAUUUAUACACCGAGUGAUAGAGACUAGCUCCUUUUUAUUUCUUUCUAUUUCAUUUUUGGGUUGAGACUAACUAUUUAAUCGACAUGUUUUAAUUACUCUCUGAAAUAUUGAUAUUGAUUGAUUGGACAACUAUGAAAGCAUUGGACCAUAUUUAAAUCGUGAUUCGUGACAAUAUAGUAAAAAACGAGAAGGAGCUCUCCACUCCUGGCUCCAAUACCAUAUCUUUAGCAGUUUUUUUUCUAUGAAUUCUUUUAAUAGGGUAAAAUGUAUAUUUUGUUGAGAUUUGACGAUGUGAGGAAAAGUUUGUCUCACAUCGAUGAGGGACAUGUUUUGUUAUGAGUUUAUAUGGUUUUGAACUACUUCUUAUAUGACCAAUUGGUUUUAUGGUGGAACUCUAAUUUUAUCAUGGUAUCAGAACAUAUUGUCCCUCGUGUGAAACCCUAAGGGUCACACGUGUUCAUGCGUCACCCAAUUGUUGUCCACGUGUAGGCUUGAAAAUCGGCCACAUGUGUCCGUGUUGAGAUUUGAUGAUGUGAGGAAAAAAUUGUCCCACAUCGGUGACGGACAUGUCUUGCUAUGAGUUUAUAUGGUCUUGGGUUACUCCUCGUAUGAUCAAUUGGUUUUAUGAUGAAACCCAAUUUCAUCAUAUUUAAGGUGGCGCCAUCCAAUUGUGAAUGUUUCCCAAUUUCUUGCUUUCUUUGUUACAUAUGAAUUAUAAGUUGCAUGUAGUACGUGAUUGAGAAAAAAAAGUUUGUGCAUGCGAAGAAGUUAGUAAUUAAUUAGUGAUUAUGUAGGUUUACUAGCAAGACAAAAUGCGUAACUAGCCGUCUUAGGAAAUUUUUUAAUCUUAAAACUCAUGAAUAUGCCCGCAAGAAAAACGCAUUUCUACUUCUUUAUAGUGGCACGUAAUGACAAUCAUACACUUAUAAUUUCCACUCCUACACACAAGCGCACAAGCUGACUCAUGAAUAUGCCCGCAAGAAAAACACAUUUCUACUUCUUUAGAGCAACUUCAGCGUGGGCUGGUGCUUGGGGGACGGGGGACGAAAUAGGGCUAGAUAGCUCGACCUUGAAGCGUCAGCAUGGGCAGCCCAAGGGAGAGUGGAGGCCCAAGCUCCGGGCAUGUGAGGAAUUGCCAGCCCGAGAGCCCGAGUGGAUGUGACGCUAGGGCUGACGUCAUCCUGGUGUUGGCCCAAUUUUAUAUUUUUUUCUGUCAGGCGCGUGCGACUCAUCCGCGUGUGGGGGCGUGUCCGCAGACAACUUUUCAGAGUAUGGGCUCGCGUUGUAGUCUACCGAUAUUACCGUUGGGAAGCCACGUGGCUUCCCACGGUCCGUUUGAUCUUAACGGCUCUUUAAAUUGAACCGUCUGAUUUGCAACGAUAAUAAAAAUAAAAAAAUCUUAUUUAAUAUCAACCGUUGGAUCUGAGUUCAAAUCCAACGGUUGAUAUUAUUCUGCUUUAUAAAUAAAUAAAUAAAUAAAAGAAAAAAUAGUUUUAAAAUUAAGAAAAGUUACCGUUGUGACAUGUGGCACAAUCUGGAGUGUUGGAAUUCAAUUUUUUUUUUCAAUCCAACUGUAGAGAUUAAUUAGUUCAAUAAAAAUUUAAAAAGAAUGUAAAAAAUCCGAAAAAAAAAACAUUCUCAUUAUCAUCUACCUUACAUCACAAUUUCAUAUUUUCUCAACUACUUUCAAUCAAAUUCCUAUCUUUCUCUCAAAGUUUCAAUCCAACUUUUUUCAACAAAAUGACUACUGAUGCAAGUACAAAUUGGUCACUUCUUGAAGAUGUUGCGUUGUGUACUAGCUGGGUUGAAGUUACUUAUAGUUUGCUUACGGGUAAUGAGAUGCAGUUGCUAGAAAUAUGGAGUCUUAUUCAUACCAAUUAUCUUGAAAAAAUGGGUGAGAAAAGAACCAAAGAAUCGAUGUCAAGUCGUUGGAAAUUACUUAGCCAAUCGUUUAGUACGUGGAGAGACGCAUUGGCACAAGCUAGUACUAAUCUUCGAAGUUGGGAAAAUUAUGCGGAUUAGGUAACAAUAUAUUAUUUAUUUGUUUGUACUAUACCCAAAUUUAUAUUAUAAUUAUUUAUUUGUAUUAUUUAUUUAUUACCUAUUUUCAUUUAUAAUUAUUUGUUUGUUUUAUCUAUUUGUUACCUACUUUCAUUAUAAUUAUUUGUUUGUAUUAUUUAUUUGUUACCUAGUUUCAUUAGAAUUAUUUGUUUGUAUUAUUUAUUUGUUAUCUACUUUCAUUAAAAUUAUUUGUUUGUAUUAUUUAUUUGUUACCUACUUUCAUUAUUUGUUUGUAUUAUUUAUUUGUUACCUACUUUCAUUAUAAUUAUUUGUUUGUAUUAUUUAUUUGUUACCUACUUUCAUUAAAAUUAUUUGUUUGUAUUAUUUAUUUGUUACCUACUUUCAUUAAAAUUAUUUGUUUGUAUUAUUUAUUUGUUACCUACUUUCAUUAUUUGUUUGUAUUAUUUAUUUGUUACCUACUUUCAUUAUAAUUAUUUGUUUGGGCCCAAAAAUACUGUUUUGGGCCGAGUUAGGUCUUUUUCGGCCCAGUGUGGGAUAGGCCGAGGUUAGACUCAUCCUCGGCCCAAAAGUUGUAAACAGGUGUCGUUAGAAGAUGUUCAACCCAUGGGCCGAGUGGUCGAAGUGGGCCAUAUCCUAUCGGAAAGAGGAAUAUGGAUGAAUCCUGUUGUGAGAGGGAGUCUCGACGGGAUCAGGAUGCUGAGAUUGAACACGGUUUGAUAAUGAGUUGUGUUCAAAGUCCUAGUAGGAAUAGGAUUGGUCGAGAUAAAGUUGGAUUAUGAUAAGGAGUUCUAAUCCAGGAUGAAUGAGAUUUAAUACAGGUUGACUGCUAUAUAUAGGGAGAGAAGACAUCGAAACAACCCCCUUCAAUUCAACACACAACUGCCCUACGCAAAUUCUCUCAACAACCUUGAAACUUUUUCCUUUUCUUUUUUCGCCGACACACCUUCAGUUUGGAGAAACAACACUGUGAAGGCAACCGGUGAUAUCUUCAGUCGGUAUAGAUAGCACUGUCACCGUAGAACCAGUCGGUUUCGCAGCAUCUUCAGUCGGCAUAGAUAGCACUGCGUCGAGGGUGACUGGUUAUCUAUCCAAGUCUCGGUCGAAAAAGAUUUCCGAAUCCUUAUUGGUUGAGGUCAUCUCAUUAGCUUUCUCGGCGAAGUGAGGUGUUACAGUUUAUUAGGCUCGGCACAUUGCAUGCCGAGUUAGUUUAUGAUUGGAUACUCUCAAGUGAGAUUUAGAGUUCGGUAUUCCGACGGCCGAACCACGUUUAUUGUUAAGACAUAUAUCCGCUUUGAGUAUUUGUGCCCUUACACUUUGGUGUCGAUUCGGCGUGAGUUUACUCUGACGAAUACCAUCACUGUGACCAAAUCCGACGACGAAGAUUUGUGAACUUCGUAAGAAUAGUAGCCUUGUCUUCAGGUUUGAGAACCCAAGAGGUCGAGACUUGUUCAUUCCUCGGUCGCAAUCGCAAGACGUAGAAGUCGGCCGCGCACUUAACACAACAUCAGCAUAUUUUACUCCUCGGGCGAGCUUGGCUGACGAGUUGGCACGCCCUGCAUUCAAUCGAAUGACGUAGUUAGCUCAUAGUUUACUCGGCAUGCGCGCCACGUAGGCUUGGUAGUUUUUAGGGUCAACAAUUAUUUAUUUUUUACCUACUUUCAUUAUAAUUAUUUCUUCUCCCACAUUAUGUAGCAACUUCAAGCACAAGCUUGGUAUGGUGCCAAAACUAAAAGCAAAAAUAAAUCAUUCAACCGGUGGGAAUGUUGGAAUAUUGUAAAAGAUUAUCCUAAAUUCAGAGUUGUGCCUGUCGGUCCAGAAGUUUUCAUGAACAACACUCAUCUACACUCUACACCUGAUCAUGGCUCGCAUGUUCAUGAAGAUGAUGCAGAAGAAGUGCCUAAAACGCCCUUCCUUGAACAAGCUUCGGGGUCGACCCGUUAUCCAAUUAGGCCUCAAGGUAAGAAGGCUUCAAAGAGAAAAGGGAGUACUUUCAAGAAUGAUUAUGCAAAGUAUAUGGAAGAACUUGCUCGCCAAGGUGAAUUGACUUUGGCACUAGAAAUGGUGAAAUUUGAGGCUAAUAAGGCUAAAGAUGAGGCAAAAGCUGCAGUUGUUGAGAGAAAAUUUCAAGCUAAUGAAAGGGAAAAAGAGCUACUUAGGCAAGAAAGGGUACUGGUUAGAGAAGAAAGAAUGACUUAACGAGAUCGUGACAUCAUGAACACGCCUUUACAAGGGAAGUCUCCAAAUUCUAAAUAUUUUUGGAAGUCAGAGAAAGAGGAUGUGGUGCGAAGAAGGCGUGCAAGAGAAGCAAGAGUAAGAGGAUAUGGUCCUAGCACGACAAGAGCAAAUCAUCCUAGCACCACAAAUUGAUUAAGUGAUAAUGAAUAGAGUACUUUUUGUAAUCGGAGCCCAUAAUUUUCCAAUCACUUUGGGUUGUAAUUUAUUAUUUAUUGAAUAGUGUACUUUAUGUUGUUUCCAAUUUAUUGAAUUUAACACUUUAUUUAUAGUGAGAGUAAAUUUAUUUAAUUUGGUAAGUUAUUUAUACUAUAUAAGAGAAUAUUUAUUCAAAUGACAAAAACACACCAAAUAAAAUUACAUAAACAUACCAAAUAAUUAAAAACUCACUAAAAAUGAACUAAAAAAAAACACACCAAAUAAUUAAAAAUGAACUAAAAAUGAACUAAAAAAACACACCAAAUAAAAUUAAAUAAACACACCAAAUAAAAACAAAUACACUAGAUGAACUUAUUUAUCUUCAACUUGUUUCAAUGCCCACUGGUGCUCUAUCAAGUCAUUUUGUCGGGCAUUGUGCAUAUAUGGCCUUUGAAGUGCAGUAUAUUGUUGAAUGACCAUUUCAUUGUAAUGUCCAUCCCUUUCUAAUGGCUCAUGUUGCAUGAAUUCUUCAAUGGCAUCAUGAGCAUAAUACAUACGUGUUCUUGACUUGUUCAUUGUGUUUGGCUCAUAUUCAUCAACGGCAUCAUAAUCGUACUCAUCCUCCACAAUCAUGUUGUGAAGAAUGAUGCACGUCAUCAUGAUGGAUCAAAGCGACUCUACAUCAAACAAUCUAGCAGCACCCCUGAUGAUCGCCCAAUGAGCUUGGAGGAUACCAAAACAACGCUCCACAUCCUUCAUGCACCCCUCUUGAUAGCUUGCAAAGUGUUUUUCCUUUGCACUUCGCAGACGUGGCACUAUUUUGGAAAAUGUUGACCACCUUGGGUAAAUGCCAUCUGCUAGGUAGUAUGGCCCAUCGUACAUACGUUCGUUGACGCAGUACGUGACUUUUGGUGCCUUUCCUUGCAGGACAUCGUUGAACACUAGGGUUUGGGCAAUGAUGUUGAGGUCAUUUUGAGGAUGGAUGAUGGAUUAUAUGGAUGAUUCAGAGGAUGGAUUAUAGGUGUGAGAUUUCAGAGGAUGGAUGAUGGAUUAUAUGGAGGAUUCAGAAAUGAUUAGGUUGUAGAUAGUGUCACGUGGCAUGCCAUCAUUCGUUAAAAAUAUGAUCGAAAUCUAUCUUAAAAGAUUUUGAAAAAGGUAAGGACAUGUGGCACGACGAGAUUGGAUAAAAAUCUUAUCGAAAUCCAUCAUCAAUAAUUGUCUUUUCGGGUAAUGACACGUGGCGCAACGAGAACGAUUAAAAAUCUAAUCGAAAUCUAUCCUCAAAGAUUCUAAAAAGGUAAGAACACAUGACAUGACGACAUUGGAUAAAAAUCUUAUCGAAAUCCAUCACAAAUAAUUGUCUUUUCGAAUAAUGACACGUGAUGCAACGAGAAUGAUUAAAAAUCUUAUUCGAAAUUACAAAUAAAAAAUUAUUUUGUAUUAUUUAAAAAAAAAUAUUUUAUUGCCUAUUGCCAGGGCUAUUCAAGUGCAACGGUGGAGAUGUAAAAAACAGUUACUGUUCAUUAAGGGCGGUUACUGUUCACAUGGUGGAUUGAAAAGUGAAUAGCCUGGGGGGAGGGCUCCCACGCUGGAGUUGCUCUUAUAGUGUUAUGUAUGGACAAUCAUACACUAUAAUUUCCAUUCCUACACGCAAGAGCACAAGCUGGCGGCAGGCUAGCUAACUGAGUACGUAACUCUGAGUAACGUUGUAUUAACCAUAUUUUUUCAGUAUUCGGAUUCUCGCCUGAUCCUCAUUGUGAUAUUCUUGAAAUCUGUUAAUUGCGUUUGUUUAUCGUAUAUAGUCCGAUCAAAAAUCAUUUUAAAUAUUUUAUUUAAAAUUAAGCACAAACAGUACCUGAUAAAAAUUGACCGCAUGAUGUACGAUGAAUGAUUACGAUUUACGGAUCCCCAGGAUCCUCACCAAAAGGAUCUAGCGAGGAUCCUGUUGGAUUUUUUCAUACUAUAUUUGCAUCGUAUUUAUAAUAGAGUAGGAGCCACCAACAUAUGUGGGUUCCAUCUCUAUUAGAAAGAUGUUACAAACAUGGUAAAAUAAGGAAAACUAAUGAAAAAAGCUUGAAAAUUUUAAGUUUUAACGAUAAAGACAAAAUAAAGGGUAAAGUAAAUAGUAUCAUAAUUGACUUUUUAGUGUAAAAAUAUGGUUUUUUUUUUAUUAAAGUAAACAAUACCGGGAGCUUUUCGUUAAAGUUUCUUAAAAAAUAUGAUAAGAGUAACAUUUUUGCAUUCAAAGUGUUGAUUUAAGAAAUUGAUGAAUUUUUCAGCUAUGAAAAGAAAUUUAAUAUGCAAAUUUUUUUGACAGUAGGCUUUUUCAUAGUACCAAUGACAUUGAAUGAAUCGUUAACCGGAAAAUUAAGAAAAUAAAAUAUAAUAUACGAGCGUAUGGUUUCAUUUUUAAUAAACACCGAUACAUUUUGUCAUAAAAUUCAAUACCUAGCAAUAAUUGAUUAAGUUAGGAAAAUAUCGGUAUAGUUAGGAGAGGUUCAUAUAUAUAUAUAUAUAUAUAUAUAUAGAGAGAGAGAGAGAGAGAGAGAGAGAGAGAGAGAGAGAGAGAGAGAGAGAGAGAGAGAGAGAGAGUUCUCAAAUUCCUUGCGAGAUUAUAUUCAAGAACUCUGGCUAAUACAAAUUCCUUGUGUCAUCCUCAGCUGAAUCAAAUGAAUACAUUGUCUCUUCUAAAGGAAGAAAUACAGUAAGAACCAAAUAAUAGUGUUACAGAACAAACUAAACAAUUAAUCUAUGACAUUACGCUGAAGACUAAGAAUACAUAUCCAUCAUCUUUUCGUUACAGUACCACAUAUCCGAAUCACUUCUAUCAAAUCUAUUUGAAUAGUUUAUCUUAUUAAAAAUUGCUAAAGAUGAGUUCAUAGGGUGUAUGGCUUCGUAGCAUAAUAUCUACUUUUUUCUUUGACAUAUAGGUCACACUUUCCCAUUCCACAUGAAACUGUUGUGUCAAUUCAAAUUUACCACAACAUUAAUGCUUGUUUCCAUAGCUGCAAAAGAAGUGUUUGAAAUGAAAAUAUGAGUUGAAGUGUAAAUUGUUUGUAGUAUUUAAAAUACAUACAUACAUUGCCAAAAAGUAAGAAAAAAAAAAGUCAUAUCCAAUUAGAUUGACCAGAAGCUCAAUCAAAGAUAAUAUCAAAUAUAAAACCCGUUACUUUGCAUUUCGUUGACAUUUGGAGUUGUUUAAAUUAGUUUUUGUUACCAAAAUCUAAACAAUAGAAAGAAGAACCUCUUCGAAGAAGAAUUUACAGUAACUACAACUAUAAUGCUUUUGUCUACAAUAAUAUUAACACAAUAAAUAAAAAAGAGUUCUCAAAUGUACAUAAUCUUUACUCUGUUUUUUCAAAUUCUAAAGCAUGAUAUGGUAUCUACCAAAUGGAAAUAAUAAAGGGAAGAAGAACCUUAAGAGUAUAUGAAUGGACAAUCUUUUCCUAUAUGGAGGAGGAAUUAAACUCAAUUAACCGAAAGGAAAAAAAAAACAAAAGCUAAAAGUGGAUGAUCCUGCAAUUGAAAAACCCAAAUGUGCAGUAAAAACAACCAAGAGAAAACAGAAGCUAAAAGAAAUCACAUUAAAAAAAAAUCAAUUGAAAUGAAGCAAUCACACUUGAUCGACCAUAAAGUGACGUACAAAUGCCAAUUGCCAAUUGCCAAAAAAAAUAAGAAACCAUUUUGAAAUUAAGCAGACAUUGUUGUAAUAAGAAAAAACCUCAAAUGUGCAGUAUAAUUGAAAUUAACUCCAUUUGGAGGGAAUUAAAGAAUGCUAGAACCACAAUAACUUCAUAUUACAUUAAACAUUUUGGCUAAUAUGUUAUAAGCACAACCAACUCAUCCAUAUUAAGAAGCCAACAAAAAUAGAAACCAACUUGUGAACGAAAGGAAAGAUGUGAACAGAAAAUAAAUUCAACAAAACUGGAAAAAUGAAGAGAAGAAAUUCCACUUAAGAAAGGUGGUCAGGGAAAAAAACAAAAAUGAAUCAAAAGUAGAAGAAAUUCCACGACCGACCUGCGUAUUUAUCCUAUACAACAGUCGUUGUCAAACUCUUCAGUCGAAGCUCUACACAUUGCUUAUAUCUGUGAGCAAGAUUUUAAAAAACGUUAGGUACUAGUCGGGCGGCGGGCUAGCGCCUAGCGCCUAAGCAGUUAGACGGGGUCUAGGAGAGCACAUAGGUGGAUUUAGGUAAAUUUCAUGUAUAUCUUGUAGACAAGUGCAUAUUAACACUUACAAAAAAUUAUACUUGUAUAUUAUACUUGUAUGAAAUCAAUGGAUAAGAUGAUAAAAGAAUAAUAAAAUGCAAAAAGAGUAUCCAACAAGUUCAAAAUUUAAAAACACAUUAAGCAUAUAUGCCACAUAAUCAUUGUGAGGAGUAUUGUAGAAUGACACAUGUACAAUAAGUUCAUAAUUUAAAACCACAUAAAAUGCAAAAUAGGAGGAAAAUAAGGAAAUAUAGUAAUGUAGAUAGAUAAGAUUUUUUUUUAUUUUUUAAUUUCAAAAAAAAAAAAAACUGCCUAGCCACCUAGCAUCACCUAGCCCGCCUAAAGCCCAACCGAUUUUUCCAACCGAUUUGCAAGAAAACGCCUCGGGUCACCACCGGCUAGCGCCGUUUUUAGAACAUUGUCUGUGAGAUGAAUACGACAAACAUUUGAGGUUGAAUUAGUGAAUUUCAAAUACACUGGAAAAGAGAAUGCAAACCACAUCUUGAUGAACAAAAUUAGAGAAAAUGGCGAAUAAAAAACAGAAAGGGAAAUCGAUUAGGUACUCAUAAUUAAAGAAAGAUUAGAAAUUUCAUUAAAAUAAAAAGAAGAAUUGAAAGCAAAAUCAAAUGUAGAAGAAAAUUCCAUUAAUUGAUACAACAUUCACGAUUUGUCCAGAUUCUUACAGCCUUACAUGAAGCUUUGCACUGUGCAAUUUUUUUACCUGAAGCAGCAAAAGGCCCACUCCUCACAUCAUGAUCUGCCACAAUUUAAAGAAGUCGAAGUAGUAGAAAGUCUUUGGCAUAACAAAACUGAAAGCAUAAAGCAUAAACCCAAUAAGAGUCAUAAACUAAUGAAGAAAGAAUUUGAAAAUUUUCAUACUACUAACCCUGUUAAAGGAAAGUAUAUUUGGUUAAACAUGAUUGUAGGGAUUGUAAAUAGUCAAUGAUCUGGUUAGAGCUAUCAUAGGACCAGAUUGCAAUCAACUUGUAAUUAGAGAUUGGUUACCUAGAAUAGGCUGCAUCUGACUGUAUAAAGCUUGUAUCCUUGUAUGAAUGAAUAUACUGAAAAAUAAACCAUUCAGCAAACACUUCAAUUUUCACAUGGCAUCAAAGCACCGAUCCUGGUGACUCUAGGCGUCCAUUCCACUUCCGCUACAAACACAGCCCAAAAUUUUCCCAACACACACAACCAACAUGGCUGAUGAAAAACCAGCAGAGAUAGUGCCACAUGCAUCCGACCCUCUCAUCCUACACCACUCAGAUUCACCAAGUCUCGUCUUGGUUUCACAACUCCUCGACGGACACAACUACGGACAAUGGAGCCGCUCUAUGCGCAUCGCUCUCAGUGCCAAGAACAAACUUGGGUUCAUUGAUGGAUCAAUCAAGUGCCUUGCAAUUACCGACGCCAAAUUUUCAAUUUGGCAGAGAUGCAACGACAUGGUCUUGUCAUGGAUUUGGUAGUCUGUGCAAGGCAACAUCGGACGCAGCAUACUCUACUGCAAAUCUGCAUCUGCAACGUGGAAGGAUCUUGAGGAUUGAUUAUCGCAAGGAAACGAUUCCAGGAUCUACCAAAUUCGACAGGAAAUCGUCGAACACCGACAAGGACAACCAUCCGUUUGAGACUAUUACACCCAGUUAAGGGCUUUUUGGGAUGAAUUGGCUUCGUAUUAUGAACCAAUUGCUUGCGAUUGUGAGGGAUCCAAGACUCGUGUAGCAAGGGAGGAAACAGAGAAAGUCAUGCAAUUUUUAAUGGGCUUGAACGAGACUUACUCAACCAUACGAGGCUCCAUCUUAAUGAUGAAUCUGCUCCCUAAUACGAGACGUGUCUAUAGGUUGGUUCUGCAACACGAGCGCCAAAUGGAUGUGGCAAAUCAUCAUGAACCUGCUGCCCACGUGAUGCAUACACAUCGGUCCACCACGCCAAAGGGAGGAUCUGCACCUGGUAGUUCCAGUUCACGCAAAGCAUCCAAAUGCAGCUACUGUGAUGGCUCACAUUCCGAGGAGCACUGCUACUUUCUUAUUGGGUUCCCCGAAGGACAUAAGUGGCAUGGGAAACAUGUACUGCCCAGAAACAAACGCCAAAAUCCGACAGCCCACAAUGUCGAAACACCUCAAUCACAAACCACCCAUACAGACGCAACCAAGGCCACAUCUUCCAAUGGCCCAACGUUCACAACCGAAGAGUACCAUCAACUUCUUACCUUGCUUCGCUCUGGAAACGGUAAAAUUACACCACUUGCGAAUGCAACAGGUAUUGUCACACCCAUAUGUAAUAUGACGGAACAUGACUUGCAUUCAACCCUUUACUGGAUUAUAGACAGCGGGGCAUCUGAUCACAUAUCACAUUCACCAUUAACACAUAAUCAGAUUGAUGUUGAAAAUGAUUUUGUGGGAUUACCAAAUGGGGGAACAGCAGACAUUAAGAGCAUUGGAUCCGUAAAACUAUCACAUGAGUUAUUACUUGAUGGAGUUCUACAUGUUCCAAUAUUCCGUGUCAAUUUAUUGUCUGUGAGUAAACUCACACGGGCUCUACAAUGUAUCGUAAUAUUCUUUCCGGAUUUUUAUGUUAUACAGGACAUGGAUACGAAGAGGACGAUUAGCUUAGGCAAGCAAUUUAAUGGGCUCUAUUACCUUACGCCAAGUCAAAAUCCCCAUCUUACCAACCAUGUUAGCCGCACCACCAGUCUCUGGCAUCAACGCUUGGGCUACCCCUCUACACACCCUUUACAUUUUUUGUCAAAAACAUUCCAGAAAUAAUGUUCGAUUCCAAACAUGUUUGUGAAGUUUGCCAUUUGGCAAAACAAACUCGAUUGUCUUUUACUUCUAGUUCAAUUCAAUCCACUGCACCUUUCGACUUAAUUCAUUGUGACAUUUGGGGGCCUCACAAAGUUCCCACACAUUCCGGGACACGUUAUUUUCUCACCAUCGUGGAUGAUUUACUCAUUUUACAUGGGUGCAUCUUAUGCGUUUUAAAUCCGAUACACAAACACUAUUGACAUCAUUCUUCUCUUGGGUCAAAACUCAAUUUCACAAAAACAUCAAAAUUCUACGAGCUGACAAUGGUGGAGAGUUCCUCUCCAUGCGCACUGUUUUAGACACCCAUGGCACCAUUUUUCAGCAUUCAUGCGUUCACACCCCUCAACAAAACGGGGUUGUUGAACGUAAACAUCGACAUCUUUUGAAUAUUGGGGGUGCACUUCGUUUCCAAGCCAAUUUACCAUUAAAAUUUUGGGGAGAUAGUGUUCAAACCGCAUGCUAUCUCAUCAACCACAUUCCCACACCAUUAUUAUCCCAUAAAUCUCCCUACGAAUUUUUACAUGGUCACUUGCCCAAUUACUCUCACCUUCGCGUGUUCAGAUGUCUUUGUUAUGCCACCAACCUUCACCCAAAACACAAGUUUGACACUCGUGCUCGCCGUUGUCUUUUCCUUGGAUAUCCUCUUGGUCAGAAAGGUUAUCGUGUUUAUGACCUCGACACGCAUACCAUCUCCACUUCCCGUGAUGUCCACUUCCAUGAAACAAUUUUUCACUUUGCCCAUUCACCACCUGAACAUGAGGAUGACUCCCUCGUUCUUCCACUUAUUUUUCCAGACUCAUUACCCACUCUGCCCAGUACACCAUCUCCCGACCCACACCAUCCUAGCCCAAACCCAGAUGCCUUGAACCACAACACUACCCAACCUCCCACUUUCCCAUCCCCAAUUCCCGACAACACUCCCCAAUUCCAGACAACUUUCCCAUCCCCACCAGAGACCGCUCCGAUCUCACCCACUACUGCCACCCAUUCUCUCGCCUUACCUGACCCCCCACCUGCACCGUCUCCACAACCUCCCAUUCGACACUCUUCUCGCCUGACCCGACCCCAUGCCUAUCUCAAAGAUUAUGUGGCCCAUCAUGCUGCUUUGUUUGCGCCUGGCGUCGCCUCUUCCUCCGUGUCCAGCACCCGUCAUCCAUUCCACCGGUAUGUCUUUUAUGCCUCCUUAUCUCCUACUCAUCAAACUUUCAUCCAUAAUGUUUCUUCUCAGAUGGAACCCACAUCCUAUGACCAAGCCCGCCAUGACCCUAACUGGGUCGCUGCUAUGAACACUGAACUCCGAGCUCUCGAAGACAAUCAGAUAUGGAGCAUGGUCUCUUUGCCUGCUGGUCAUCAUGCCAUUGGAUGCAAGUGGGUUUUCAAAAUCAAAUACAAUUCGGAUGGUACAAUUGAGCGGUACAAAGCCCGACUCGUUACCAAUGGUUUUACUCAACGCGAGGGGAUCGAUUACAAGGAAACUUUUGCCCCUGUUGCUAAGCUGAUCACUGUGCGAUGCUUAUUGACUGUUGCUGCUGUUCGUCAUUGGUCCUUACAUCAGAUGGAUGUGCAGAACGCAUUCCUUCGCGAUGAACUUCACAAAGAAGUGUAUAUGUUGCCUCCUCCUGGUUACCGUUGAUAGGGGGAGCGUGUUGUAUGUCAACUCCAAAAGUCUUUGUACGGACUUAAGCAAGCGUCCCGCAGUUGGUUUCAGAAAUUUUCCUCUGCCAUCCAUGACAUUGGAUUCACACAAUCUCGGGCUGAUUAUUCCUUGUUUACCAAGGUCUCUGGCAGCUCCAUUACCAUUGUUUUAUUAUAUGUUGAUGACAUGGUUAUUACAGGAAAUAAUGAUAGAGCAAUCAAUGAUCUCAAGCAAUUCCUUAGCCGCUGCUUUCGAAUUAAAGACCUUGGACCCCUAAAGUACUUUCUUGGAGUUGAAGUCGCACGGUCCAAAGCUAGCAUUACCAUCAAUCAGCGCAAGUACACACUUGACAUACUGGAAAAGGCGGGUUUACUUGGUGCGAAGCCAUCACAGGUCCCAAUGGAACCUGACUUAGUGCUACAACCCACUGGUAGUGAUCCUCUCAAAGAUCCUACGCAAUACCGACGAAUGUUUGGGAAAUUAAUAUACUUGACAAUCACAAGACCGGAGAUCAUAUAUGCGGUCAACACCCUGAGUCAAUUUAUGCAGGAACCUAGGCGACAUCAUCUUGACGCAGCACAUAGACUUCUUCGAUACCUUAAAAAUGCUCCUGGACAAGGUUUGUUGUUUUCUUCUCAAAGUAAGCUAAACUUGAUUGGCUAUUGUGAUGCGGAUUAGGCACGUUGUCCGAUUACUCGCCGUUCAGUUACAGAUUAUUGCAUUUUUCUGGGCAACUCACUCAUAUCUUGGAAGAGCAAGAAACAGGUCACGGUAGCACGAUCAUCUGCCGAAGCAGAGUACCGUUCCAUGGCUGCAGCAACUUGUGAACUCACGUGGUUGAGAUACUUAUUGAAGGAUUUGCAAAUACCCCAUCCUGGUUCGGCGAAGCUGUUUUGUGAUAAUCAAGCUGCGUUACACGUAGCAGUGAAUCAUGUGAUCCACGAGCACACCAAACACAUUGAGCUUGAUUGCCACACCAUUCGUGAGAGGAUUCAAAGAGGAGAAAUCAAGACAGCCUAUGUACACACUGGGGAACAAGUGGCUGACAUGUUUACUAAGCCACUAUGAACACCUGCUUUCCAUUUACAUCUCCGCAAGUUAGGCGUUCUUGACAUCCACACUCCAACUUGAGGGAGAGUGUUAAAGGAAAGUAUAUUUGGUUAAACAUGAUUGUAGGGAUUGUAAAUAGUCAAUGAUCUGGUUAGAGCUAUCAUAGGACCAGAUUGCAAUCAACUUGUAAUUAGAGAUUGGUUACCUAGAAUAGGCUGCAUCUGACUGUAUAAAGCUUGUAUCCUUGUAUGAAUGAAUAUACUGAAAAAUAAACCAUUCAGCGAACACUUCAAUUUUCACACUACAAUAUUGUCUCGCCCAGACAACACACAUCACAUCUAUCUCCACCGCCUGCACCGGUACCAAUGAUUUGAAACCUAAUGGAAAAAGCACGACAAAUAAUUGGAAAAUGGAUUAAUAUAAACAAAAACUCCCCAGAACCAACAGUUUCCUUGUAAGCAUAAGAACCUCACCAACGGGCUUCAUUGGAAUGUAACGAAUGCAGAGGGAAACAUAAAAACACUUACAUGGAGAAGAAACAAAUCCAAGUUUUUCACUCAAAAGAAAAUAACCAACAAUCAUACAUGAAAAUAGAAGGAAAAAUGAAUUUGGUUAAGGGUGGACAACAUCUGGAAAAGAAUGCAAAGAUCAUGGAGAAUCCGAGAUUGAAAAUUACCUGCGAUAAGAAUCAGUCAAUGUAGAGGAAGAGUCUUUGUCAAUAUAUCUAUCUGUCUGUUUCUCCCUCCCCCUCGUUGUCUUCUCCUUGAUUUCUGCACGACUACAAAUAAACUGCCAACAUUAAUAUGAAACUAAACUUACCCAAUGAAAUUUGAACACAAUGGAUUACUUCUCCAGUAAAGUUCAUUUCCAAUUCCUACUGCUUUGAGAGGAUUUUUCUAAAAAUUUGGAAUCUCUAAUAACUGAAGAAUCGCACUAUGCAAAACCCAAGUCGUUUAUUAGGACGAAGAAUCGCAAAAGCCCCGGAAUUUGAAAUCUCAUACUUCAUUUGUGGUUUUUUCUAAUUGAAAACCCAACAAUAAUAAUCCAAUCGAAAUUGAUUGUAAAGACAAAAAGCGAAGGAAUUUAGGAAAAAACACCUGAAAUCUUGUCAAAAUCAAGUGUGGAUGUCGACAGAAAUUUGGAAUAACAUGAAGAGGGGUCUGUGCGGAAGACGAAAGUGGGUUCGUUUCUUCCGAUGUAUGACAUGUUGUUCACUGUAGAACGUGUAGUAGAUGGCGGUUCCAUUCCAUCUCCUCUGGUGUUUACAACCGCUGCGGUUAGAUAUGGUGUUCGAGAGUUCUACCGAGUUUUUAUUUAUUUUUUAUUUUUUAUUUUACGUUUAUUUCUCUCGGAAAGAUAGGACACAAUGUAGUAUUUGUGGGAGGAUUAAUCCAAGGGUCAAAAUGAAUUUGAAGUGCAAGUAUUUUCAUCCGUCGGUUGUCAAUUGUUAUAGUUAAGAUGGGUGUUUUUUAAAUUUGCUUUUUUUAGUAAAACAAUUUUGUACUCUGUUAUGUUUUUUUCCAGUUUAUCCUCAUUUUUUGAAAUGUUUUGGGCUUGGUUGUGAAGAAAACAAAGGGGCUUUCUUGGCAUUUUGAAAUGCUUCACCUAUUUGGCCUUCUCCCUUUAUAUACACUAGCCUCUCCGCAUGUACUAACGUGCGUGCAAGAGGCAUUUUUACAUUACAGGCGCUACGCAUCCCUAAAGGUGUAUUGCGUUAGUUUUUCCCAUCGUAAUUGUCAAGAUAUAUUUUAAAUGUAUUAUGCAAAGAGAAACUCUUUUUUUUAUCAUGCAUAUUCUAAAAAGAGUAAUAUAUGUAACUCGUUUUUACUUUGCGUAAAGUAAUGAUUUAAAUGUUAUUCAUGCACUUGUCAAACAACAUGGGAUUUUAGACGCAAGUUCCUACCUAAAGUAGAAGUAAAUAAAAAAAAGAGUAGAUGAAAACAUUAAGUACUCGUAGCAAAAUACAAAACAACUUAAAUGUCAAAAUAUAAAUCCUGCAUAACAAUAUGUACAUUAUUCACAAUACCCAUAGAGUCUAUAUAUCACUGUUUCUUUUGAAAAGAAAGUUUACAUUUUGAUAUCAAUGCUACAAUUUCCACACAUUUGUUCAUGAUUGAUGCUUCAAAUUUUCAUUGCCAAUCUACAAAUGAUAGUGAGAAAAUUAAAAAUCAAAUAAAAAAAGUUAAUUGAUAAGUGAGAAAUGCAUAUUGAAAGGUUAUCGUUAAUAAAGUUGUUACCUAUUAAAAAUCACCAUAAUUAGCUGGAAAGAAGCAAGACUUCUUUGUAUACUACAUUCUGUGUAAAUACACAUUGUUGGCCGAUUAUGGAGCCAUUUUUUACUAACAUGGUUGUGGUUGACUUUGAGACCCCCCUCGAUAAGGCCACAUAUCAUUGUUCAUGACUGAAGACGUGAUCUGGAAGGUAAACGCCUACAUGUGGUAUUGUCUGACCUUGAGAUUUGUUUAUAGUGAUAGAGAAACUUAGUUUCACUAGAAACUGCUUUCUUGUAAGUUCAAAUGGAAGCCCAGCAGUAUCAAUACUUUUGAGAGGGAUUCUUGAUAAGAAAACUCUGGAUCCGGCAAAUUGUCCAGUUAGAAUUUCAACAUCUAUAAGAUUUUGGUAAGAACCAUGACACAAUAAUCUUGUACCAUUACACAAUCCCAAUGAUUGUGUAAAAGCAUCAAAAGUUUUGUUAGUAACAUGAAUUGUAUGUGUUUUCUAAAACUCAGAUUUACGAAAAUUGAAAGAGAACGAAAAGUUAAAAUAUAAAUUAGUAAAAGAAAAACAUAUAUGAAACAAAACAGGUAAUCAUGGAGUUGAUGAUUCUAAAAAUGAAAGAAAUGAACCUGGAGAUGCAGAUGAAAACAUAUAAUCAUUCAGUUCAAAAUAUUACAAUUUUGAGUCAUCAAAGAAACAAAGUGAAAUAGCACAUUGCCAUUUCGGUUCUUUGAUUAAGUGUAAUAUUCGGCUUCUCAAGUAUCUUACAACUAAGCAAAAAAAAUGCGCUUCCUAGUUUCACAAACUAAAAUGCAUCUAAUAACUUAUCAUAAAGGAUGAAGUAGCAACCUGAUCAAAUAGAAUGAUCGGCAAAACUCGGGAUUGAAGAAUCUUUAAUUAUUUUGAAUACUUGGUGAAGUUCCUCCACAUGAACCCCAUGAAGAAAAACUACAGGCUGCAAGAUAAGAUUCAAACCAUAUUAUAUAAAAAAACCAGUAAAAAAUUCCCAACAUUUGACUCAAAAUUGAAAGGAAAAAAGAUGAAAUUCUAUGCAUUUAGCAGAUAAUUGAUAAAUCAAACUCUGCAACUGAAACGUUGACAAUGGCUUCAAAAUUAACUGAAUAUCUAAAACAACUUGUAAUCCUAAUUAUAUGGAAGAGGGUAGAGAAAAGCUAAGUGCUUCAACCCCAGGUUAUGAUGCUUUGCAGACAACUUACAUCAACCUUUGAAUUUCUUCCUCAAUUAGCUAGCUCUUGAAUGCACCAAUAACAUAUGCAAUUGGAACUUGGAUUACAUAGCUCUCAAUUCCAUUGACUUCAUCUAUUAAUUUUUAGAGGGUUACCUAUAGUUUUUUCAAUGACAAUGACAUGGUUUACGCAUGAACAUGGUUUUUUCUUAUUUGUUUAUCUAUUUCACACUUGAAUCAAUAAAAUUUUGCUAGUGCAAUCAUACGGCAUUCACAACGAUCAUACUAUUGAUUUGUAAUUUCUCUGAUAAUUACAUCCCCGAUCAAGCAGGCUAACUGUCAAGCGUAAUUAAAAAAGUAGCAACAGCCCUAAUAAAAAAAAUAAUUCAAACUCAUCAAACUAUCGAGUUACAUACCUUGCAUCGGAAUCUAGCGUAAAAUUUACCUUUCUAGCAAUAACGAAAUAACUCAGUUAUCAAAUGCAGGACACACUAAAAUGCAUCUAAUAACUUAUCAUAAAGGGUGAAGUAGCAACCUGAUCAAACAGAAUGAUCGGUAAAACUCGGGAUUGAAGAAUCUUUGAUUACUUUGAAUACUUGGUGAAGUUCCUCCUCCUGAACCCCAUGAAGAAAAACAACAGGCUGCAAGAUAAGAUUCAAAACAUAUUAAAUAAAAAACCAGUAAAAAAUUCCCAACCCAACACUGUUAUUAUGGUAAUUUCAACGCAAGCCGCCUUCUCUAGCAGAGUUCAUUUCCAAAUCCCUACGACUUCGAGAGGAUUUAAAAAUUUUGGAAUCUAUAUAAUGAAUAAGCUUGAAGAAAAGCUUCAAAUUUAUAAAAAAAAAACUUUGAAUUCGAACAAAAAAUGCAAAAACUAAGUCGUUUAUUAAGAAGAAGAAUCGCAACUCACAUGGCUGUGGGGAUUUCCAGACAGGUUCCAAUAGAUUGAGUGGAUAUUCGAAACCUUAAGAAACAGGAAACUGUACAGCUCAAUAGUCGGGUAAAGGCUAUGGUUCACCCUGAAAAAUCUUUCUUCGAUUCUAUCGAAUCGCUAGAUAGUUUGGGCUCGCUCUCAAAGGCCACACUUUGCCCGCGCAAAACUAAAUUCCAAAAUUCCUCUUCCCUGCAUUCAGAAACACAUCAUCAAUUAAUUAGAAUUGAAUAUGAACGCAAAUCUAAUUCUGCUUCAUCAAAGCAAAUAAUUCAUACACAAUUGAAAAAUGUGUAUAAAUGGGAAGAGAACGGAAAUUGAAAAUAUGAUCAGAAAUGAAUGAUCGAUGAGAAACAGUUAAUUAAUGGCAAUGAAUUUGAUUUGAAAAGAGACUAAUAAACAUACUGGUAAAGAAGCCGCACUUGUCGUUUAUGGCGAGUGAAAGGUUGUUUCAAGAAGCUGCAGUUGUUGAUCACGGCGAGUAGAGUCAAGUUUGAAAGUUUGAACAAACGUUGGAAGGAAUACAUAGAAAAUUGAGAAUCACGUUUGAAAGUUACCUGCGAUAAGAAUCAAUCGAUGUAGAGGAAGAGUCUUUGUCAAUAUGCAUCUUUAUUUCUCCCUCCCCUUGUUCUCUGUAGAGGAAGAGUCUUUGUCAAUCUGGUUUGUAGUUUGCAGAACGUGGAGGGUGGUUGAAUCCCACGUUGCGGUUCUAAUUCUUCAUUCGGCAAAACUCUACAGUUAUGAUGCUUUAUCUUUUUUCAGUGAUGGUUUUUUACCAGCUUGUCGUAUUAGUUUAACCAUCAGAAUUCAAUUCACACAUUACCCAUAUUUUCAAUGUACAAUCUGCUUACAAAUCAUUACCAAAUACAGUAAAACAGAAACUGGUAAUUGGGUAAUUUUAGUAACUCCUAUAAAUUCUGACCAAUUGCAGAAGUAAUUUUAUAGAAACCAAAUUCCCAGCUAUAGCCUCAAAUGUCUCUCAUUGCAUGCAGCUGACUACCACUGACUCAAAUCACAUAAAUAAAAGAAAUGGAAUCCAGAAAAACCCAUAUGACAACAAUUAAGUUUAAAUAAUAUAAGCAGUGUGGUCGAUUAAGCACUAAUCACUGAGCAAUUUUGAACGCCCAGCAGUCCCAUCCUACGCCAUCAAUGAUUCGAAUUUCCUUAUUAAAUUAUAUAGAAUAAUAAACAAAACAAACGGAAAAGCAAAUUCAUGUGGGUAAUAUUACUUAAUUGGAGGGUAGAAAUUAUGAAAAAAAAAAUCACCUGAAUUUGUGUAAAUUGAGUGUGGAUGCAGAAGAAACUCUGGAAAAACAUGCGGAUGAGAGGUUUGUGCAGAAGACGAAAGUGAGUUCUUCCUCUUUUCUGUGCAUUUGGGGUUAGAAUGAUCGUUGUCCCCUCUAGAACGUGUGGUAGAUUGGCGGUCCUAUCUUCGAUCUUUGCAACUGUUGCAACCGGUGUUCUGUUUUGUGCGACAACGUGUUUGACAGUUCUCCUCUAAUUUGGAGGGAGUGUUUGUCAGUUUUUAUCAAUUUACUUGUUAUUUUGGUUUUGGUGGAAAGAUAGAAUGUGAUGCAGUAUUUGUGGGAGGAUUGAUCUAAGGGUCACAAUGAAUUUCAAGUGUGUAUAUUUUUAUCUAAUGGUUGAAAAUUGUAAUUGUUUAGAUGAGUGCAUAUAUUAUUCGCACAGUAGAAUUUCAUUGUAUUAUAUUACAAUUUUGACUUUAUAUUUAUUGGACAGUUAUCCGUUACUCUUAAGUAUGGACUAAGGAUAUUUUUGGCAUUUUGAAUGUAUAGAUAGAUAGAUAAAGAUCAACGACUGGGUAAAAAUCAGGAAGUGCAUGUGCCCAUUGAAGCUUUUUCUUAUUUUCUUAGGUGAAAUGGAUUUUUUUUCCAGUUUUAUUAUCACAUAUAGGCCGUAUCUCGUAUUUUGUAGGUGAAAAAACUCAUUCUAUUUCAUUAUCCUACAUCACGUGUGAAAUGAGUUCAUUCCUACUUACAUGCGCACUCUUGCAUUUAGGCACUUUUAAGCUUAAAUUCAUUCAUAUUUUCCACCUCAUCACACUUUAUAGGUUCGUCACCUUUCAGAUGCUGGCCAGCACAGCUCGAUUUGGAGUCCAGAUAGACAUUCCGGGUCAGGGUGUGUCAAUUUGAAUAUUAAAAAAUAAGGAAUGUAUUUGAAUAUUUUGAUUCAAUCUGAAACUUGCCUAAAUCUAUUACAUACACUUAAUUAUAUACUUGGUUUUAUUUUAGGAAAAUUUUAUUUGAACUCAUACAACUUCUAACUACAUCCAACUUACUCUGUACGCCCAUAUUAGUUUUAAUUCAAGAAUCAAUAUAUUUUAAAUCCAAAUUUACUAACUACAAUACCCUCACGAACUCAAUUUAAUAUGUAAAUUUGACUUUACACCUAUUUGAAAAAUAAAACCCAAAAUUAAACAUUUGUUGUGUAGGUCAUUAAAGUUAGAAUAUUAAAUUGUAAUUCCUCGAGACAAACCAAAUAUUGAGCCUUAUACAUUUGGAAAGAUCUAGAUGUCUAGUUUAUGGAGAAUUUUAUGGUUUGUGAUUCCGAUUUUUGUAGGAGAUGUUAUUACUAUUUUAGUGCAGACAUCACAAAAUCAAAGAUUUGCUAUGCAGAUCAGGAUAGAGCAUAUUAAUUAUGAGAGUAGAAGCUAUUAUAUAUACACAACAUAAUCCUUGCCUAAUCCUAUUAGGAUUCCCUUAUUAGAAUCCAUAUAGAAAACUAAUUCCUUCCAAAUAGCAGUUUAGUAUAAUAUGGAUUACAAAUCCAUUCCCAAUAAGUUCCCAUUUAAACUCUAAUCCUAUAACCAAGUUCACAAAUUCAUACUUAUGCUCAUUUUCUUACAAGUAAUUCCACAGACCGUGAUCCACCAUAAUCAAAUUUAAUCAAACACUAUGCUAAAUAUAUUAUACACCAAUAAAAAUGAAUUCUACUUCAGAUGAGGACCAAGAAUUUCUCCAAUGGCUAAAACGAAUUUAAUUUAGAAGUAAAAGAUGCAAUUUAAAGGAACAUACACUUAUUUUUCUUUAUGAGAGCUCUUAGGAUUUUAGUCAGGAUGAAUGUAAGAUAAAGAUUGGUGAUGGUGGGAUUUGAUUAUUGGAUAUAUGUUUAUUGAUUUUUUUUUUUUUUGUUAAUUUCAUCAUGUACAUGAUGGUAAUUAUGCAACAAGAUAAAAAAUACAAUUCACAUUUAAAAUUUAAGUUGAGUGUACAAAGAAGUUAAAAUAGGUUCAACUAAAAUUUUCCUUUAUUUUAUAUAUGUUUCAUUUGUUAGUUGUUAUAGAUAAGACUCAAUGAUUCUAACUUUUUUACAAUUGUAUCUCCCUUAAAUAUAUUACAUACAAAAGAGAGAACUAAAGACAUAUAUUAUGUUUGGACACAACCCACAACAAAAGCUGGCUUUCCAAAAGAUAUGUUUGAAAGUUACUUCCUCAACGAAAGAAAUAUACGAGGCCGAAUAUUUUUGAGAAAAGCAAUGAGUUCAUGGUUGUUGAAUCUACGGUCAAGAGACUCUUACAAUGGUGCUAUUACUUGUAAUAAAAGAAGGAAUGCUACAAUAUAUAUAUAUAUAUACUUUGAUCUAAUGAAAAUAUAAAAUAGUCCAUAAUGAUUUUUUUUUUGUUGGUUAAAAUCAUAUAUGUUGUUAAUCACCAAAUCAAUUGAUCUCCUAAGACCAUCUCAAAUGGUGGGCUAAAAUCUAAAAUUUCUCUUCCCCCCCCCCCUCCAAAAUUCACUCCAACUCAUGACCUAAAAUUAACCUAAAACCUAAAACCCAAAUGGAGGGCAAAUACUGGCCCAAUUUUAGGCCACAAAACAAAAUGGACCCCACCAACUGAGACUGAAACCAGGGCUGUGAAGUCCAUUGCCCACUCCCUACUCGCCUAUGCGUUGCACACGCUAGGCUUUCUCAAAAUUUUGUACCAACCCACGUGGGGUUGUUCCCCCACUGUCAAACCAUCAAGUAGCCGUUGGGCUACUUUUCUUCAUCCAACGGUUCCAUUUAAAUGGGCCAUUGGUUAAUCCAACGGUCCAAGUUCAAAUUUUUUUUUAGUUUUAUAUUUAUUGAAUCCAACGGCUUAGAUCGAAUAUAAUCAAAUCUAACGGUAAAAAAAAGAUCUAAGUUUAUGUGGUUUAUUAAAUGUCGUUUGUAUUAAGUUUAUGUGGUUUAUCAUGAUUUUCGUGAUUGAUUUAUUGAUUUUUCAAAAUGUAUCGGAAUUUAAAUAUUUUUAGGUUAAAAUGUUCAUAUAAUUAAUUUAGGAUAGUCUACAUAAUUUUUUUAAAAAGUUAAUUUAAAAAAAAAUAGCCUUAAUUCAUUCUUUGAUAAUCUCGGACUAAAAUUUUAGGCCAGAAGGGCUGGAGCAUGAAAGCUAUUUCUGGGCUAAAACCUAAAUUUUCUGGGCUAAAUAUUUUUAGGUUUUAGGUCACCAUUGAAGAUGGUCUAACUCUUGAUUCUAAUUACUACUCUGAAUAGUAAUUGCCUUAGAUCAAUUUCACCUGUUUAAGGAUUGCCAUGAAAGUUACUAUUCUUAAUAUAUUUUUUUAAAUAUUUAAAUGCAUACUUAAAUAAAAUAAAAUUCCAAAAAUUAUUUAAAAUGAGACAAGUUGGUUUUGUUUGGUAUUUUUGCAGACACAUUCUGCAUACACAUUUUUUUCGUAAAAAAAUGAGACAAAAUCAAAGAUCUAAUAUGAUUAAAAAUUUUACACAUGCCCUCCUAAAUUCGUUACAUUUUUUUAAUUUAAAAUUUGUUUCUUAUCUAAUAUAAUUUAAUUUUUCAAACAUCAUGUUUAUGCUGCUAGUUUUGAUUAAGUAAAGGUAUUUUUUAAAUUAAUGAAAAUUUUGAAAAAGGGGUUAUGUAUAGACCUUAACUUUUUUUUUUGUUGAACUAUAUAGAUGCCUUAUUUUAUUUUAUUUUAUAUUAAGUCUUAUUGUUUAUAGUUGAAUUGACUUCUUUUUUUUCAUAUGAAAAACAAUUCUUAUUUAAAAAAUUUCUCAUUUGUUUUGAUAAAAUUCUUACUUUAUACCUCAACUUACAGUCAACAGAAAGUAUCACAAGUGCAAUACAUGACAUAAAUCGAGAACAUUAUCAACUAUUAUUACAGUUUAGGAACGAAAAUUAAACUGACUAAUGCUACAAUUUAACUUAAAUAUUAUUACUCUAAACUUUUUAUUCGAUACAACGAGAUAUUUACACUAUGGCGGUGCGAGAAUAAAUUGGUUGCGAACUCUUUGUUUCCAAGAUUUGGACUUAAGACUUCUCAAUUAUAAGUGAAAAAGAAUGCUAUUAGACCAUAUUACUAAAUGUCUACUACUGCUCCAAACUUUACUAAUUAAAAUAUGCAAGUUCGAAACUCUAGUUUUGUAGUGGAUGCUUUAGCUCAUUUUAGCAACUCCCUUCCUUCUGAAAGUAUUUGGUUCAAUAGUGUUCAGAUUGGUGUAAGAAAUGCCUUAGAGCAGUUCCACUGGACACAAAAUUGCCCAGCACCCUGUCCCAAAAUCAGCCCAGCACCCUGUCAAUCUGCUCCAGCCCGCAAAACAGCUUGGCACCCAGCCCAAGCCAGGCAAUAGACUAGCCCAUUUCGAAUAGACCCAAAGGCCAGCCUAUUUGGCUAGCGCGUGCAUCACACUUGCGACUGGACGUGAGUAGGAGACAAGGGUGCAGCCGGCGGGGCCCGCUUGUCAGCCCACUUGUGUUCACUCGGAUUAGAGCUACGUGGCCCUUCUCAGUGCCGUUGGAUUUCCAACGGUAAAAAAAAUUUAAAUUUGACUUUUAAAAUGGACCGUCCGAUCAUAGAUCAACGGUCGACGUUUUUUUCACAAAAAAAAGGCCCAAUGGUCAGAAUUAUGACUGUUGGCCACGUGGCAACGCCUUGGCUCUUGGAUUUGCAUAUUUUUCAAAUCCAACGGUCUAGAUUAAUUAACUAUAUUAAAAUUUAUAAAAAAUUAUGAAAAAAAAUAUAGAAAAAUUAUGAAAAAAAAUACAUAAUUUUUUUUUAAAAUACAUAAUUUUUUUUAAAUAUAGAAAUUUUUUUUAAAAAGUUAUUUUUUUUCUUUUAUAAAUACCUAACCCUCAUCUUCCACCUUACACCACAUUUCAAUAUUUUCUACACUUUCUACACUAUCUACAUUUCAAUAUUUUCUACACUUUGAGAGAAAAAAAUGUCUUCGUGGAAGAACAUUAAAGAUGUUACAUUGUGUGAAUGUUGGGUUCACACUACUCAUGACCCAAUUACGGGUAAUGAGAUGGAUAAGUGAGAAAUGUGGAGUAAAAUUACGAAAAUGUUUUGCGAUGUAUAUGGAAAGGACGCCAGAACUAGUCAAGGUCUUCAAGGUCGUUGGAAAAAACUCAACACAUCCUUUACUUGUUGGAAAAACGUCAUCUCGCAUGCUUCCGGUAAUCUGCGUAGUGGGACAAGUUUAGCGGAUCAGGUGAUAAUAUUUUUAUUUAUUUAUAUGCAUUCCACCCGCAUCAAUAUUUUAAUUUAUUUAAUUUCUUAUGUAAUUUAUAUGCAUUCCACCCAUAUUUUUUAAUACUAUCUCAUCCCACAUUUUUACAAACACUACAAGCACAAGCAUUCUACAAUACAAAGAACCAAAACAAAUCAUUCAACAAAUGGGAAUGUUGGUAAAUUGUCAAAGAUUGCCCUAGAUACAAAAUUGUGGCAACCGGUCCAGAAAUUGUCAUACAUGGCAUGGGUCUACAUAGUUCGCCAGAACCAGACACAGCCGAACAAGAAGCCAACACAUUUGAAGACACGGAAGGGAAGCCUGAACAAGUGCCGAAGACCCAACCGACUUGUCAGUCCCUCAGGCUUCAAGGUAAAAAGGCAUCAAAGAAAAAAGGUAGUUCUUCCAAAAAUGACUACACUAAAUAUAUGGAAGAACUUGCUCUCCAAAGUGAACUGAAUAUAACACGGGAAAAGGCUAGAGAUGAGGAAAAAGCUGUUGCUAUGGCAGCAAUAAUAGCAGCUACUGAGGCCCGUGAUGCAGCGGUUGAGAGACAAAGAGAAAUAGUUAAUCGAGAGAAUGAGAUGAUUAGAGAAGCACUUCAUCGAGAAAAUGAGAUGCUUAGAGAAGAAAAGAUGGCUCAAGCAGAUCGUGACAUUAUGAACAAGCCUCUAGUAGGACUGUCUCCGAAUUCAAAAUAUUUUUGGACAUCGGAAAAAAAAGAGGUCGUGCGAAGGAGGUGUGCAAGAGAUGCCGAAACAAGUCGAGGGGGUUCUAGCUACAGAAAUCCUAGCAAAGAAGAUCCUAGCACCACAUAUCCUAGCUCCACAGACUUCGUAUAAUUUCGUAUUUCUUUGUAGUACUUUUUUUUUAAUUUUUAUGUAAUUUUUAAUGUAAUUUCUUAUUUAUUUUUAGAACUUUAUGCAAUUUCAAAUUUAUUUUUUGUACUUUAUUUAAACACAUCAAAUAAGAUUACAUAAACUCACCAAAUAAGAUAACAUUAAACUCACCAAAUAAACUUUAAAAAAAACACCAAAUUAACUUUAAAAAAAACACCAAAUAAAAUUACAUAACCUCACCAUAUAAACUAAAAAAAAAACACACUAAAUAAGAUUACUUAAAAAUCUUAUCCGAAAUUAAAACUAUUUUAUUUAUUUAUUCUUUUAUAAAUUAAAAAAAUAUAUAAAUGGGUUGGGUGCCAGCGCAUUUUUUUAGAGGUGAAGAUGCUUUGGCCUAUUACUGUUCACUGAGGUCUAUUACUGUUUACUUGAGUGGAUAAAUGCGCUGAGUGCUGACGUAAAGUCUUAGGGGUGGAAUUGCUCUUAUACUUUGAUAAUUUUUGUACUGGUUGCCCUAGGUGCUAUGUAAUUAAUCCUUUGCCUUCUCAAAAUAUAAAGUUCGAACGUAAAACAUAAUGAUUUGAAGACGGAUGCCUUUUUCAUCAUGACAAUUCACUUGUUGCCGAGUGUUUAUUUAGGAAAGUGAUUUUCACACCUCACCAACAGAUCAAAUAAAUCAAAUAAAUUUAAGAGUUGUGUAAGUGAUUAAAAAUAAGAGUAAAUUGUAGCAAUAGUCCCUCAACUUUAAUUAAAUAGGAGUAAUGAUCCCUCAACUAAAAAUUUAUUACCAUUGGUCCCUCAACUUAUCAAAAUGUGUAACUAUAGUCAUUUUCAUCAAUUUCGUCAAAAUAAGUUAUGUUGGAAUAACCACUUAUACAAUUAGGGUCUCUCAACUCAUUAAUGUGUGUAAUUAUGGUCAUUUUCAUCAACUACGUCAAAAUUUUUGUCAAAAUGAGUUAUGUUGGAAUGAUCAUUUCUACAAUUGGGUUAAAGUUAAGGGACCAUUUCUCUAGUUGAAUUAAAGUUGAGGGACCAAUGGUAAUGAAUUUUUAGUUGAGGUACCAUAACUGCACGUUUUGAUGAGUUGAGGGACCAAUGAUAAUGAAUUUUUAGUUGAGUGACUAUUGCUCCAAUUGAGUUAAAGUAAAGGACCAUAACUACAAUUUACUCUAAAAAUAAUGCUUGAAAAUCAUAUCCUUUUAUUUAUUUAAUUAUUUUUGGAGUAAUACUACACAUACCACCUAGUUGUACCAUUAUUUGUACUAUCUUUCUAAUAGAAAUAGGAACAACGCAUGUGGUCCAAUUUUCUAUUUAGAGAGAUAAUACAAAUGAUGGUACAACUAGGUGAUAAGAAUAACAUGUUUGUUAUUUUUGUGUUGGGUGAAGUGUCAAUUUAGUUCUUGAAGUAUUAUCUUAGUGAAAAUUAGGCCCCUGAAUUAUUUUUUGGGGUAAAGUAAGUUCCUAAAUUUAUUAAAAAUUGCUAAUUUCAUCCAUACUAUUAAAUUCAAAGCUAUUUUAUCCAAUUUGUCAAUUUAAAUCACUUGACACACCUUAAAAUGUAUAAUCGUCUUUAUUACACCUAUUAGCCUUUAACAUUUUAUAUAAGUUGCGAAUCUAACCUCUAAUUUAUCUAUACAUUAUUUCAUAAAAAAUUACCAAUUUACCCUUCAAUAUGUAUCAAAAGCAAGUAACGUGACUUAAAUUGACGGAAAAUUAAAAAUAGUAGCAUCAAAUAUAAUAUUAGAGAUAUAGUUGAUAGAUUUUUAUAAUUUAAAAACUGAUUUUUCUAAAAAAAAAUAAUAAUUUAAAGACUUAAUAUUCACUUAGGUAAUAAUUUAGGAACUAGAUUGACAUUUCACCGUACUACAGCACCAAACACGAGCAAGUCUCUUAUUACGACAACCAAUACGUGCGUCUUUCUCCCACGCAGGCCCAGUCCAUCCUUUGAAUCAACUGCGUCUCUCUGUUUUCACUCUUCGAUCUGUGCGUUUCUUCUGAUUCCAGUACUCCGCCGGCCCACCGCGAAAACCAUGGACGCUCUCCCGCAGGACACGCUCCACCAGAUCUUCUCGAGCCUUCCCCUCCGGCAGAUCAUGAUCUGCCGCUCACUCUCCAAGUUCUUCAACCAACUCCUCACCUCACCCUCCUUUGUCCACAUCAUCUCCACCCAAUCUCCGCCCCUCAACCUCCUCGCCCUCCGCCCUCCCCACCACCACCACCAGCGCCACGUGUCCUCCUCAUCCUGCCUCCACGUCUUCGACCCCGACCUCAACCAAUGGAUCAGAUUCGCCCUCGAUUUCCUCCCCUUCCGCUCACCACACCCCGUCGCCUCCUCUCUCGGCCUCGUCUACCUCUGGGGCGACUCGCCCGACCCGCCCGAGUCAGCCAAGUCCCUCGUCGUCUGUAACCCUCUGACUCGUCAGUUCCGGGUCCUCCCUCAGCUCGGCUCGGCCUGGUCGCGCCACGGCUCGGUCCUCGUUGACUCCCAAACUCGAGUCAUGGUCCUCACCGAGCUCGCCGCGCUCUACUUCUCCGGUUCUAACCAGUGGCUCAAGUUCUCAUCGAACCUCCCGUCAAAACCCAGAAGCCCAAUUUUGGUGUUUGACUCGGUUUACGCCCUCUGCGAUGUGGGUUCGCCGUGGAGGAGUGAAUGGAAGUUGUUCCACUGCACAAUUUCGAAGCUCAAGACCUCGCAGACUUGGACUCGGCUCGAAAAGCACGAUUGGGGGGACGUCUUUGACAUCCUGAAAAGACCCCGUUUAGUUCGCGGAAAUGGGAACAAUGUGCUGAUGGUUGGUGGGUUGAAGUCGUCUUUCUCGCUGAACGCUUCGUGUUCGACGAUUCUGAUUCUGAGGCUGGACUUGGAUAGCUUGGAGUGGGACGAGGCGGGCCGAAUGCCGGUGGAGAUGUUCAAGUGCUUUCAAGAGUCGAGCAAGUUCAAGGUGUUUGGUGGCGGCGAUAGGGUCUGUUUUUCGGCAAAGAGAAUUGGGAGAUUGGCUUUGUGGGACCGUUGUUCCGAGAAAGCUGAGUGGCGGUGGAUUGAUGGGGUGCCCGGGAGCGGCGAUGGGCUUUCCCGGGGGUUUGUUUUUGAUGCCACGCUCACAGCAUUUCCUUGAUGGGGUUCAACACAGACAUCAGAGCUUUUGAUGCCAAGUAGAGGUUGGUAUUUAUCCAUUAAUGAAUCCCAAUGUUGUUGUAUUAGCGUUGAAUUCGUAGAAUUUCUUGUGUUAAAUGAAUUUCUUAAUACAAAUCAAUAGAAUAUGUUCCAACUAAUGCUUUGGAAUUGCUUUGUUCACUUUGUAUCCAGUCUCACCCAUUACUUGCAUUACUUGCAUUACUUGCAUACAGAGCAGCCGAAAAAGAAAAAAUACAACGAAAAGAGUACAUUUUGUUGUUGUUAAAGUGUUGUGCAAUGGAUUAUGAUUAAGGAUGAAGUUAUGCCUCUACAUAGAACAAUGAAAACAUUUCCAACUUAGUGUGCUUGUGUUAGUGUUUGCACUGAAACUACGAUUAGAACUUAACCAGCCUCGAGACAGAUAAUAGUGGAAAACUUUCUUAUAAGUUCUUGACGUCACUUUAUAAUGCGUUAUCCUAUUAAUACAUGAACGGUAGAAAUGUACUCUUAGAUGAAUGGUGUUGAUUAGUGCAGCUUAUUGAGCUUGUUAGAAGGUUCUUUACAUGGUUUGCUAGUCCGUUUUCUAUGUUAGCUACGUGCCUGGGGAGCUAAGUCAGUUGCAUAAAUAGUAGGAUAUAUCAAGAAACAUCGACCCGUUCUUCUUCCUUUCUCUCUCCGUUACUUCAUUUCAGCAUUUCUUAUCAAACAUCAUGAACCGGAAAUGGUUAAUGCUGUUUGAUCUCUAUUCUUCUGCGUGCUCAUAUGGGUUCAAGAUUGUGACUUUUUCUGCCGAGAUUUCCUUUUGGUGUUCGUGCAUCCCACCUGUUUGAUCCAACGUCUUAGUCAAGAUCUUUUCCUGAGGUUAUGUAUUUUCUGAAGAAUUUCUUGUUUCUUUUGUGCUCAUUGGGUGAAUUGGUGAAAUGGGUUAUUGUGCAAUUUUUGUUUGGAAGAAUCAUUGUUGAUUAGUUGGGCACGAAGCCUCUUUGAUUAAAACUGUAGAAAUGUUAUUGGCACGAAGCAUUGUUCUAAAAAUCCCCGCCUAGACCCCGUCUAGGCGCUAGGUGGCUGGCCAUCGUCCCGAUUAAUGCCUAGUCGUUUGAAAAUUAAGAAAGGGCACCUAGGCGGUCUAGAUUUACUGAGGCGCCUGCCUAGACCGCCUAGCCUGCCCAAACCUGGUUAGGCACCCGCCUAGGUUGCAACUCACUUAGGCAGAAAAUAAAUAAUUUUCAUUUUGCAUUUUUUAUUUUAAUAAAUUGUAAGACACUUGUUGAAUACUUGAAUGAGCACACAUUAUAUGCUUGUUCCUCAUGUUUUCAUUAUGUUCCAAUACUUCAUAAUAUAUGUCAUUCUAUUUUGUAAUUUAUGAUGAAAUUAUAUAUAUUUUAAGUAUAAGCAUGCACUUAUUUACAUGAAAUAUAAAGAAUUUAGUUAAAUCCGCCUAGUCCGCCUACCUAGACCCAGCCUAGCCGUCUAGGCACUAGACCCUAGCUCACCGUCCAACGAGCGCCUAACAUCUUUUAGAACAUUGGCACGAUGCCAGUUCGGAUUUAAUAUUUCUUAAAGCAUGAACCCAUCUCACUAAGUUGAAGUUUUAGGCUCGAUUCCAAUUUUAUUUGUUUGGGAUAUUUCAGGCUUGAAGCCAGUUCAUUGAAGUACCGUUUGGUACGCAGACGGGAUGGAACGGGAUGGAACUGAGGUUCCGUGUUAUGUUUGGUACACGCAGGACGGAACAUGACGGUUGUUCCGUUCUGCGUUUGGUACGUUCUGGACGGAACGGAACCAAAAGAUUGAAUGACUAACUUAACCCAUGUUCUGUUUGUUAUUUGAUACAAUGUUUAUGCGUAGGACGGGACGAGACAUUUUUUUUUUAACUUGUUCAUAUUUGAACACAUAUAACAAUACCAUGAUUAGCUUUUGGAGAUUGCAGAAGCAAAACAAAAAACAACGACAGAGAAUUUAGAGAGAGAAAGUGAAUGACUAAAGAUUGUAUUCCUUGAACAAUGAAUGAGAGGGAGGGGGAGAGAGAGAGAGAGAGAGAGAGAGAGAGGGAGGGAGGGAGAGAGGUGUUUGUUAUUUAUACAAGUAUUCUUUGCUUCACUCAUAAGCUAUUAACCAACUAACUUAUCCCUACAAUCCCAACAGAACUAACGUGCUGCAACAACAUACAUGGAGACCUAUAAAACGAAAAGCAAAGAGCAUUGGUAAGUAAUAAUAAAAUAGAAAAACUACACAAAUCACAAUCAGAAAAGUCUGCUUCUAUUUCCUUUUCAAACCAGUUCUCCAAAGCUCUUUCAUAUUGCUAAAGAACAAUGGUAAUGUGGUCUGUUGAUUCACAUAGCCUUCAAAAAAGGAGCCAUUGUACUCUUGAUUGGGAGAUAUAGCAGCAAAAAAGGAAUCCUGGAAAUACACAGGUACCCAUUGAGCGCGAGCAUUGUAUAAAUGUAUAGUCUAUGAGUUCAAGUUGAAGCAUGUAAGCUCACUAAACAUGCAACUUCCACAAGAUUUCUCAAUUCAUUCAGGCAAUAUUUCAAACACAAAUUGCCCACAUGGAGCUGAAAAGAUUUAUCAAAUAUGGUUAAGCCUCUAGCUGGAAAUAAAAAUGCGUGCAAGCCAGAUUGUAUUAGAAAUUGAAGUUGGUACUUGACCAAUUCAGAACAUCUGCCUCGUACAGAAAACCCAAUUUCCCAACUUGGCUUAUUCAAAUAAGGUUAAAAACCUUAAUUCUUCAAAUAAGGUUAAAAACCUUAAAUUAUUCAAAUAGAUGAAUGGACAAGAGAAAUUAAAAUGCAAGGUAGGUUAUGAGGUGUCCAUUAUUUGGAAACUGCUGCAAGCCUUAGCAAGAUCAAGUGCGGAAAGACUAAUGGUCUAUGAAGAAAUCUACUAACCAAAACACCACAACUUGAGAAAGUCGUUAACUCGAGCCCAGAAUGGAUUCACUAUAUAGGAGAAACAACCAUUAUAGAUCAGAUUUAUGCAAACUAGGAGGCUAAGGUCACAUCACACCAGAUUCAAGAUGGUAAUAAAAUGAAACCUUGCACAUGAUCGAAACUGCUUAAUUUUAACAUUUUAAUACCUUUUCAAGAACUUAGAGCAUUCAAAUUCUUCCAUUUGACAAUCUUUUGGCUGCCAUGAAACCUUCUCAUAGGAAAAAUUUGUGCGCUGUGUCAUCCGACAAGACCACAUACUUGACAGCCAUUGCUUACAGUCAUGCCCAGAAUACAGCGGCUUCUUAUGGUCCUGUUUGGGCCCAAAUUUACACCAUCGGUCCAAGUAAUUAAGGCCGUCAGAAGAUUAGAGAUUUUUCUUGACAAUACUAUUGUUUUUUUUUUAUCAUAGUAAUUAUCAUGAAAAUAUCCUCAAAGUGUGCAGAGUUGUGAUCGCAUAAAGCUUAAUGUAGAAGAGGCUGUGUGAAAUGCCGUGCAUCAUUAGAGUCAUAUCUUGCAUGCGAACCACGAGGAACAAUAACACAAUGAUGCAAUUAAUAUUGGAUGAUCAACAUGUGGUUAUGCCGUUUGUGUUUGAGAUAAACUUGAACUUUGGGCUCAAAAGGGAGUUAGCCCAGACGAAGGAAUGGAAAGCAAGAAGCCCAAGGCUCAACCGAAGCCCAGAAGGUGGAAGAGGCCUUUUUCCCGACUAAGUACAGAUCACUCAAGCCACCUGCUCACCUACCUAAAGGUCAAGUGAUGUAGACCAGCCAGCUAAUCAGCCCAAAAGUACUUUAUAAUGGCAGGACAAGUAAAAAGUUGAUGAGUCACUACCCUUCAGAGGCAUCCGGGCAAGAUUGAAGCUAUAGAUAGCCAAGCCAAAUCGUCUAUAAAAGGAGAAAAGAGAAUUAGAGACAAGGACACUCAAUCAAACAAACAAAUACACAAACUCUGCUCAAGCCAGAUUUGCAUACGAAGCUAUAGUCAGCACCAAGCCUUCCUUCCUUUCGGGAUCAACCUUCACCAAAAAGCCUUUAUAAAAGCUCUGCUACCCUAUCUAAAUCUUGUUGGAGUAUUGAUUCCCUCAUGUAAACUCAUCUUCCAAUCUCCCCUUCUAGCACUCAAACCCUUUGUAAAUCACAAAGAGAGGAAGUUGCAAGAUGAUCAGCCUUGCCCGACAAGGUGAAACCUUGCCCGACCUCCUUUGUUUUUGUCUUUUCAUUCAUAAAGCUAGUAAUAUGAUGUAUAUUUCCAUCUGCAUCCAAGUUAUUUCUAGCCAGUUUAUGAUUAAAAGACUUCUAAGUUCUAACCAUUUGGGCAGACAAGAUUGAUCAAUUAAAAGUCAUUGGUCUUAAGACAUAAAAAAGAACCUUAUGUGGACUUAACCCAUCCACGACAGUCCUUGAUAACAAGAAGUUCGAAGUUACUUAGGGCGCAAGUAAUUAACUUAUUUCUUAGUCUUACUUCUGUUAUAUCAUGAUUGCUAUAGAAUGCUUGAGUAUAAAAUUAAUUCUGAUGGGAAACCUCAAGACCUAUACCUAAUGCCCGACAAAGGCACCUAUCCAAGUUCGUUCUGCUCUGCGGGCUCAGGCAAUUAAAGUAUAACGGUCGUGAUAUUUCUGCAACAAUGAAACAACCAAUAUAUGUUCGAGUACUUGGUUAGUUUUGAUUGGAAGCCUAAAGGCCUACACCAAAGACCACACAAAGGCACCUUUCAUUACUAAACUCGGGCAUAUUUAAUCAAACUAAACAUCUGUUUUACAUCUGUCAUGCUAAAGAUGGCAGUGGCAUGCCUGAACACCUAAAGGUUAAUUUUGAUUGUGAGCUUCAAGGCCUACGCCUAAGGCCCCACAAAGGCACUUUUCAGGAUUAACUUUGUCCUUCUCUUACAGCCUGCCAAUAAGCAGAAGCCCGACAGACAAUAUCAACGGGCGCCAAACCUCUUGGGGAGCUGUGUGCUCGUUGACCAGGAAACGUCCCCACUGGAUAUUCCUUAAGACGAACAGUUUGGAGUAAUCAAAAUGAGGUGAUGUGAUGGGAUCAGGGUGGUUUUGCAGAUAAUGCAAAACCAUCAACCAUGUGUUUUAAUUAUCAUGCAUGCAUGGAUAAAGCUUAUGAAGAGAUGGUGGGAUAAGUAGCACCACCAAAUUUACAAGAUUGGAUCCGGCAAAUGGUGAUGACGUAAUCCCAUUUUAAAAGAUGGGAUUAAGCUUUGAUUGAUGUGAUAAGGUCUAAGGCAUGAAUGUAGGCACAUAAAAGAUAAAAGUUUUUAGAGUUUCAUUUAUUGUGAAUAUGCAUGAGAUAAAUGCGUGGUCAACAGCAACGGUUACAGUGCAAUUGGGAUUGUUUUCCACGACUUAGGCAUGCAUGGCUUUAUAAAUACCAAGCGGCAAGCAACAUGAAAGGGACCUCCAACUCAACAUACAAACUGUCCUGCGCAAACCCUCGCUCUACGCGAAACCUCUCGACAACCUUGAGAUUUUUAUUUUCCUUUUUCGCCAACACAUCUUCAGUUUGGAUAAAUAGUAUUGUGAAGGCAACCGGUAAACAUCUUCAGUUUGGAUAAACAACAUUAUUACCGUAGAGUCAGCCGAUCGCGAAGCACCUUCAGUUUAGAUAAACAGCACCGCGACAAGGCCGACUGGCUAUCUAUCCAAGUCUCAGUCGAGAAGGAUUUUCAAAUCCUUAUUGGCUGAGGUCAUCUCAUCAGCCUUCUUGGCGAAGUGAGGUGUUACCAGGUUACUACAUUCGACACCCUGAGAGCCGAAUUUGAUAUUGAACUUCGCAGAACUAGCAGCCUUGUCUUCAGGCUCUAGAACCCGAAGGCCGAUACAUGUUCCUUCCUCAGCCGCAGUUGCGAGUUUCAGAAGUCAGCAGCGCACCCAACCCAACAAAUUUUACUCACUGGCCAAGCUCGGCCGUCGAAUUGGCAUGCCCCGCACACAAUCGAAGGACGUAGUUAGCUUAUUAAUUACUUGGCCUACGCACCAUGUAGACUUAGUAAUUUUUAGGGUCAACAGGUCCACAACCCAUUUUCCUUUCGCAUAAUUGCAUACUGGAGCUAUUAUCAGAUAAAUAACAAUCAUUUCCCAGAAAAUUGAAAAUUUCCAUGGAAAAUUCAAGAAAACGAAAAAGUAAAACCCAAUAAAAAAAAGCAAAAUUAAAGAUCUAUAGAGAUUAAGAUCAAACCUGGAAGAUGCAGCGGUUAUGGAAGAAAAUCGAGAUCGAACCUGGAGAUGCAGCUGGUACGGGAGAAGAUUGAGAUUGAACCUGGAGAUGCAGCUGCUACGGGAGAGGAUGAGGGGGAAGGCUACUGGAAAAGGCAGCGGCAGAGAAAAAAGAUGGGACGAAGAUGAAGAGGAACCGUCGCGAACUCCUCAGAAAGUGGGUUUGUGGUGGAGGGAGCGUUAAGGUCAAGGAAGAUGCAGCUAAGUUUGUGGUGGAGGAGGAAGAGGAGGCUACCAGAGAGAGAGGGUAGAAGAGAGGGAGGGUACGGGAGAGAUAGGGAGGGUGAUAAUGGAAUUAAUGAAAAACAGUAAGGGUAUUGUUGUCCAAAAAAUUAUAAUUUUGUGUUCCACGAACGUGGAAUGAGUCGUUUCAAGGGAGAAGGUGGAACGAAAAAGUAACCAAAUUUCAUUCCUUGGAACAGCAUGUUCCAAUGUUUUUUGCGCAACAAACGUGAGACGGAACGCCUUGUCCCACUGCGUUCCGUCUCAUCCCACGUACCAAACGGUACCUGAUAUUCAGGAUUGGUUUUAUCUUUUAAAUGAGCCGGAACCAAGCAAUCUGCUUCUGUAGAGCUUGUGGACGGUGAAGCUUAUUUUUUAGAUUGACAGGCAAUGGCAAAUCGGUAGCUGAUGGGAAAGUAAUCCCACACUUUAAAGUUCCUUUGAGGUGUCAUAAGAUCCAUUUAACCAAUCCAAAAUGCAGCUCGGUUGGAGAGGUCAUGAAUAGACAGACAUGAGAGGAAUUAUUUGAUGACAUAGUUUGGACUCCUAGAAUAUGACGCUCUUGGGGCUUUCUAUGCUUAACUGCAAAAGCAAUGUUUGAUCUACAAUCAAAGCUUAAGGUGAAGUUUAUGACCAAUCAUGUUUGGUCGAGUCAAAUUCGUUAGGAAAAUGUCAACGAGACCCAUGUUUUAGACCAUAUUUUGUAGGGGUGUGAUAUCCACACACCUCAUUUUACUUCUAGCACACCUUUUUAAUUCUCGGCCGUCAGAUCGGAUGAAUUGAAGAAGAUCAACGGAUAUAAAUUAUCAAAGGGUGUGCGAGAAGUAAAAUAUGGUAUGUAGAUAGCACACCCCUAUUUUGUAAUCACAACAGGUGGUCUACAAAAUAUGAUUUAGGCAGAUGGUUUCUUCUAGCGUCACCCAAUUCGUUAACCUGUGGAUGAUAUGAUGGAGGAGCCAAGUUAAAAAUUCAAAUUCUUAAGUCUUUCUGCUUUUCUAAUUAAUAAGAGGAGCUUUCAAGAUAAUAGAAAGAAAAGAAAAAAAAACAUUAAAAAACAAAGAGUUUUAAGAACAAAAUAAAAUCAUGCCUGCUGCACCACCAACAUUACCACCGCAUUCUCUCUCCAUCACCCACGCCACCAUGACCACCAUUACCAUCACUCCUUCACCAUCAUCACCACCAAUGCCACCACCUCCCACCACCAUUAUCGCCACAACCACAUACUCCACCACCAUCACAAUUGGGACCAAGGCCACCACCACCCCCACUGU